This 89456-nucleotide long non-coding RNA is filed under the name Theobroma cacao (cacao). Its description in RNAcentral is "long non-coding RNA (TCAC_LNC000935)". Lineage: Eukaryota; Viridiplantae; Streptophyta; Magnoliopsida; Malvales; Malvaceae. The record is from RNAcentral.
UUAUGCUUAAUUUGGUGUUAAUGUGGUUAAGAUAGGUUGUUAUUGAUUUAUUUGUGCUUUUGUAGGUGUUUGAUGAAAGAAGAAUUUUAAUGGAAGAAUGAGAGCAAUUUCAAGGUGCAAACUUUCACUGCACAUGUUUCGAUAUUUUGGCCAUAACUUUCUCUACAGAGCUCCAAAUGAAGUGAUUCUUGGACCAUUAGAAAGAUGAGAGAAAAAUCUAAAACUUUCAUGUUUAUCACUUGCUAGUUCAGCUUGUAGGAUGGUCAAAAAUCUUAUCGAAGUUGAUGCACUAUAAAGGUCUUAAAGCAAUUACGAUUUAUGUUAAUUAAUUGUGCAAGGCUACGACUUAUAUAGUUUGAUGAGGAAAUCCCAAUUGAAAUUGACUUCUUUCUCCACCCAACUUGGCCUAACUUCAAAGCCCAUAAAAACAACAUUUUGGAAGACUUAAAGAAGAGAAUGAAAAAACACCAGAUUAACAGCUAAGAGUCAAGCCACAAAGUCAUUGAAGCUAAAAAGAAUUUACAAGAUUUAAGGAGAUUUGGAGAUCAAGAAUACAAUUCUUGAGUUUUUCUAUAUUUUCUUUUAUUCUCUUAUUUUCUUGGUUUUGUUUUUAAUGUUUAAAUUUUAUUCAAUGAUCAUGUAUGACUUGAUGGAGAACUAAGUUUUUAAUCUAAGAUUAUGAUUGAACUCAAUAUAUAGUCUGAAUUAUUUAUCUCUCUUUUACUUAUGUUUGAUGGAUUUAAGUUAUUUAUUUUAUUUUGUUCUUAAUGCUUCUAGUUGACUAGCCACCAAUUAGAUUGAAUUGGAAAUCUAGAUUAAACAUUGACAAAUGAGAUUUAGGUAAACCUUGAAUAAAAUAGCGUAUGAUCGAAUACACUUAGUUGAUUAGGUGGUUUAAUUUGCAUAUACGAUAGACAUAUGCCUAUAAGCUAUUCGUAGCCAAAAUUAGAGUAUAAACUUGAUGAAUCUUUCUUUAACAUAAUUUGCAUAGACAUAUAGUAAAUUAAUUGAGAAAUGUAUUUUUAUGAAAAACUCGACAGAGACUCGUAAAUAAUUUAGGACUCUAGGUUAGCAACUUAAUCCAUUAAACUAAGUUAAGAGAGAGAGAGACAAUAUUCAGAUGAAGUAUUGAGAGACAUCAUAAUCUUAGGUCUGUUAAUCACUAGAAGUAAAAUUUGCUUAUAUAUUAGUUUUAGUUAUUAGUUUAUUAAUUUAAAUUUUUCUUUUUAAUUUUAAUUGUUUAGAUAAAAUUAUGGUGUGAUAAUUUUAGUGGUUAACAGUAAAUAUUAAUUCAAUUCUCUGUGGGAUCGACACUCUACUCAUCUCUAUAUUAUCUUUGCGAUACAUGCACUUGUGUGAGUAGAAAAUUGAACAACAGCAACCAAGACAAACAAUGGGCCAACAGCACAGACUGCCUAAGAAGCCUAGACAGCCUAGGCAAUCCAAGCAGUCCAACAACCAGUAGGCCAAUAGGCCCAAUUGGGUGUCCAGCCCAUGUUCGAAAGGAUUUUAUUCUUAUUUGAACCCUUAUAAAUGUUGAGUCAAAUGUAAAUAGAUUCACUCAUAUUUUAUUUGAAUUUGAUUAGGCCUUUUCAAAUUUAAAUUUCACAUUUCAUGGAUCCUAAUCCUAUCCAAUAAGGGGGGGCUAUCAACUUAUAAAUAGGCUUUCUUUUCAUUUGUACUCACAUUAGAGAAAUAAUAAAGCAUUUCAUUUCUCUAAGCUUUCUCCCUUCUUCUUACUUUCUUGCAUUUUUACUUUUAUAGGGGGUUUUAGGCUUACUUAAGCUCUCAUUUUCAAAGUUUAAAACUACACGAGAUUCAACUAAAGUUUGGCACAUGACACUAUCACUAGGCAAGCGUUUUGCAUGCCUCUCUAGUCAUUAGUCAAUACUACAAUAAGAGUAAUUUUUUUAAAAAUGCCCACCUCUCUAGUCACUAGUUAGCACUACAAUAAGAGUAUUUUUUUUUUUUUUGAAAAGCAAUAGGAGUAACUGAUUUGACAAAAAUAAAGAAUUAGAUUGAGUGUCGCGAUAAGAUAUUGUCCGCUUUGAUCUCAUUGGGUUAUAAGCUAGAGAUAGUGUAAAUAUUUAAAUGUCUAAUCUCACUCUAGUCGAGGUGGGAUUUAUAACUUCCUUCUAAAAUUAAGACUUCUUCCCUUAAUGUGAAAUUAAUAUUUUUUUACUGAGACCUUGACACUAAGCCUGUUUGAGUCAUUUUGUUAUCAAUGGCUAGCUACUUAAAAUUGGUCCGUGCAGGGACCAGCGCAUGUUAGGUACCAAAAAGAGAAGCCGCCCAUCAUGAUCUCUCUUUUUUGUGUAGUGUUGUGCCCCAAACAAAAUAAAUUCCCUUAUUUUUUCUUUGCCGGCCAUAUGCGUCUCUUAGGUGCUAAGGAAGGAAUUUCAGCCAUUCGAUAGUCAAUAGUAAGCCCAAAAUACCAAAAACUCACGUAUCUAAUUAAGCAGUAUUUUUCUCAAGGAAUACCGCCUUCCAUAAAGCAAUAUUCUCUUCCAUUUCACCACCAAUAAAGCAAGAAUACUUAUCAUGUGUGGUAUAAGCUAGCCAAGCUUUCUGCUUCAUUGUAAUUGGACCCAAUUGAACCAACUUUUUUUCUUAUCAUCAGGACCCAAAACCUACUUAAUUGCUAGUAUAAUUUUAUUAUUACAAACAUUAAGCUUAUAGAAUGCACGUAUAUAACAGAUUUCUAGCUAUCGUAAAUAAACCUGCAUGCUCUUUUUCGAAAUGAUUAUCUUUGCUUGGGGACAAAAUGAUGUAAUGAUAUGUUCUAAUUCUCUACUCCAAACUUGAAAAUAAUAAUAAUAAUAAAGAAGGAUGUUUCAAUACUUAUCCUAUAUCUAGUAGCACAUGGAAGCUCGGCCUUGGCCCCCUUACAAAACCCUUGCCUCAGUUGUUUACAACCCAUAUGCUGCAUGCGAAAAUAUCCUCCUGUCGAAAAGCAUGAGCUUUAUGUCACCCUAGCUUUUAAGGCCUUCUUUAUUGAAGCUUCGGUCACCUCCUUAACACAAAUGCACUUUCUUUCAGAAGGUGUCUAAUUAGUUAAGGUAGUACAAAGUCACAUCCAUCUUGCACAAGUUCUAAACACAGAAUUCAUCGAACCUGUACCUCUAUAUGGUUUGACAAGAAAAUAUAGAAAUCAAAGAAAGCUAAGGGUUUAAUCAAGGACUUGCAUUUAGUCUCAAAAUAACUGACGCCCACUGAACCUCAAAUCCACCAGCUGCAUCGUCUGCUCGAUGACUCGAAAAUAAUUGAGCUUGCUUUACAACCCAUCACCAGCUACAGCAACAUGAGUUUUUUAUCCUAGUUCAAUUUUGUUCUACUUCAUAUAUAUAUAUAUAUAUAUAUAUAUAUAUAUAUAUAUAUAUAUAUAUAUAUAUAUACACACACCUAGCUACGUACUCUUAAGAAAAAAUCCAUAUCGUAUGCAUUGGAACUGUCAUUAGGGUAGCCACAACGCUAAAUUUUGCUUCUAAAUAAUAACAUUCACUACCACUGUAUUUGACGAACAACUGUAACACAAUUAUUCAUGGAUAUGUUGGUUGAUUAUGCAUUUCCUUACUCCUUGUAACUUCAUUUAACACGCGUGCCACUUACGGCUUCAAUCAUAGCCAGAAAAGUAUAACCUAAAACAUAUAAUAGAGAUAAAAGCAUGCAAAGCAGAAGUUUCCCUACUCUUCCAGCGGUGCGCAUGCACCCUUGAAAAGCCGGAAGCAUCAAUGUCACUUUCUUUGUUUACAUGAAUUGGACGUGAUAAUUAAUUUUCUCUUUAACCUAGCCAAUUGACCAAUGAAGUCCAAAGCAAAAGAGAAUAACGAGUUCCUGUAAAUUCAAACUCAGUGAUAGUAGUGGAAAAGAAAAUUCAAAACCUUCAGUGGAAAGUAAAUGAGGCCUAACAAAAAACAAAAGCACCUAAAUUAUAAAUGCACACAUUCUUAACCUGCCAUGGCUUUUUCCUAAAGUAACCAUUUCAUGCAAAAACAAUUGAAAAAAAAAGUAGAAUCUCUUGAGUCCCACCAAAAUAUCCUCCUCUCCUUUCUCCCCCACUAUAUAACCCGUUGUUGCCACGCUGCUGUAUGUUCAGUCAGACGUGAGUUUUUAGCUAAAUCCUCUAAGAUCUCCGUCUUGGUUGCUUCCUUCCAAAAAUCCUCUCUAAACAAACUUUAAUUCUUGAAUAGAAUAUCUAAGGAUGGAUCCAGUUAAGGCAGAGAAGUUUCAAGCAAUGAACAAGUAUAGGAAAAGUGAUCAGUUUCUUUACAACCUCAUUCUUCAUUUGCUGGCUGGGUUAGCUUGUAGUUUAUUUUUCUCCUAUGCUUUUUCGUUUCCACCUCUAUGUUCAUCCAUGAAGCAUUUCUUCUUAAUCUCUCUCCCAUGUAUUUGGUCUUCUUUCUCUAAUCCAAAGUGCUUGUUCGUUGUGGUCAAUGUCAUUGUCAUCUUCCUUGUUGGAGAAUCAAGGUUUACGGGCACAAACUCAUCUCCAGCUGGUGACAUCUACAAUGAGUAUAUCGAAAGAAGUCGAAGCCUUAGGGGAGUCCCAGUCUCGACACCUCAAGAGAAGACGAGGCAGGAGAAAAGGGUAGAAGAGGUGGAAAAAGAAGCUGAAUCGAAACAAGUAGUCAACAGGGGUGAUGAUAAGGAAGUGAAAGAAGAAGAUGAAGAAUUAGUUGAAGUGAAAGAAGUGAUGAAGUCCGAUGAAAAAGAAGAGAAAGAAGAAGAAAAAGAAGUCGAGGUGAAAGAGCAAGAUAGAGUAGUCCAAGAAACAUAUGGAGUUGCUGCAGAAGAAGCUUAUGCAGAAAAAGAAAAGGAUACCGUUGAAGAAGAGGCUGGAUUGCCAGCUGAGGAACUAAAUAAAAGAGUUGAACAGUUUAUCGCUAGAGUUAACAAACAAAGAUGGCUGGAAGCUCAAUUACUGGUGUGUUGCAGGGCAUGAUUAGGAUUUAAGGGUAAAAUAAUUGCAAAUUUAUUGGUUUAAUUUUCUGAUAUAUUUAUAGUAGGGACAAGAUAUAAUUGUGCAGCAAAGAUGAAGAAAAGCUGGGUAGACAAAUGACAUCUUCAUAAGUUCGUAAAAUAUAUUAGUACAAGUAGUAGUAGAAGUAACAAGUACUUGCAGUUAUUACAUAUUUGAACAUGAAUCCUCUUUUCCAUUUCUUUCUUUAUAUUAGUAUUCUUCCACAUUCUUUGGCCUAUAAUGAACCUACACUGCAUUCAAAAAUUCAGUCAUUGAUCAAUUCAGUGACAAAAUAAAAUAAAUAAAUUAAGGGAAGAGAAGGUACAAUUUGUUGAGGACUUGAAAAUGGGAUGGAUGAUGGGUCGGCAAGAAAACUAGACAAGAUAAAAGGUAGCCAGACGAGAAAAGUCAUUUCGAUCAUUGAAUUGACAAAGUCCAGCUAAAUUACAACAAGAAUGGCACUAUUCCAGCUUGGAUGAAAUAGCACCUUAGACGCUACAAGCACCCUCACUAACUCAACCACAACAAAAGGAGCCGCCAAAACCACUGCCAAAAUACUAAGGCUUGCUCAGAGUGCAGGCAUCAUGCCUGCAAACUCAAUGUCAAUGAUAACCAAUUCUAGAUAAUGUUAAUAAAAAAAAAAGAGGAGAAUGCUAUGCAAUGAAAUUCUCACAGAAAAAGAAUCUGGAGAACCACAGUGCAUGCCAAACGUUGAGGGGGGAAAAAAUGAACUAAUUCUAUUCCAUCUCUAAGCCACAAAACUGUAGGACUCAAUGCCCUCAGAGUACAAGAGCAACUUUCUCAUGGGAAACAUGUGAAGAAGCAUGGGCAACUAAGGGUUCAUAAUGAUCAGCUCCAGCACCACACCAACCUACACAUCAAGGGAAAUCUAAAUAUGUAAACUUGCAUCCUGAUAAAAAAUUCAUUUCAGUAAGCACCAACAAAAAUUCAAUUACCUGUUCCUUUCAUGAACAGAAAAAAGGGAGGUUCACAAAUUUCACUCCUUGGACGAUGUGGAAGGAAGAAAACACAGCUGUCUUCGUCAACCAUAGCAUCUGAUCCAUGUGCUUGCACCUGUAACAAAUGAGUUAACAUAAUAAAGCUCAAUCAAAAAUAAAAGUUGAAUACUGAAGUUAAUAAAGAACAAGAACAUUCAUUAGUGCCGAUUCCAUUGCAAACACAUUAAGCUGCAUCACUUUACCCCCCUUUUUCUCCCUUACCCUUUUCAGUCUAAAUCAUCAAUCAAAUACACAAACUUCUUUCUGAUACACACAUAUGGUAACUGAUCAUAACACAUGAUAAAGUUUUUCUACUUAAUUCCUUGGUGAUGGUACUUAUGGUCACCCAAAAUAGUUUCGUCUGUGCUAGUUUGAUCAAUGACUACAGUAUACCAGUAAAAAGGCCAGAGGAAAUGCAUCUAAGAUGGACAAUUAGUGCUUAGAAAUGCUAGAGCACGCAUUCCUAUAUAAUAUGGUAUGUGAAACAGAUAGUAUUUGUAAAUGACCAAUCCAUUAACCUAGAAUGAGGCUUUAAUCAGACAAUCUGAGUUUAUAAAUGCUUAUAGGUAUCCCCAGUUUGGUGCCAUAUAUUAACAACUAUUUUCAUCCUUGCCAAUAACAAAGUUGUGCAAUCCUGAAUUCUCCAUUGCAUAAACAUCUUAGUAGCAGAAUUCAUGGAAUACUGCUGUAUUGAUGGAUUACAACAUGAACAUGAGAUUACUAAUCUAAAGGACUAUUGCUUAAAAUACACAACUAAUGUUAUGAAACAAUAGGCUGUGAAAAUACCAAACAAAUAUGCAAUGCUUUGAAGACAUGAACAAUUGACAUAUCACUUAAGAUUUGAAUCCAUUCCUCUGAAUUUACAAGAAGCAAUCAGAUCAGCAAAAUUGAAAUAUAUAUCAAUCCGAUAAUUAUGAUAAAAGCCAAAGCUUCUCUCCUCACCACAUAUAUCUCUCGCUUGAACUCUGUUGCAAUACAUUCGAUGGCAAUGUCAUCUCCGAAUGCAGCAGCAUGACCUUCUCUAUUCUCAUCUACAGAGAAUAAACCCUCCUCAGUAUAUUGCAAAGUGAUGAUAUCAUAUGCAUCAUCAGGUGAACCAGAAAUCGACAUGUAUUUGGCCCAGCUUGAGCCAUCACUCACAGGAAUACAUCUCUCUUUGUAAAUAGAUUCCGCCGCCAUUUCUCUUCAAUCAGAAAAAGAGUAGAUAAUCAAGAAACAGAUAAAACACAGCACUAGGGCAACAAUCUAAAUCACCAUAUAAACAUUCCCCAUUAAGUUUAAUGCUUUGUAUAUGUCGAUAUAUGUGUUAAAUUUUUUUAAAUAUAAGAUGCAGCUAGUCGUGAGGAAUUUGUUUUUUUUAGAUUUUGAAUUAAAUUCUUUUUCUGUCUUCCGUGCAAAUAUAAAAUGUAAAUACUAAAUGUCAACUAAAAUUUGCGAGACUACAAUCCUAGAUAAAAUUUUCCCCAAUAAAAAGGAAAAAUAGAUAGAAAAUUCCGUUCUCGCCUUUCUUGAGUCUUCGACAGAGAAAUAGCAAUUUAUAAGUUUAAAAAUUUUGAUUCCCCAUUCUGUCUUUCCCUACAUUUUCUCAGGAACCCAAUUGUUAACAUUUGAAAAGAACUAAAUCCUCAAACAGUCAAACCAUAAUCAGCCAAAUAGAUCAAAGAACAAAAAAAACAGAAAGCAUACCUUUGCAUUCCCAGCUGAACGAGCUCGUCAAUGGCGGAGUCCAAGGCAACGCGAUCCUCCUUCUUGGCCAACAACUUAACUUCUUGAACCACGUGAACCCCCCACCCGCUCCUCAGAUCCGGCGAGUACAUAUUCCUAAUCGCCUCAUUUAUCACUUGCCUCUCUUCUUCCUUAGCAGAUCCAAGAUCCUCCAAGAACCGCUUCACCGUCCGCCUCCUCAGCUCCCGCGCGUCCAUCUCACGCGCCAUCGCCCUCUGUGAGGCCGUGAACAGGCAGUUCCCAUCAGCCGACACAUCGCCUCCAUGAGACAGCCGGAACACCACCGAAGAGCCGUGCUCCUGCGGGUGCUUCCAUAGCACUCCCUUGGCGUGAAGCUUCUUUAGAUGCCGUCUCUGCUGGUCCUCUAGGCCAAUCACGUCUUCCCAUGAGGCACCCGUGGUGGCUAUUGUGGUUGUGGUCUGGUCAACUAGAUCAACGGCUUCAAGAGUCGCCGCGUUUGGUUCCCUCCAAGGGACCGUCGGCGAUGACUUUUGAAAUGUCUCCGCAACGGUCGUCGAAUCGAAGAGAAGUUUCCCCAUUUCAAGUUGCUCUUUUUCUUCUUUUAUUUGAAUAUUCGUUUUCUUUUUGUCUUUUCUCUUCUCUUCUUCUUCUUCUUCGAUGGAAGAGUUACAGAGAAGAGAGAGAAACGAAAAGUGGAGAGAGAGUUUAGGGUUAACGGAUAGAUGUACGACGCGGGAGAGAAAUGGUGGCACGUGGCGAAAUCAGGGAGAUUUAGAAACUCAAGGGGGGUGGCCUCUGACCGCGCGAGAGAGAUGCUAACGUAAGCUGGUGGACUAUCAGAAGCAAACCUGCGCCAGGUAUUUUUAUCAUAUUUUCUUCCCUUUUUUUUUUUUCUCCUUUUUUUUUUUAGAAAAAAGAAAUGAACAAAACUUUCUUUAUUCUACCCACUAGACGUUAGUGUUAAUUGGCAUAUGCGCUAAUUUGCCCCUCGGUAGGAGAGCGAGGAUGCCUCUCGGAUUGUCCGGAGAGGUCCAGUUCCCAAUACGAUUCAAACACAUCAUCAUUAGCUGGGCCCACAGGCGAGGCUCAUCCAAUGACUUAACUGAACUUGGGUUUAGGAUCCCACGUGUGAACGCUGUCUGAAAAGGAAGAUUCCUUGUGCGUGUGGCUUUGGGCUCCGUGGGAUGGGCUAGAAUGGUAAUUUUAGUACUUAGUUGUAUGAAGUUAUGACGUGGCACUAAUUGUAACGGCUAAUUAAACAUGACUGCAGGCUCUAACGGCUCUUUUUCUAGGUUUUAGCGCUCUACUUAAUCACGCUUAAAUGGUCGUGGUAAAGACUGAAAGAGCAAUUAAAAUAGUUGUGGAUAAGGAGAGAGAAAGUCAUGAUUGAGAAUUUCAGAUCUCCCAAUUGACUUUGGCCAACGAACCAAUAAGAGCAUGAAAAUUAGUUACCAUUUUUUUUGUUAAAAGGCAAAUGCGUUUUCAUAAAUGUGCUUUAGAGAGAGAAAAGCAGUGAGGAAGAGAAAGAGAAAAAAUAACUUCAGUAUUUUUUAUAAAGUAAUUUUUUAAAUUAUAAAAAGAUAUAUUUAUAUAAUUAAUUUUUUUAUUUUUAAUAAUUUAAAAUAACUAUUAUCAAAAAACUUUGAUAAUGGCUAUUCAGGAUUCUCUUAAAAUGAUUAUUUUGAAAAAUAAUUAUUUUAUUUAAUCAAAUAUAAUUUUAUUUUAAAAAAUAAAAAUAGAAGAAGAAUGUCUAUUCUAUUCCUUCCAACUAAACAUGUCUUGAAAGAAAAGUUUUUUCAACGCAAAAAAUGAAAAUGACGAAAAUCUAAGUACCAAAAUAAUGACAUUUUUGUUUUCUUUUAGAAGCUUCUAGAAAUAACAUGGUAUAGACCACCUUGAGAAAUACAAUACAACUAUUAGCUAGUGGGAUUGAGGGCUCCCCCGUGAGCACCUCACUCCAAUUGCAAUAUCUAGUUAAACCCGUCAAGGCCUCAUACCAAUUGCAAUAUAUACCUAAAAGUGUGAGAUUCAUAAUGAGAAUAUAUUUUUAAAUAUUUAAUUUUAUUUUAAUACACAAUUAAUAUGAAAUUCAUAAUUUUUUUCUGAGAUCAUAGUAUCUUUUUUAAUGUGAAAUUUAUAAUUCCUAUAACAUUUAUAUUACAAUGCUGAUAUUUAAUUAAAAUUAAAUUAUGUAACAUUCACAAUUUUAUAAUAUAAAAAUUCUCUUCUUAUACCACUUGCUAAAUAAUAGUUGACCAUAUAAAGUGUUUGAAUAUGUUGAUGUUGCUUCCAACCUAAAGAUGGAUGAAGUAAAAGGGAAAAGAUAUGAAUUUUCCUACAAAACCAUUUUAUGUUUGUUCAUAAAUAUUUCUGGUUAUAACUAUCUUCACAAAUGAUUUGGUUUUCUUAUUCAAGUAUCAAUUAAUAUAUGAGUAGAUAGAUGAGAUUUAAGGAUCAAUAGAUGUGAUUGGUUAAGAAAAUAUAUGAAAAUAAUAUCAUCCAGUAUUCUUAUAUAUUUAUCAUAAAAUUGUGAUAAUUGAUAAAAUAUGAUUAGAGAGCAUGUGAGAUUAAAAGAUUUUCUUCAUAUAAUAUAAGUUUAUUUAUAAAUUCAUGCAUCAGAAUUUCGGUUUACAUUAUGGAGCAUGAGAGAAUAUUUUCAUCACUAAAAAUUUGAGUGGGAUAAAUAUGUUGUAGGGAAUAUUGUGGAGGAUAAUGGAACAUGAUCUCUUCUUCUUUGCCUUGCUUGCCCGUUCCAUUUGCCUUGUCGGUGGGUCCCUCAGCGACGAUUUCUGCAUACUUUCCAAAUUGUUUGGCGAUGGCUUCAACAAGUUUUGGUGGAUCAAAAUUUCCCCUAACAGUCACAGUCGACUUCUUCAUAUCCGGUUCAACAUUUAAGAUUCCUGAUUAACACAGUAUAAUAACUAAUAUUACUCUCUUUUUCACAAUUAAACAAGAGCAAGAACUGAGUGGAAAACUAAAGAGAGAGAGAGAGAGUUUACCUUUCAUUCUUCCUAUACUUCUCUUAAUAUCAUUUGCACAGCCUUCACAGUGCAUGUACAUUUUAAGUACAACAAAUUUAAUCGGAGGCUGCAUGAUUAAGUAAGAUUAAAACUAAUUAAUCACAUGAAAAAGUAAAAAUAAAAGAAAUAUAUAUAUAUAUAUAUAUUAUAUCAAAAUAGAGCUAAAUGGUAAACCCACCUCUUGUUUGUUUUGCGACUGCUUUCCAUCAGUGGCUUUAGGUUUUGGUUUGGGAGAAAUGAGCUCAGCAUUUCUACUGUAUUUCUUCUUAACUCUUUCCAAAAUCUUCAAAGGAUCAGCAUUUUGUCCCUUCACAAUCACUCUGUCACCUUCCAUGUCCGUCUUAACUUGUUCAACGCCUGAUAAAAAAAACAAAAACAUGAAAACCUUAUCAAAAGGGCUAUCGGCUACGCCUACGCAUAUGGAUAUGCUUGACAAGACAAAACAAUCAUCAUCCCUACCUUGAAAACCUUUCAAACAAUUGAAAACCUUGGCGGCGCAUCCUUCGCAAUGCAUAUAAACUUUAAGCACAAUUUCUUUCCCUUUAUUUGAAUCCUUUGCUCCCUUCUCUUGUUUAUUUUCACAGCUUUUCUCGAGUUUCACUUCCACAAUCUGCCCUCCUCCCUGAUGCUGUUGCCCAUGUCCCAUGUUUUGCUUAUUUUUUCCCUUAAUUUAAAAACCAAGGACCAAAAGAAGAACAAAAAAAAGACCCUUUAAUACGGAAAAUGCUAAAAGGAAAAUUUAAGUAGUAGAGAAAAACAUUUUGAGGCGCAGCAUUGCCACUACUUGUUUAGCCAAAUGGCGGGGGAGCUUUAAAUACGAUAGUGGUGCCCUUUAAGUUUUUAGCUCUUUUACUCCCAUGUCAUUAGGAAUAAAUAAAUAAGAUAGGAUGGAAACAUAAAGCUCAUUAAUGGGUUGUAUCUCAACCGUUCAAUUAUGCGAAAAACGAAAGAAAUCAUGUUAUAAUCUCCCCAAUUAUGGCUUACUUUAUAUGAUUAUGCGUUAAUAAGUUACCCACAACUGAAUAGUCGUUUGUUUACGUUUAGGUUCCAAAUUUGGAUUGCAUGCAAUUCAAUUGUUAAUUGCUUCUCUUUUCAAAGCAAUGGGUUGGUGUGCCAGCUAAUGUGAGUUGUUCAAUCCAUUGUGAAUUGUGGGUAAUGAAAUUUUAUUCCAUUAAGAUUGUACACGGUGUCUGUCAAAUAAGUUAGUUUAUCCAAAAAGAAAAAGAAUAUUCCUCUCCUCUUCCCGGCUCAGCCCAAUGAUUAACUUUAGUGGUUAGCCCAAACCCAUGGGCCUUAAGCUCAGCCAGCCUGGGUUUCAAAUUGUUUCGACGAGAACAAGUUUUAUUUGACCAGAGUGACGGACACAUAGGCGUAAACUGAAAACGUGUAAGAAAAGCAGCAAUCCCACGUAGGAAAUGGCCACGUGUAACGCCUAGAACAGCAACACGUUCAAAAACAACUUCAGAGUAGUACCCCGCUCUCUCUGUAUUUGCAACGCAAAAUCUCCGGUCUCUCUUUCUAUCAAUGAUCAUUUCUAUUCUGAGGUUUUGAUUGAAUCGUUCGUCUUAGUAAGAUCUCCUCUCUUCAAUUAUUAUUUUUUAACAUUCUUAAUGAGAUCAUUGUAUAUGUCUUGAAUAUGUGGUGCGUGAUCAGUUUCUUGAGUUCUUCUAUGAUUUUGUUGUUGAUAUCAUUCUUGCCUUCAAUAUAAUCAGGAUAUCUGUUGAAUUCCCAAUUUUGGCGUCUUUUCUUUCAUCUUUGUCGACAAGCUUUUCUUUAGUUAUCGAUAGAACACAAAUUGCUCUCCUUCACUUUUAUGGUACGAUGGUUUUCAGUAUCUAAAAGUUGGUAGCAAGAGCUAAUGGUUGGGAGAAAUUUCACUUCCGAUUAAGCUUAUGGGAUUCACGUUUUGGUUAAAUUCGUUUCUUCUUUCGCCUGAUUAUAAAUUUGAUUUGCUUCUGUUAUGUCUCCUUCAAUGGUUACAGAUUCUUUUCAAAAAUAAAAAAUAAAAAAUGGUUACAGAUUACAAUACAACAGCACAUCCUGAAUAACUCUGAAACAGAGUUUUUUGUCAUUAAAAUUGAUCUCUCUCCUAAAUGCUGGAUUCUGUUUUUAUCUCUGCUGGUUAAUUAUUAGUAAUAUGCUACAGACAUUUUUGUUACUUGGGUAAUUCGAGUGGUAAAGUUUGCUUAGCCCAUACAAGAUCAGGCCUUAAUGCCCUCUACUUUAUUCUUGAGCCAUGAUCCCAGCCUGAAAGAUACUGCUCUUGGAUUUGGUUAGUAAGAAGAUGACAUCUUGCCAUGAGAUUAAUGUGGUUGUGUGUGAAUAUUGAAUUUGCCUUUCUCGUUUCAGUGGAGCUCAACUCAAGUCUGAAACUCUGAAUAUUCGUAUUAGCCUUUUCGUUUUUAGAUAAAUCAGCUGAAAAUAUCUAUUACAUCUCUUAAUGUUUUUUCUCACACAGUGAUGCUUGUUUCUCCAAUAACGGUUCCUUCUUUGUCAGGUUCCCGAGUGCCGGCAAAUUUACUUCACUUCAGAGCAGUCUGGGUUUUGCAGUGAAAACCACCAGAACAACCAAAGCAUUUUGAGUUCAAAAGUAAAAAUGUCCGGUGUAACUCUUGCUGUGGCUCCUAGAAGUGAGCCAGACAAAACCAUAGCACCAGGGGAAAAACUCGAACAUAAACCUCUUCGCCAGCAGCAGCAACAAUCAGUGGCGGGCGGUCUAAUGGGAUCAUUGCGUGUGAUUGAGCUCCAACUAGUAGCUUUCAUUAUGGUUUUUUCAAUUAGUGGCCUUGUCCCACUCCUUGAUUUGGUCUUCCCAGCUUUUGCCUCGACUUAUAUAAUCGCCCUUUCACUCUUUGCCUUCCCAUCCCACGGUCGCAUAUCCACUGGCUCGCAAGAGAUUUUCCAAGGCAGCAAACUCUUUAGGCUCUAUGUGAUUCUUGGAACUACCAUAGGGCUUUUCUUGCCACUGGCAUAUGUCCUGGGCGGCUUUGCGAGGGGUGAUAAGCAUGCUGUUCGAUCAGCUACGCCUCACUUGUUCUUGCUUUCAUUUCAAAUACUAACAGAAAAUGUGAUAAGCGGGCUGUCUUUAUUUUCACCGCCGGUGAGGGCACUUGUUCCUGUACUAUAUACGGUGAGGAGGAUUUUUAUUAUCAUUGACUGGAUGCAUGAUGUUUGGCUCAACAAAACUCUGCCUGCAAAUGCACAACUCAAGGUAAUUCUCAACCAAAUUAAUAUUUCUGGUUUCAGGUAAUUGGCAAUUGUCAAAUUUCAUGCCAGCGUGCUUUGAAAAUGUUUAACAUAAUCUAAGAUUGAUUGUGCAGGACAUUGCAUGGGAUUGGUUUGGGAAGGGCCUGGCAGCUGCAAAUCUAUUUUACUUCUCUAUCAAUCUCUUGUGCUUUUUGAUUCCUCGAUUCCUGCCUCGGGCAUUUGAGAGGUACUUUAGGGAAAGGGAUGAGGUCGAUGCUAAGAUGUCAGAGGACAAGCGUUCCACGGCAGCAAAAAAGUCCCAGGCAACAGAUAAGAAAGUCGAUUGAGACGGUUGAAUCUGUUCUCGUGUGUUCAAACAGCUAGUAUUGAAAAGCAAUUGUAUUCCUUUUUCUGCUGCAGCUAAAGAGUCGUCCACUUUCUAGACUUUUGACAAUGACAAUUAAUGUUUAGACUUGUCUCGCUUAUUUGGUUAUCUACCUUGGAUCAAUCGUGAAUCUUUCUUUGCUUAGUAUAAUUCUAUUUUUCUUUUCUUUUUGAAAAUAAAAUGAGUAUCUCGUUCUAUUAAAUCAAAAAUAAAUUACAAUACGAAUAGAAACAAUAACUGAUAAAGCACUCUUUCCGCAUCUCACUCUCAUCAUAUUCUAGUUCACAAACAUUGGGACUUUGGGUCUUGUUAAACAAGCGGAAGACUCUAUUAACUUGUAAUAUUUCAGUUUUCCUAUUAAGCAUUCCCAUUCCAAUGGAAAGAAAAUUUUGGUUUUCAUCUUUUCAUUUUUCUCCUCCUCUAGUUUUUUCAUCUUUGUUCCUGGAUGAGAAUUAAGUAGCAUUACACUUCCCAAGUCCUAGGUUUAUGUUGGAAGCUUCGAAUCUUUGGGAAAGGAUUCAAACAGAAAAAUACACACAAAAACAGAUGAUUAAUAAUAAUCUUUAGGAUGUUUGUUAGCAAUAAAAGAAAUAUGGAUCCAUGGCCUAAUAAUGGUCUUGCGGCGGCAAACACAAUGACAUUAAUUUGUUCCUCUUUUACUGGACAAUAUCACAUCUGGAUAUAACUUGUAGCCAGAAUUCUAGCAUCUCUGUUAAAUAGUUUCAUACUCUUGUUUUUCCAUGAGUGCUAGGAGUAAUUCAAGGGCAGAAUAUUGUCACUUUCUAAAGCAAGGUAAAUCAAAAUUUCAAACAAUGAUACUUUUUUUGUAUAUAGAUCUCAAAAAUUUCUACUUUUGAUAUAAUUAAAUAAUUUGCUCACUCUUCAUAUUCCCCCAUCUGGAAAAACCCUGUUCGGAAGCAAGAGAUUUGGUAGAGAUAUUCGGCAAUUGAUCAGUAGAGGAACACAUAUCUAAGAAGCACAUGUCAUUGGUAACAUUUUUUCCAACAACGUAGAAGCAUGAAAAACAUGACUGACUGACUGACUGACUGCCAUAUAUGUUGCACUCACAUUGUAUAGAAUCCAACCUACUGACAUGUCGACAAAGGCAUCAAGAUUACGAAGAAUUUGCGAAGCCAACAAAACGCAGCCGCAUUAUAUUCUACUCAGCAUUGGAAUGAGAAAUUGUUGGCUGCUUUUUAUUCGGGAGCAUAGCAUUGUAGUGGAAAGACAACCAGUCCAAUUGAAUUGACCAACGGAAAAAAUAAUCACAAAAAGUACGUUAAAAACCAAUCCAUAAAAUGUAUAGGGAGAGAGAGCCAGGUCAAAAGAUGAAAGAAAAACAAUUUUCCGCAACCCUGAUGCCUACAUGCCCUCAAGCUGGGCAGUCCUGUUACGCACCUCAAAUUACACCUUUUGGGUUCCAUUGCUUUUGGGCGGGUGGUUAGUCCUUAUCCAAGUUGCUCAGAAAAGGACUGUUUUGCCCUUUUCAAUUUAAUGCUAAGGAGUCGUAAUUUGCUUGUUGUGCACAUUGUUCCUCGUAGAAAGUGUAAGGUUGCUAUGCCCAAAGGCGGUGCGGACCAAACUCUCUGCGCCACUCGUCAAUGGCCGGUUACCUCUUUACUCUUUUUGUUAUAAAAGCUAAUGAAUUUUGUUUUUUUUUUUUUAUUAUUAUUGUGUUUUCACUAAUUAGAUUACAAGUAGAAUUAUUAUAAAAUUGUAAGAAAAAAGGUAAAAUGGAACAUGGAAUUCCAGUAUGGUACAUUUUUAAGUAUACCAUUCGUCUUUUAGCAUAAAUACAAGGAAAAGAUUAAGUUAGAUUUUAAUUGUUUUAAUGCUGUUUUUGAAGCAUUUGUCACAUAUCCAACAUGAUAGUUUACCUUAUCACAUUAAAACAAGUUUUCUAACAAUGUCAUUUCCUCCUCUACUUUUUGCUGUUUUGCUUUGCAAGUGAUCCGCACGCGCCAAAAAGCAGGGGCGUGAAACAGAGAUUGGCGUUAUUUAACCUGAAAAAUAAGGAACCGCUGACCUCUCUGCCCGACGACGUACCUUCUUUCUGCCUUGUCUGCCAAGUAAAUAUAAUAUAAUAUUCAAAUUACUUAAAUAAAGAAAAACCACAUUUCCAUUUUAUUUUCUUUUAAGAAAAAAAGAAAACACCCUCACCACUGUGUCCUCUCUUCCUCCCUUCUCAGCCUCUCUCUCUCUCUCUCUCUCUUACUCCCAAUNUUUAAUCCCUCGCCCACUUCUUUCCCCUUCUUUUACACCCUCAACCAAACCUCAAAGAAAAACGAAAGCAGCCAUGAAGCUCAAAAACAAAGGUAGAGUAUUCCCAUCCCCUUCUUCUUCUUCAUCUUCUUCUUCUUCUUCUUGUGAAGACUAUCUUUCCAUUUUGAAGCUUCUCCCAGCUGCCAUUUUGGCUCUUGCUUCAGUCCUUUCUCUCGAGGACCGUGAGGUUUUAGCUUACAUGAUAACCAGGUCCCUCAAAACCACCACCACUGCCACCAACUCUUCUUUAAUCUCCCAAGAUUAUUCUUCCAAGAAGAGAUCUUCCAAGAAGCCACCACCUACCGCCUCCAAGCUGACCCAAAAGAAUGGCGCUUUACCCCAUAAGCCGCCCGUUUUCGAUUGCGAUUGUUUCGACUGCUACACUAGUUACUGGUUUCGUUGGGACUCGUCUCCUAACCGCGAGCUUAUCCAUCAAGUUAUUGAAGCUUUCGAAGAUCAUUUAACCAACGGGGAAGCCCAGAAACCUUCCAAGAAGAACAUAAGGCCCAAAAAGAGAGACAGUACCAGCAAAGUGGCCAGUCGGGUCCCCGACAGCCCGGUUGGUGACCUCCCGGUUCAGCCCGACCAAGAAGUUCUGGUCUCGGAGAGUAGUUCUACCGACGAAGCAUCGGUUUUUAACGAUGACGUCACUUCAAGGGAGAAGGAUGUUAAAGAAGAGGUAGCUGACGCGGCAGAAGUGACUGAAGAGUUUGCGGUAGUGGAGGAUGCGGAGGUGGAAAUACGGACGGCGGCGACGAGUAGCCACAAGGGGUUGGCUAGGAAGGUGUUGCCGGACGUGUUAGGAUUAUUGAAUUCUCGUUUAUGGGGUCUUUGGAAUCCAAAUGUGUAAUAUUUCUUUCUUUCUUUCUAUUUUUGGAGAAAAAAUUUAUUAUUAAAAAUAUAUUUUUGGGGAUACAUCUGUGCCCGAAUAUAGGCAUGGUCCCUCCCUUGAAUAGCAUGACCCUUUUUCCGCUUUGCUUUUCUGCACUGGACUUAAAAAAUGUACCUGGCGGCGAGUAGUCAUUUUCCGGGAGAAAAAGGAGUUGCACAUAAUUUGCUUCUGUUUUGGGCCAUAAUUUUGUUAUCAAUUAUUUAUUUUGUAUUUGGCUUAGGAACGAAGUAUUGUGGUUAGGUAAGAUAGUUUGUAAAAAGUGGGCCAAUUAGAAUGGGAUAUUUUUUUUUGAAAGAAUAAGAAUGGGAUAUUUUGCUAGUCAAGGGUUGUAAUUAUUAUUAUAUGAUUAAACUGAGAUAGAUAAUACCAUCUUUUAUUUUAUUCGCUGCUGCUUUUUGUGAAUGUCAAUAUGCCAUUUUCUUUUGAUUCCUUUUGGUUGGCCUUGUGUUGUUGUUGUAGUUAGGUUUAGGUGCCCUCUGAUUCUGACGUCUAUAUAUAACAAUGUAGGUUCCCUAAGUUGCCCUGGUUUUUGUGUAGCAAAACUUUAUAGGUUAAGGAAAGGAUGGUUUCUGUCUUUCUCUUGUCAUUUGCGGAUAACCUGAGAGGCUUGCUUCCUGUUUGUUGACCAUAAUAAUGGAUUUUAGUUUAUUAAUAAAUUUAUAGAGAUUAGAGCAAGUGCUAUUUCUUGACAUUAUUUUUAUUACAUUUAAUGAAAAAGCAGUAGUGUUUUCUCAAUAAUAAUAGAAUUGAGGAGUUGAGCCCGAGUUUAGCUGUUGCCUGCAACUUACUUUUCCUCUAAUCGAUUAAGCAUGUGGCCCAGUCCCAGAGAUAAGAACUACCUCCUGAAGCUGAAAUUCCUGAGCGUAAUCUCCUUUUCUUGAUUAUGUGUAACUUACCCUUUUUCGCCCAAAGGAUCCCUAUCCUAAUAUCACAAGCAGCUCAGAAAAGAUGCUAGGGGAUAUGUGAAACACGAUAAACAACUAGUCAGGAUGAAAAAAGAGGGCAUACAUAUGGAUGGAAAAAUGUUGCCGAUGCACUCAGGUAACUAGCACAAGAGUUUUGACCUUGUUGUGAUGUUGGGCUAAUGAGUAAUGCCUAUCGAUGAUGUCCAUGCAACUGCGACACUACAUACCCAGCAGGCAGCCAUACAAUACAGGCAACAACAUUGGAGGGAUUGUCCCAUUCAAGGCAUUUGCUGAGUGAAAGAAAGCCUUAUCCAACGUACAUGGUCGUGUUUCGGUCCCUAUCUUAAUAUCCAACAAAAAGAAACAAAUGGCAAAAAAUAAAAAUUUCCUGGCCUCUGGAUUGUCUCCUUCCCUCUUGUUUGCUUUGAGGCUGACAAAAGCUCAGUCACCAAUCCCAUCACUGGUACAUACCAUCUUCAUUCUAAUUUUUGUGAUGGCAGAACCUUCACAUCACCUCUGGGGAGGUAUCGGUGGGAGCUUUACCUUACUUUUAUUGCAAGAUGCCAGAUACAUAUGCUUGGCUGGCAAUGAAAUCCCAUCUUCUUGUUAAACUCAAGUGAGGGAUAAACUAAUCAAGAUACAUUUUGUUGAUAAACGAUUUAAUCUCAUGAGAAGCCUGUAGUAACACAAUUCUCUUUGCUGUUGAUGAUAAGGGUAAGAUCCAUCUAAGAGCCAGAAAGGACAUCAGGCAUUUGGUAAAGGGAUGAUUUAUUGUUAUAAGAUAAAACCCCUUUCUCGUGGACUGAAAAAGCUCAUUGAUAGUGAACUCCACUGUCCAUAUUGGACUCCAUUUUUAAAUUUCCUGGAGACUCAAAGUUUACUGGUGGCACGUCAACGUUAACAGGUGACAAGCCAGCUUUAGUUUACUGAUUACAAAGAUACAAACUAAGGUUAAAUUGUUGAUAAAGUCAAGGUUAAACAGUGACACGCCUAAAUACUUUCUACUAGAAAAAUUUCAAGAAGAAAAGUUGGAUGAUUGAUCUACAGGAUAAAGCAGGCAUCCUGCUCUCUUUUUGGCUUGCUUUUUUACCAUUCACUCAGAAACGGCUCUUCCUUCAUCCUCACUGUUUAGUCAGUAGACAAGCAACAAGCUGCUCAGAAUCAAGUUGGAGUUGCUAUCGUGCCGCAGAGGGAAAAAGAGAGAAGGCAACGAAGAACCAGCAGGCAGUUGCUGUUGUGACAAGCCUAAAGCAAUGCCAUCUGACCUUUAGGCUUGAGGUGGGCUUGAGUUGGUAUUAGUCUAUGUGCAUUAGUCCACACUGUGAUGUUUCGUUUACUCCGUUUCAGCAAGUCCAUUCACUUGUAUCUUAGUCGCAGCAGCCAUGAUAUGGAUUCAAAGCUCUCCAGAUAGAUAGAAAAAUUCUGAGAAUCAAGUCACUUCACUGUGUUUUUACUUUAUCAUGUUUCUUUCUGCUUGAGUGGAAGUGGUAGAAACAAUGCUCUCCUUUGCGCCUCCAGAGAAAACAAUAUGGCACUGUCAAUUGGAAAUCAGAAUUAUCCAAUGGUGCCCCAGCACAAUGACUAAAAUUUUGAUCCUACACUCCCAUAGCACCUCCAUUUUUUUCACAUCCCAGCUCGAAUUUACAAAAAGUUAAGGUGAAACAAACAAAAACAGAUUAGACUCAGAAUAGACGCACCAGUUGGCAUGAUCAAAAUUGGUCACAAAAAAUGGGGCCACUCGGCCUUCAGACCCGAGAAGUCAUUCUAAAAUAAGAAGAUAACUACAAUAAGCAAAAGCUAGGAACACAUUUGAUCAUCAUGAAGGUAGUUGGUAAGAUUAUGAAACUCGAUAAUCAGUCAGAAUUAUCCAAGAAUCAUUGGUUCAAUCACUCUUGACUUUUGACAUGAGAUGCAAGUUGAUUCUAACAGCAAAUAUAUGAUGAACAUGUUAAAUUAAAUCCAUCUUACCAGAUGCAUUGCUUUUUAAUUAUGACUUAACAUUCUCCACUCAUUACCAUGAAUUCAAUUGAAUGGAUCCAUAUUUUGAUUUUAGCACUGGUCAUUCAGCAAUAAAAGUAUAGCCUUUGAUAAGGUCAUAUUUAACAAAGCAUUCAAUACGAGAUUUUUUAUUUGGAAUAAGGAAAGGCUUAAAUUCAUGUUUUACACGCUUCUUUGCCAGGGUUAACAGGUUAAAGGCUAUAUAACAUCUCAAUAUAUCAAUCGAUUGCUUUACCACAUUCAGAUAUUAAUCAAAGUUGCAAUAGUACUAUUUUCAUUUCUUUUUGGACAGACAGAUGCAUUGAUUCAUGAGGAACAAAAAAAAGGGCAAAGCAAGUUCUUGUCAGCAAAGCAAAAAAGUAGACAAAAUAUUAUAUUUUUGUUUUUCAGCUAGUGCGAUUGUGUUAGAUUAGCCACCAAAGAAGAGAAUGAUGCCUGAUUUGAACUAAAAAAAAAAAAAAAAAAACAGCUAUUGAGAAUAUCAACUGAAACUUGAAUAUUCAAUUAUAACUCCUCAACUUCAUUUGCUCCUUGCCAGGAUUGAAAUCAUGCGAAUCAAACUGCCAUUUCACAUCAAACAAGACCACAGAGAUUUUUUUUUCUUUCAAAACUCAAAACAGAUCACACCCGUUAGUUCCACAACCUUUACCGUAGCCUUAGUAGCACUGUCAUACCCUCCCCAUGCAAGCUUUUUUUUUUUAUUUUUUUUUUAAAACAAGACCUCAGACCUCCCCAUGCAAGCUUGAGCUUGACCUCAGACCUUCCAUGUCUUGUUGCCAUUAUCUGCAGUUGACUCCAGAUUAAACAUGACAAAAAAUAUCAUUAGUAGAUAAAAAAUAUUAUCAUGCAAUCCAAAGUGAAAAAUAAGUGGGGCCAUGUUAAUGAGAGGUGAUGAAACUGACCACAUAACCAAUCUGUGACUCACAAGAUGCUGAGCAAAUCACCAUAGCAAGGGUGGAGGGGAGUAUUAUGCUGAGGAACAGGCAAAAUAAAGAGAGCCAAAACACUUGGCGCAAGUGCUUGUUCUUGGUGCACAGGAACAGCCGCUGAGUCAGUGAAUACUUUCUGGAUGAACAAAGAUUUCCCAAAGGAAAUCGUCAGUUAGCAUUUGGUGGUAGUAAAUCAAAUUAUAGAACCAAAAUAUCAACGUUGCAACCAUAUUCCCUUAGAGCUUGUAGCAUUUAGCAAUUUAUUUUCUAACCUUUAGCUCUUCGUCUCGUUUAACAUGAAGAGUUUAAAAUUGAAAUUAGAUACAUUGAAUGCAUGAUGUUGGCAGCAUUAUGAUUCAAUGCUUAUUCAAAACAGGCAGCUCUAGUCUCACCUUAAAAAUAAUGUAAAAAGCGAGAGAAAUUUUAACAGUAGGAAUACGACCCAUAGCCACUUGAAUAUUUAAAAAAAUGAAUAAAACCUAAAUUGUUCUCCUUGUACGAUGACAAAGUUUGAUCACACGAAAUUCAAGACAUGUCUUAACAUUAGAUUCUUCUCAAUUUUUAACCCAUCCAUCUUGAUUUUGGGGCACUUUGUCUGUUCAUAGUUUUAAACAUAUUCCAGGACAAACUGAGCAUGAAAAACCAAAUAGAAAGUCGUUUUGCACUCCACUAAUAUAAAGCAUGGGUUGUCCCUUAAUUUUACCAAAUUGAAAGCCGGAACUGGCGGCCCCCUUAUUUUGUAUAUUUGCCCAAUCCGUGACCACACAAGUGUGUGGCAGCAAUUCACCAGUUUCUACAAUCCACAGGAGAAGCAAAGAACCAUAAUGACAUACCGCAUUUCGAUUAGUUGAGGAUCAAUCAUUGUGCAGAAUCAACAUCACUGACCACUGAUCCAACAGUGUGGAGUUAUCCUGAUUCACCACAUGCACCACUUGCUUGAUGUUAUGUGUUUGACUGAUUCUCCACUGUUUUGGUUGCAAGAAUUCUUUGUUUAACAACGAGAGAAAUUACAGACCAACCUUUGGUGUAGUUCAGAAAAAUUUGUGAGGUAAUUAGUUUCGUGACAAAUAUGACUAUAGCAAUAUAUCCACCAUGAAUUCACAUUGCAGUGGUGGUCACUGCGCUCAAACUCAGUGAUACUAUAUAAUAAGUCAACCAGGGAUGAAAAAACCUUUUAGUGUCAGUUUCCAUCAUGUUCGAGGAAGGAAAGUGUCCCAACAGUUCCUACUCUAGUUUCCUGUUGGCUACCAAUACAGGAUAGCACGGAAUUUCACCUGACCCUACAGUUGUUGUAUAUGAUCAUUCUUUUUAAUAAGGAUGCCUAGCAUACCAUUUCGUUUCUGUCAGACCUGGUUUUCAUUUUCAGAGCGUUUUAUUUUGUCAGUUUAUGUAAAUAUUCUUCUGCGCGACCAUAUCACAUGUAACGCAACACUCCCAGUAACGAAAAGGAAAAUAGAAAGAAGGAACCUUACGUAUUAGUUAUCCUACUAAAUCAGGGGCGGAUCACUUUCAAAAUUGUUUAGAACCGCUAAAACUGCAGUAACAUACCCGAAACUAAUUACUCUAUAGUCUACACAGGAAUGGAUAUGAAUACAACUAUGCAGGAAACACCAUCACCAGCUAGUAACCCAAGUCGUUUAUGAAGUAUUCAAAACUUGAACAAGCUCUAUUGUUCUUAUCAGCACCAUUCCAUGAGUUCAUCUAUUCAAUGGAACAUCUCGGUGAUGAAGUAGUUGCUAUACUAGUCAUAAAAAGACGAGCUACUGCAAACUCAGAUUUUCUCCAUUUCUUGAACAAUUAAUUAUAUAGAACAAUAUUAUUCGAAUCACAACAAGAAUAUCUCACAUUCAUUUCAAGAUUCUAAAUAUCAAUUAAUUCAUUUUCGUUAUCAUCCAGAGUUUAACAAUAGUUUUAGCACAAAUUUCAACGCUGUAUCACAUACUCCCUCUUGUACAGCAAAAAGAGGAAGUACUAGGAUGGCCACGUGAGGAAGGAAAUACCUUUCUGUAUGGCACUGCUGAACUUUUUUCCUUUCUCCAUGACUAUUCAUUUUCUUUUUUGAUAGAAAUCAUGUUAAGUAACUGCAAGAGAUAAUCAUAGUUGAACAACAGUCAGAAGGUAAUGAACUUAGAACGAGAAUUCACUAGCCAGCAUGGAAGACAAAAAUAUUGUUAGACAUUAGUUUCUUGUUCACAAUUAGGCAAUCCAGCUGAAGCAAGAAUUUUCAAAGCAUAAUAUGAAAAUCUGUCCAUAGACAAGCUUUACAAAUUUAGAGACCAUAGGUAAGCGAACCUCGGCUAGAACGCAAUUUACACAUAUAUAUGUUUUCAACGUUGUUAAUUAAAGGUUUAGCAAAAAUCCAGCAGUACUUAAGGGUAUCAGAAUUUGCUACUCAACAUCUAUGAAAAGAUAUUUGUACUCAUUCAUGAAAGAUGGCUUUAUCACCUAUGCCCCUCAGUGAUAAACCCUUUCCUUGCUUUUCAGCUCAGUCAUAUUCACAAAGUCGCUGGCAAGAUCCACUAAUUUUUUCAAGGGCAACGCUCCCAAACUUGAUGGUCUGCAGAAAAUACAUACUAUAAUGAAAUGAUAAUGACGGUGAAUGUGUACAUGACUGGCUAAGAAUGAAAACAACUUCAACAUUCCAUAGAAUGGAGUACUGGGAAGUACUGAGAUCACAGAAGCCGUGAACUUUUGUAAUGGUCAUUAUUUGGCUAUGCUCGAUAGUAGAUAAUAGACAAUCGUUACUAGAUAUCACCAUGAAGAAGUAAAAUCUGAUUAUGAGGGAUUAGUCACAUACACUGGAAAAUUAACAACAAAUUAAAUGCAAAUGGAUUUAUGAAACAUAACAAGUGAGGAAAUAUGUCGUGAAGAGUUAAAUUUUAGUCAUACCUAUGGUGCGUAAAAGCCAUGCAAGCUUUCUAUGUUCCAAAAUGGUAGAAUAUCAGGGACAUCAAGUGGAUCCAAUUGCUGGCUGCACACAGAAUUUCUUUAACUGCAACUUUAAAAGUAUUGUAACGUAUUGUGUUUGAAGAUAUUUAUUUAAGUAAAUUAUCAUCUAUUCUUGUCUAUCACACAAUAGUCCUUCAGUUAGAAAACCCCACACAGUGGGAGACCAACCAAGGAGCAUCAGGCAGACUUACUUUUUGUAUCCAUAAAGAGAAAGGAUCUUCUUCUAUUGUCAUAUUACCUUUGAACCCACUGAAAUCCGACAAAAUAGUCUCCGGAGCCCCCACUAGUAAAGCCAGGUUCUUUCACCAAAUACCAAGUAAACCAUUAAUUGUAAUAAGGCUAAUAAAUUCAUCAACAUCCUAAACAAAAAGGUGCAUGCGGAUUUACAUGUCGGAAAGGGUGGUAACAUAGAACAUGGCACACUUCAAAUUGAUGAUCUAUCACAGUUGAACAUGGUUAAUUGCAUCUUAACUUACAAGUUUAAUGGACAUGUAAGCGAUUCGUAUAUGCGACCAUAAUAUUUAAGUGUAUCAGUCUGUGCCAAAUCAUGCAAAAAAAUAAAAAAAGAGACAAUGAAAAGAAAGAAAGGAAAAGCCAUAAACCCUCUAGCCCGCCAUGCACAUGAACAUGAGUGGAUGGCUUAUGUAGAAUUCUGGGCUCCUGGAGUAGAGGACCCACUCGACAUUGGGCUACAUGAUGUGAUCUUGACAAUUAAUAGCCAACCCAAAUUUUGUAAUGAUCUCCGUGUUUCUCUCCAGCCAUCUUUAUCUCAGAUGAUAGGAGACUUCAAGGACCUAAUUUAUUUCCAUUCAUUAACAGUGUGUCAUCAAAUGGUUAAGUAGAUCUCCACUCCACCCACAAUCCACAACAAGUGAUCAAAGUUGAGGUAUUUUGAAGACAGCAGAGAUGAAGGUAUACACUUUUCAGUAUAAGCCUGGAGAAAAUGAUACUUCCUCAAUUCUAUGGGUUGAAUGUUUCUCUUUUUGAUGCAGUUACUAGGUUGGAUGCACCGUAAGUUCCGCCAAAAUAGCAGUGAACCACUCAAGGAUUUUGCCAUUGGUAAGUGUCAUCCAGCCAUAUAGCCUUUUCUACUGAGACAUUUAUAUGGCAGAUUCAACUGAAAGGAUAGCUAUAAUCUCUGAGUCAUCUCUGGUCAUGAAAAUUAUGCAAAUUGUAAUGGCAAUGCAUGACCUAGAUUAUAGAUGUGCACAAGAGGCUGCAAAUCUAUCAAAGACCUGACAAGUGGUGCAUGUUUAGACUUAAUGCACAUGAACCACAAAGACCUCUGAACAGCAUACUCUUCAUACUGCUCGCUAUGAUGACUGGAAUAUAAGCUUAAGAUGAACCAAAAGUGAACUAUAUAAUGGUAAAUCCAUAGAUAUUGAAUAAAUAUAAAGCUUUCUUUCUAAACUAAACGUUAUCGUGGUUAGGAAAAAGUAAUCAAUAUUGUUUCUGCCGAAAUGUUAUGUUAGAACCUACUCUUCCCUCUAAUCUUAUCAUCAUCCAAGUUCUUCUUUUAACAUUUUCUGUGUCAGGGCAUUCUUGUAAUUGUCUUACAGGGCAGUCAUCACUGGAUGAUCAACAAUUCUACUCAAAGCCAAACUACGGUACCAAGCCAUUUAGGCAACCACAAAGAGACCAUCUUCGAAAGUCUUUUGCUGGUGUAGAAGCAGCUCGGGUAGAAGAAGACUAUGAAGAAGAAUCAUCAUCAGCAAUAUCUGAGCUAUUCCACGGCUUUCUUGCCAUUGGCACCCUUGGUUCUGACCCUAACAUUCCUGAUCCAUCAACACCGACAUUUGCUAUCUCUGUAGAGAAUAUAACUGAAAAAGAAACUGAAGUAACAGAGAAUGAGUUGAAGCUCAUUAAUGAUGAGUUGGAGAAGGUUCUGGGAGCUGAAGUUAAAGAAGAAGGCUGCAAUGACUCAUCUGGAAGAAACAGUCAUGUCAGCACUGGAAGAAGCAGUCAUGGCAGCACAAUUACGCUUAGUGGAAAGCCAAUGGAAGGUCCAGAUACCAAUGGGAAUGGUACUAUAGUUUGUCCACUCCAAGGUUAUCUUUUUGGCUCAGCAAUUGAAUUAUCAGAAACAACUACAGUGGCAAAAAAGGAACACAGGACCUCACUGGGGGAGCUGUUUCAGAGGACUAAAAUAACAGAGGAAAAUUUUGGGAGUAAAUAUGACAAGGAGGAGAAGCGGCCAGAGAAGGAAGGAGAUAAAUCUGCGGUGCACAUUAUGAAAAAGAUGCUGAAGAAAAAAAUGCUUAAUGCUUCAAGGAGCUCGACUGCAGCUACUGGCGGAAAUAUUGAUUCUGCUUCAGCAGAAACAAAACUGCACAAGGUACGUCAAAUAACAUAACUAGACCAAUCUUUUUCUUUGCCAUGGCAUUCCAGGAUCAUUACAAAGUGAUACAUAUGUCAGUUACAAGAGAAAUUUUGUAAGAAUAGAAUCCAAUAAUUUGUAUGCUGUAGCCAUAUGAUCCUAAGUGCGAACAAUGACAAAUGCUGGCCAAGAUAAAAGGACCAAAUUGAAUGGUCUGCAUAUCAAGUACGUUUUAACGAUAGCUCCUAUUCUUCUUUCUUUCUUCCCUUGCUUUCUUCUUUACCACAUUCUACUUCUUUUCUGUUUUCUUUUCACCUUUUUUAUUUCAAACAUUUACAAACAAAUGAAGAAAACUGACCAUUAGUUUUGAGUUUUAGUGGAUGUGCUUAAGAUUCUGACGACGAAAAAGGUUAAGUUCCCUAAUUCCGUGCAAUGUGGUGUGUAGAUCUUACACAUGUUCCACAGAAAAGUUCAUCCUGAAAGCUCAACAGCCACAUAUAAGCAUGACAAACCCCAAAAGAAUGAGAACAAGAAAGGCAUCUUGUAUGAUGGAGGACAUGAGAAUGGAGGUCAUACGCUUGAAGACGAGGACAUAAUGUUAUUUCCUCAGAGAGCCCUUUCAAAAAACAUGCGACGCUACAAGAGCCAAUCUAACCCACCUCAAUUCACAAUAAGCUGCAAUGAUUCAAAUGGGAACAGGGAGUGCUGGAUCAAAACAGAUGCAGACUGUAAGUAUAGAUGCAUUUGCCAUCAUCAUAUCCAUGAAGAAACCCUGUCAUAUACUAUCUAUAAUUCAGAGAAGAAAUAUCAUACUUGUCUGCUUUUGUCAUUUAUUUCUUUAUUUCUUUCCAAGAAUAUUUUAUUUUAUUUUUUAAAUAGCUAGUUUCCAUAGUUGAGAUCCUAAAAUGGAUGCUUAUAGCCAUGCAACAAAAGCAAGUGGCACUUGAUUAGGUUUGAUGCCUUGUGAUCCUUCUUGCAUGAUGACUCUACAGUCAGCACAAGUGUCACUGUGUCAUCACAUUUUUGGCACAUGGAAUUUAAAACCAAAAGGCAGAUGCAGCAGUCAAUUCUGAGUGUUGCACGUAUUUAAUGGUGUCACUGUUUUGAGUUUUCAAGAUAAAUAGCCUAAUCUCGUAAAAUGGUUUGUGUUUGUAGACCUGGUGUUGGAGCUCUAAAAGGCAGAAGCAACUUUCAAGUGUGGUUUUCAAAUUAUCAUCCCCAGUUAGUAAGAGUGAAGUUUCCUGUGUUUGUGAGCUUCUCUAUUAUUAUUAUUAUUAAUUAUUAAACUGGUAUUUGUGAGUGGCUAUUUUACGAAAGAGUUUGAAAUAAAUGAAGGAGGUCCUCCUCCUGAAACUUUACAUGUGAGGGUGCUUAAUGUAAAACUCUUAAGGCAUUAUUGUUUCCUACAAAGCAUAUCUCAAUUAGUAUUGGAGUUCAGUUACUUCAAUGUCUCCUUAAUCAUAGAUCAAAUGGAACCCAUAAUUUCCGUGAGGCAAAACACAUCAUUGAACAACAGACAACCAGAAAGCUACAAACAAAUGAGAAUCAAUCUGCUUUUUACAUUUUUUACACUAACAUUUUGUAAAUGAAGUACCACAAAUGAGACCAAUCCGAAGAUAGUGGUGGGAAAUAAUGCAGUAAGGGCAGCCAGAAACACAUUUUCUUAAUUUUUCCCUUUGCAGGUUUCCUCACCACGUCUACAAAAUGGACAAUUAAAAAUUUGGCGCAUGAGAAAACUGUAAAAUUAGGAGAGUGUAAAAAUACCAAGUUGUGGCUUCCAAAAAAUAGGAAAAAAUCAUAGCCUCAUAAAAGGUACAUACCCUAUAGUUGGUUAGGUUAGGGCCAACUACAUUGCAGCUAUUUUAAAUGUUGGAAUGUUACAAAUAAACAAAAACACCAGGAAACAAACAGAGGGCAGGGCACACAAGUCUUCGCAAUAAUAAGUUAUCCAAUGGCGGUUGCCUAGCCCAGUUCAUUGAAGACGCCAACUAGAAACAGCCGAUCGUAUCUCCUGAAAUUCGGACUGUCUAAAGCAGUCGAGCAACGAAAUUUGCAUGUAAAAAGAGCCUCCAAAUUCCAUGUAAUAAUUCACUGAAUUUGACGAAACAUUUUGUACAUGAACUGAUGAAAGAGAAAAGUGGCUUUCCUGGAGAAACGAUUGAGAGGCCAUUGUUUCCGCUUCACGUCCUAUCUGUCUCGUUUCUUUGUCACUUAUUUGUAGCAAAACAGCCAGAAAGUUUUGAUGGAAUUUUGGCCCUUAACGACACCAACCAUAUCAUCUCUAUCAAUUUCUUAUCCACCACGUCUUUAAUUUGCUCGAGUGACAUUCGGUCUAAGUGUCAACCCAAGAUCCACCCAUCCAUUACUCAUCCACCAUUUCUUACUAUUUUGAGGUCCGAUCCGGGGCAUACAUCCCACUCAAUUGUGGGACGCAGCAAUAGAGGGGUAUGAGAGACUUACACUAGUCUCCAAUCCUAUUUGUUACAUACUUCUCAAGACUCCCUCAAAUCAAAUUAGAUCAAUUACCUACUCAAAUCAAACAUGAUUUAAGUAAAGCAAUUUGAUCUAAUUAGUCUAUUGGAUCAAUUGAUUCAAAAUGUUUAGUAAAAUUGAUUUUUUUGUCGGUUCUUGGUUUCAAAAUUUUUGAACCAAUUCACCAAAAAACCCAAACCUAUUUAUAUAUUAUAUUAUAUAUAUAUAUUAAUAUAUAUAUAUUUUUUAUAUAUUAAGAAGAAUUGAUAGUAAACUUGAUUAAUAAUAUACUUAAAAUAUAUUAAUUAAUUUAUUAUAUGUAUAUAUUUACGUAUACAAAUUAUAAUUAUAGCAAUUUAAUUUUAGUUAUAUAUGUUUAUUUAUUUAUAAAUAUGUAUUUAUAUGAAAUUACAAGUUAUAUAUUUAAAUGAUAUAAUUUAUAUGUUAAUAUUAAUAAAUGAUAAUAAAUAUCCUACAUAUUAAUAUGUUAUAAUUAUUACAUCUUAGUAAUGUUUUAUAUAAAAUGUUAUGAAUAUAUACAAUUUUAUAAAUAUUAUAUAUAUAUAAUUUAUUUUACNUUAACUAUAAUUAGUUUUUUUUUUUUUUUUUUUUUUUUUUUUUUUUUUUUUUUUUUUUUUUUUUUUUUUUUUUUUUUUCUUUUUUUUUUUUUUGUUAUUAUUUAUACAAACUUUGAUAUAAAACAUUAUAACAUAUAAGUUGUAUCAUUAAUUUCAUAUUUAUAUAUAUAUAUAUAUAUAUAUAUAUAUAUAUAAUAAAGUAAUACAUAUAAAUAUAUACUAUAUAAAAUUAACAUAUUACUUAUACUUAUUAUAAAUAAGUAAUUAAUAUUUUACAAAAAAAUAAAUUUAGUUAAUAAUUAAUAAACAAUAUAUUAUAAACAAAAACAAAAUAAUAUUGGUUUUGUUUACAAUUUAAUAAUAUUAAAUAUAUUAAAUUACACAUUAAUGUCUAAUACACUAUGAAUAUCUAAAAAUAUUAUUAUUAAUAAUUAUUCAUUAUAUAGUAAAGUUUAAUAUAAAUAUAUUCAAUUUUAUUAUUAAUUAUUAAUUUAUUAAUAAAAUAUAAAAUGAUUAAACUUUUUUUUAUAUAAGGACUCAAUGGUCUUGUGUUAGUUUUUUUUGUGGAUGUUAAUUUUAUUAUUUUUGACUUUUUGUUAAUUUGAAUCUUGAAUUUUAAUUUGAUGGUUUACGUAAAAAAGAUAUAAUUAAGUGAGUGAAAGAAGAAAUGUAUGUUUUUUUAUAUUAUUAUUGUAAUUUGUAAAUAAAGUGAUAAAAUUUUAAUCCAUUGGUCUAAAACCGAGCCAAUCAAACCAAUUUCUAUGUUCGCAGUCUUCUUUUAUAAUUGGUCGAUUUUAAUCAAUUUUCUUAAAUUAUUUGAUCUAUUUGGUUUUUAAGUAUAGCAGACCAAACUACUCAAUCCACCAAUUUGCUCAUCCUUACAAGCCUCCCCAUUUUCUUUGUUAUUAUUUGGGGUUUCCAUUUCUUCCAAAGGCAACAAGGUAAUAAUCAAAGGAAUAAUUAAAUUAUUAUAUUUAGAUAAUUGUUUAUUAGUUUUUAAUCAAAUAUAAUGAUUAUCGAUCAUCUUUAAUGUCAAUUUUUUUUAUACUACAAAAAUGGAAAUUUUUUUAAAAAAUAAAUAAUCUAUCUAUCUAUCAUGGUAUCAACAAGACAAAUCAUGGGCUGAUAUGUAAUUGCAUUUUAAAUUUAAAAUAUUCUAAUUAUCUUCAUACUAAUAAAGUUACAUUGAAGCAUAAACUUAUUCUUUCUUAAAUUUAUUUGAAAUAUCUCAUUUGCAAAGUGUCGGAUAUAUAGUAAUAUCUCAUAAGGUUUCUAUUCCACAUUGCCUAGGUAUAAAAGAGAUUAGUGCUUUAUAAGCACACUCAUUAUGGCCUUGUUGAAAGCAAGAAAAGAAAAUGGUCUCACGUACACAUAAAAUUGGCCAAGCCUUGAGAAAAUGAAGAUUUUUCCCUUUCUGCGUGCAAGUGUACAUGUGGGUUAGACCCAAGUGAUAUUUUUAUACCUUGGUUAUAUGCUUUUUAUUUCCUUGACUAUUGACCAAGUCUUUUUACCAAAUUAGAAUUUGAUUUGGUCUUUGAUUCUGCCAACGUUAUAAAAUAAAGUGCUAUAUGACUUAUUUGGUCUUUGAUUGUUUUUCAAAAUAUUUUUAUAAUAUUACAUAAUAUUUUCUGGAUCACAAAAUAUUUUAUUUCCUAAUUUUCUCUCAGUUGUUCCUCCUUAUAAAUACCAGCCUCUAUGUUCAUUCUCAACACACCUUAAUUCUCUUUACUUCGUUUCUUUUGCUUUCUGCUUAGUCUCGCUGGGUUCUUUCUUUAUUUAUUUUCCUACUGUUACUGUAUCCCUAAUAGUUUGUACAAACAAUUUAGGAAGAGUUUGUUGAAUCUUAGGAGAUAACUGCUUUAAUCCUUUUACACUAAGUUUCAUACUUCGAAGGGAUGGAAAUAAUCCUUAAGGACAAUGUAUCACAUCUCAGACUUGUUUGGGUUGCUUAAUUUUUGCCAACAAUCUUAAGGAUAAUGGAUUCUCAUAUCGAUAAUGUUGCUGUUGUUGUCUUUGCUUCCACCAUUACUACUAAUGGUUCUACUCCGACAACUACUGCCCCCAUUGUAAAUGCUGCCAAUACAUCCACCACUCUCACUGUCUUAUCCAUUCUUGUCAUGCCUUUGGUGUCAUAUACAAUCAAACGGUCAAGAUGCUAAGAAGUUGUACAGAUAGAUUACAACAAAAACCAUAGAAAAAGUUAGAAAAUGUCUUUUCUUUCAAACAUGAUAUAAGGUAAGAAAAAAACUUAAAAGAGUAUACAGUUGUUUUUUUUUUUUGAAAAUGGAAUUUAUUGAUUAAUCAAACGUGGAGUACAAACUCCCAUCAUAUCACUCAGGAGUAGAGAGGAAACCUUUUCUGGUGGAGAAUCGUACAAAAUACUAUCAGAGUUUAACUCAAACCCUAGAUUAGCCAUAAAUCAACAAUUUUGUUCCCUUCCCUAUAUAUAUGACUUAUACUAACCUCCCAAUGCCUACUUAACAAGCCUUUAAUUGCUCUAAUUAAGUCUAGAUUAGAGCAAGGGUGAGCAGAAGAAAAACUGAUCACAUGAACCACUGCUUUAUUAUCAAUUUGUAAUUUAACUUUGCAGAAGCCUCGCUCCCAAGCCAGCUGGAGACCUUUGUAAACCCCCCAUAACUCUGCACUGUUGGCUCCAUUAGUUUUUAAUGACAAUAAAACAUUUCCAUUCAUUUGUGUCUAAUAUCUCUACUUAAGUGUGCAGGACAAAAAUUGUAUGCAAAUAAUAAAUCAAUCUGUCAAAAGUGUAUAUAAAAAAUCACAUGAAUGAGGAAAAAUGAUUGAUCAACAAAAAAAAAGGUCCUUAGUUGAAUAAUGAAGAGUAUUGGUUGACUAAAAUUUAAAUUGGAGAAAUGGCAGGCUGAAGAAUAUUGAGAAACAGAACCGACUUAGUCUACCAAGAAAUAAGUUAGUCGACUAAGUGCUCUCUGCCAGAAACUGAGAACAGAAGACAGAACCAACUUAAUCGACUAAGAAGGAAGUUAGUCGACUAAGAGUUCUCUGUCUGCAAUUUGAACCUGAGUACUAGAAGAUAGAUUAACUGCUAGAACCAUCUCUCAACUGUUUUCAACGGCCAUAAACUGUCAAACUGCCAUCAGAGUUGUUUCUUCAAGUAUAAAAGGGUCUUCUAACGGUUAAAAAAGAUAUAGAGAGAAGAUUGAAGGCUUUCAAGUAUGAAAAAGAGCUGAAAAACUAGAAAACACUCACUGUACUCUCACUGCACUUAACGCCUAUCUUUGUAAUUGUGAUCUGCCCUUAACCUUGUACCACUUGGAUCAACCUUGUGAUCAUAGGCACACUCUUUUUACUUUUCUUCUUAUAUUCUUAGAGUGAGCAAGUCACUCUAAGUGAUUAUUUCAAGCUAGGAUCGCUUGAUUAUGUUAAGGUUCUAACUUAACCUUGAAAAGUUAGGUGUUUGGAUUUCCGUUGAUCCCGGUAAAAACUAUUAUGAAAGGUUUUGGCUGAGCCUGGUAAAAGCCAUUGCAAAGCUUGGUGAAAGCUUGUGAAUUUCAUCAUCCAUAGUGGAUUAGUUUGGAAAAUCCUUGAUUGAAUAAUUAAGGUAGUAGAUGUAGGUCUUGGACCGAACCACUCUAAAUUCAUGUGCAUUAUCUACUCUGUUUUUAUUUUCAUUGCUUUUCAAAUUAGUUCCUCAUCUUGCUAAGAGCCAAAAAGUGUUAUUCACCCCCUUUUUAGCACAUUUAUUUGGGACUAACAAGUGGUAUAAGAGCCUAACCCCUGUUAUUAAAGUCUAACACCCUUAGGAAUAUCCAAAUGGCUCUCCAAAAAUUCAUAGUUGCUGAGAGACAAUCAACAAACAAACCACCUCUGUUUGAUGGCUCUAACUAUCCUUAUUGGAGCACUAGGAUGUCAAUAUACAUUAGAGCAAUUGAUUAUGAAAUGUGGGAUGUCAUAACUGAUAGACCAUUUAUUCUCUCAACUCGAAAUGUAGUGACAAAUGAGAUGAUCCCUAAGCCAAGGUCUGAAUGGACCGAGGCUGAAACUAAAAGAGUCCAGACCAAUUUUAAGGUAAUCAAUACAUUGCAUUGUGCUCUAACUCCUACCGAAUUCAAUAAAGUUUCAAGCUGUACUACACCAAAACAGGUGUGGGAUUAGCUUAGGAUUAUCUAUGAGGGGACUUCUCAAGUCAAGGAGUCCAAGAUAGCUCUCUUGACCCACAAUUAUGAAAUGUUUAAGAUGGAGCCUGGUGAAGAUAUUACCAGCAUGUUAGAUAGAUUCACAAACAUUACAAACAAAUUAAGUCAAUUAGGCAAACCAAUUUCAGAGCAUGAAAUUGUAAAAAGACUUCUUAGAAGCCUACCUAAAAAUUAAAAGCCUAAAGUGACUACAAUUCGAGAAGCCAAAGACCUAAAUGUUAUUAUUCUAGAUGAGAUUUGUUAUUCUCUCCUUACUCAUGAGUUAGAACUCAAGGAAGAGGAAGAAAAAGAUAAGAAGGAAGCAAAAGAAAAAAAAAAAGAAAAAGAGCAUUGCACUAAAAGCCAACAUUCUUGAAGAAGAGUUGGAAGAGCUCUAUUGUGAUGAUGAUGAAGAGUUGGUACUGGUUGCAAGGAAAUUUAGAAAGCUUAUGGGCAAAAGAAACAAGAGAUUGUCUAGAAGAGGCUUUAGAAAAGAUCAAGGUUAUUCAUGGAAAAUCAGAAACAAAAAUGACUCUAACAAGAAAGAAGAACUAACCUGUUUCGAAUGCAAGAAGCCUAGACAUUUCAAGUCCGAAUGCCCCUUGCUGAAAAAAAAAACUCUAAAGAGAAACAAGAAAUCAAAGAAGGCAAUGGUGGCAGCCACUUGGUCAGGCAGUGACACUUCAAGUUCUGAAGUUGAGGAAGAAAAAGCUAAAGAAAGAGUAAACUUGUGUUUGAUGGCACAAGAUGAUGAAUCUGAGGUAUCCUCAUCCCUCUGCAAUAUUUCUAUUGAUGAGCUUCAGGAUGAAUAUGAAUGUUUAUAUGAUGAAUUUGAGAAACUUGUUUUGAAAUACAAAGCCUUAAAGAAAAAGUCUGCAUCUCUUGAAUCAAAUUUGGAUAAGAUCAAACUUAACUUUGAUUCUGUUUUUGAACAAAGAAAUUUUCUACAAAUUGAAUUGGAGCACUCAAAAAUAAAUUUUGAAAACCUAAAAUUGGAAUUGGAAAGUGAAACUGAAAUAUUGCAAAAGCUAAGUGAAGAAAAUACUGCACUCAAAAGUUUGAAAAAUGAAACUCUAAAAAGAAAUGUUUACUACAAGAAAAAUUCUGCUAAUGCAUCAUCUAGGUGUUAUAUUUGUGAUAAAAUUGGCCAUAUAUCCUAUAAUUGCAAUAGAAAAGGAAAUGUGCAAAAAAUAAAAAAAAUAUGGGUUCCAAAAGGAUCCUAUAUUGCAACUAACAAUCAAGGACCUAUCAAGGUAUGGGUACCUAUAAACAAAAAUCGAAAAUCUGUCUUGUAGGUUGAGCUGCACUUAAAGGAGACAUGUUCAAGAGCUCAACUCAAGAAGAAGCAGCCUUGGUAUAUGGAUAGUGGCUGCUUAAGGCACAUGACAGGAGAUGAAAUGUUAUUUGCUAAGUUGGACAAAAGAAAGGGAGGAACCGUAUCCUUUGGUGAUGAUUCAAAAGGUAGAAUCCAUGGUAUAGAAACGGUUGGUAAGAACUCCCAAACUCAAAUUAGUCAUGUGUUAUUGGUCAAAGGCUUGAAACAUAAUUUAUUGAGCAUUAGUCAAUUGUGUGAUAAAGGAUUUAAAGUAUGCUUUGAUUCAAAUAAGUGUGAAGUGAUAGAUAUAAGCACUAAUAAAGUCUCAUUUAUAGGAAGAAGAUUAAAGAAUAUGUAUGUUGUAUUUCUUGAAGAUCUUGAAAUGAAUUGUUAAAUGUGUUUAGUGGCAAAUGCUGAAAAUGAUAGUUGGCUAUGGCAUAGGAGACUAGGACAUGUGAGCAUGCAUACUAUAUCAAAAUUAAUUAAGAAAAAUCUAGUUGUUGGAUUGCCGGAUAUAAAAUUUGAAAACGAUAAAAUAUGUGAUGCUUGCCAACUAGGAAAACAAGUUAGAACAUCCUUUAAGACUAAGAAGAUUGUGUCAACAACUAGACCUCUUGAAUUGCUGCACAUUGAUCUAUUUGGUCCAAUAAGUAUAACUAGUCUAGGAGGAAAAUCUUAUGGCUUUGUAAUAGUUGAUGACUACUCUAGGUACACUUGGGUUUAUUUUCUUACUCAUAAAAAUGAUGCUCUAUCAGCAGUUAUAAGUCAUUGUAAGAAAGUUGAGAAUGAAAAAGGACUAGCCAUAGUUAGUAUUAGGAGUGAUCAUGGAGGAGAGUUUGAAAGUGAUGAAUUUGAGAAAUUUUACAAUGAAAAGGGGUUGGAUCAUAAUUUUUCUGCACCUGGAACGCCCCAGCAAAAUGGAGUUGUAGAAAGAAAGGAAAAAUCGAACCUUAAAAGAAAUGGCUAGAACUCUGCUAUGUGAGAAUAACCUACCAAAAUUUUUUGGGCUGAGGCAGUGAACACAACAACGUAUAUACUUAAUAGAGUCUCAAUUAGAGCCAUGAUAUCAAAGACUCCAUAUGAACUUUACAAGGGUAAGAAACCAAAUAUUUCACACCUUAGGCGUUUUGGUUGUAAAUGUUGUGUUAAACAAUGGAAAACAGUCCUUAGGUAAGUUUGAUGCAAAAAGUGAUGAGGUAAUAUUUUUAGGAUAUGCAUUAAACUCAAAGGCUUAUAGAGUUUUCAACAAAAGAACUUUAACUGUUGAAGAAUCAAUCCAUGUAGUUUUUGAUGAGUCUAAUGCCUUACAAAAGGAAAUUCAUGCUAAUGAUGAUGAUGUAGAGAUUCUAGAAAAACAAAUGGAAGAAAUGAGCUUAGAGAACAAUAAGAAUAAUGAAGAAAGCUCACCUAGAAGAGAAAAUGAAACUCCACCUUUAGAAAAUUUGCAAAGAACAGAAAUUCAGCAUAGUGAUCUUCCAAGGAGUUGCAGAUAUGUAAAAGACCAUCCACAAGAACAAAUCAUAGGUGACAUUUCUCAAGGAGUUAAGACUAGGAGAGCAACAAGAGAGACUUGUGAGUUUUUAGUUUUCAUAUCUCAAAUUGAGCCUAAAACAUUUGAGGAAGCAGAAAAAAAAGAAAGUUGGAUAUUGGCCAUGCAAGAGGAACUUGAUCAAUUCAAAAGAAACCAUCUGUGGUCAUUAGUCUCUAGGCCUUUAAACCACCUUAUUGUUGGAAGAAAAUCGGUGUUUAGAAAUAAGGUAGAUGAGUAAGGAAAUGUAGUUAGAAAUAAAUCUAGGUUAGUAGCCCAAGGAUACAACCAAGAGGAAGGAAUUGACUAUGAUGAAACCUUUGCACCGGUUGCUAGGAUUGAAGCCAUAAGGUUGUUGCUUGCUUUUGCAUGCUUUAUGAAUUUUAAAUUGUACCAAAUGGAUGUAAAUAGUGCAUUUUUAAAUGGAUUCAUUCAAGAGGAAGUGUAUGUUGAACAACCACCAGGAUUUGGAGACUUUGAAAAACUAGAUCAUGUUUUCAAACUUCAUAAAGCUUUGUAUGGAUUGAAACAAGCUCCUAGAGCUUGGUAUGAGAGGUUUUCAAAAUUUCUGGUUGAAAAAGGAUAUGUUAGAGGUAGCAUUGAUACUACAUUGUUUAUUAAAAGAUACUUAAAGGAUUUAAUUGUUGUUCAAAUUUAUGUGAAUGACAUUGUAUUUGGUGCAACCAAUGAGGCUUUAUGCAAGAACUUUGCUGAAGAGAUGUAGGGUGAAUUUGAGGUGAACAUGAUGGGAGAGUUGAAGUAUUUUAUUGGGCUUCAAAUCAAACAAAGUGAGAAAGGAAUCUUCAUCAACCAAGAAAGAUACACUCAAGACAUGCUCAAAGGGUUUGACAUGCUGAAGCUGAAAUCAAUUUGCACACUAAUGAGUCCAUCCACCAGACUUGAUUUAGAUGAAAAAGGAAAGGAUGUUGAUCAAAAGCUCUAUAGAGGCAUGAUCGGAUCAUUACUCUAUUUAACAGUUAGCAGACCUGACAUUUAAUUCAGUGUAUGUCUAUGUGCUCGUUUUCAAUCUAAUCCUAAGGAAUCACACUUGACUACUGUUAAAAGAAUCUUUAGAUAUCUCAUAGACACUCAAACAUUAGGCAUAUGGUAUUCUAGAGAAUCAACCUUUAAUUUAAUUGGAUAUUCAGAUGCUAAUUUUGCUGGCAGCAAAAUAGAUAGAAAAAGCACUAGUGGAACCUGCCAAUUUCUAGGUAGUAUGCUUGUGUCAUGGUCUAGCAAAAAGGAAAAUUCAGUUGCUUUGUCCAUAGCAGAAGCAAAAUAUGUAUCUCUAGGUAGCUGUUGUGCUCAAAUCUUAUGGGUUAAAUAACAACUAAAAGACUAUAGAAUAUCAAUGCAUAAUAUACCAAUAUAUUGUGACAAUACAAGUGCAAUUAAUAUUUCAAAAAAUGCUAUGCAGCAUUCUAGGACUAAUCACAUUGAGAUUAAGCACCACUUUGUUAGAGACCAUGUAGUGAAGGGUGAUAUUAAAAUUGAGUUUGUGAAUACUUUGCAUCAAUUAGCUAACAUCUUUACCAAACCUCUAAAUGAAGAUAGAUUUUGUGAGAUUAGAAGGAAUUUAGGGAUGAUUAAUAUGCAGGAGUUGUAGGUAAAUUUUUGACUCAUGCACAUAAAACAGAAGGCACUUAGUCAACUAAAGAGAAUCUUAGUCAACUAAGAGUGUUCUGUCAUCUUAAAUAAUAAGACUUAGUCAGUUAAAUGAAGAAGGAAUAAAAUAAUGAAAAGAAUGUGUUUACCGAGUAAUAAAGAAAGAAGAAAAACCGCCUAGGAAAAUAACCAAGUUUAGAGGGAAUUUUUCAAAUUUUGAACAGUAGAAAAACUGACAGCAUUUAAGGGGAAGUCAGAUAGUUUUUUGAGAGAUUAAACUGCCUAUUAACCCAUUUCCUCUACAUUUUCUCCGUUGAAAUCGACUCACACAAAAAUGAAACCCUCACCACUCAAAAUCUCAAAACCCUCAAUAAAAAAUUUCUCAAGUCAAAAAUGGUAAAAAACUCUAAGAGCAAAGAGAUUAUUGAGAAGAAGAAAGGUAAAUGGCCAUUGGAAGAAGGCAUGGAAGCAGAAAUACAGAAAAAGAAACAGAAAAUUGGGUCUACUUCAAUGAGUGAAAAAUUUGGGAAAUCACAGAAGGAAAAGAAGCAGAAAACAUAGAAGAAGAAAAAAAAAGGGAAUAUCAUCAAAGAAAGGUAAAUCUUUGUCCUCUAAAUUUAGAAGCAAAAUCCAUGAGGAUAGGUUCCAGAAAAUUGAAAAUGCACCAAUCACUUGUGGAAAGUUUAUAGACUGGAACAGUUUUAAUGAAGUGUCUGAAUUUGAAGCAGUUUUAUCAGAUUAUUUUAAGGAGAUGAAAAUGAAAUAUUUUAGUACUUUUAAGAAUCGAGCUUAUAGUGCCAGUUUGGUUAAAGAAUUUUAUUCUAGUAUAGCAGUUGAGAAGAAUGAAUUAGAGGAGUCAGAUGAUUAUCUUGAGGAUGGCCUAAAUGUAUUUUUAAAUGGGAAAGAAUUUACUGUGACUGUUAUUGAUUUGGGCAAUUUGCUUAAAAUUGAAUGUGAAGAGGGUGAGUUUGAAUUUCUUGAAAACUAUGAUCCCUCAUCCCUGUGGGAAGUGAUUACAGGAAAGAAAGAGAAAUAUUCUUCUAAGAGUAAUACUGGUUUGAUCACUAGUCCAUAAAUUAGCAUAUUGCAUUAUUUCAUUGCUGCUAAUGUUCAUGGAAGAGGGGGAAGUUUUUGCUAUAUCAGUCUUCAGGAUCUUUGGCUAAUGGAACAUGCCUUCAAUGGCAGUCCACUGAACCUAAGAAGAUUUAUGAUUGGGAGGAUGAAGGGAGCUUGUAGACUGGAAAAGAUUAAUCUGUCAUAUGGGAAUAUCAUUAUUGCACUGGUCCAAAAAAAAGGGAUUUAGAGUUCAAGAUAUGCAUUGGAUCAAGUAAAGAGCAGGGAUCAACCGAUCUACCUUGGGAGUUUACCUAAGAUGGGAUACAAACUUGAAGGAGAAAAAUAUGUUAAAACUUUCAAAGUAACUCCUAAAAAAGAGACUUCACUCCCGGCUCAACUAGAGGCAGCACCAUCUCAAUUCUCAAAUGAAGUGAUCUUCAACCUGCUUAUGAGAAUUGAUGGAAAGCUCACAGACCAAGGAGCAAGAAUGAAGAAAAUUAAGGAGAAAGUGGCUGAACUGAAAAAUGUACUAAAAAAAAAAAGGAAAAAUGCCAUCCGAACCUGCUACUACAGAUACCUCUGCAACUUUAACCCCAACACCAGCAGGGGAAGCUGCUGAAGGCCCUGCCUUCCCAGCUGAGAGUUCUAGAUGCUCUGCUCAUCAGGACAAAGAUGCUGAACCAAUGAUUGACCCUACAGUUGAGCUUGAAAAGGAAAAUGGGUCAGAUAAGGGAACUGAAGUUCUUAGAUCUCUUGAUGGCAUCUCUCCACCCAUUCAAGAUCCACAACUAGACCCUCAACCAUCUCCUCCACAUUCUGAAGAGGUUUCAAUCAUGGGUCUUUUUCAUAAAAUGGUUCAUGAGGAAUAAGUUGAAAAGGAAGUAACUCAAGCAAAAACACAACAAGCCACAUCUGCACCAGCACAAACAGUAGAGAAGUAGAUUGGGAAAGGAAAAGAGAAAACUACUGCAGCCCACAGACUAAACCAAAACCACCUAGUAAAGGCAUCAAGAGGAUGGCAACCAAGAAAAAAUUCCUUAAAAGAAGAAAAUCCUCCAGAAUUGCUAAGAAGUCUAAACCAGCAACUAUCUCUUCUCCUCAAGAACCUCUGAAAAUUUCUGACAAAUCCUCACCUGAACCUCCACCACAAAAAUCACCACAAGAACCUUCUCCUGAACCCCUAAAUGUCAAAUAUUUCACUAAUGAUGAAUCCUCUCUCUCAUCCUCUUCAAAAGAUGAUUAAACAUCCUUAAGUUUUGAUGAUGACAAAAAUGGGGAGAAGUGGAAAGCUAAGAGGAAAGGGAAAAUAAAUUUUAAAAAAAUGUUAGGGUAGAGGUACCAAGAAUCUAGGUGAAAUUUAGGAUGUUGAAUCUAACUAGGUUGUCUAUGGUAGUUUGUUGAAAAUUAGAUACUGAUCAUUGUGCUAAGACACUGUUUAUUUCUUUUGUUCUGUAAUAUGUUGAAAACUUAUUCUGAUAAUGCACUGAAAACUUAUUCUUAUGAUAUUUUGGUUGGAUUGUGAAUGAAUGCAAUGUUGAUAAGUUGAUGAUUGAAUAUCUAAAGUUGUUAUUAAGUUUCUAUUGUUGUUUAAAGAUUUGAUGCUGAUAUUAAGUUGUUAUGCUGACAAUUAAUAUGAUAUUGUGAGUAAGAUUUGGAUGAAAAUAAAUAUGAAUGCAAAUAUUUUUGACUGGAUGAUUUAUGGUAUUUAGCUUUUGAAUGAAUUAAGUCUGGAAACAAUAUGAUAGACAUCAAAGUGAAAUAGUAAUGAUGUUCUGUCAUCUUGUCACUUACUGUUUAUUAUUUCAUAAGCCUAUAUAAAUAUAUUCUGUCAAAAAUUUGAACCCUUACAUGGCAUUUCUGUAUGACAAGAAUAAAAAAAUGCUGAGAUGAAUAAUAAAACUAUGCACACACUAAGGGGGACCACACACUUAGGGGGAGGAAAACCACCAUUUUGUGCAGAACUGAAAAGAAUAAAAGGACGUUGUGCUGUUAAUCAAGGAAUGUUUUGUCAUCAUCAAAAAGGGAGAGAUUGUUGGCUCUAUUAGUUUUUUAUGAUAAUAAAACAUUCCCAUUCAUUUGUGUUUAAUAUCUCUACUUAAGUGUGCAGGACAAAAAUUGUAUGCAAAUAAUAAAUCAAUCCAUCAAAAGUGUCUAUAAAAAAUCACAUGAAUGAGGAAAAAUGAUUGAUCAACAAAAAGGAAGGUCCUUAGUUGAAUAAUGAAGAGUAUUGGUUGACUAAAAUUCAAAUUGGACAAAUGGCGGGUUGAAGAAUAUUGAGAAACAGAACUGACUUAGUCGACCAAGAAAUAAGUUAGUCGACUAAGUGCUCUCUGCCAAAAACUGAUAUUAGAAGACAGAACCAACUUAAUCGACUAAGAAGGAAGUUAGUCGACUAAGAGCUCUUUGUCUGCAAUUUUGAACCUGAGCACUAGAAGAUAGAUUAACGGCUAGAACCAUCUCUCAACUGUUUUCAACAGCCAUAAACUGUCAAACUGCCAUCAAAGUUGUUUCUCCAAGUAUAAAAGGGUCUUCCAACGGUUAAAAAAGAUAUAGAGAGAAGAUUGAAGGUUUCCAAGUCUGAAAAAGAGUUGAAAAACCAGAAAACACUCACUGUACUCUUACUGCACUCAACACCUAUCUUUGUAAUUGUGAUCUGCCCUUAACCUUGUACCACUUAGAUCAACCUUGUGAUCAUAGGUACAUUCUUUUUACUUUUCUUCUUGUAUUCUUAGAGUGAGCAAGUCAUUCUAAGUGAUUAUUUCAAGCUAGGAUCACUUGAUUGUGUUAAAGUUCUAACUUAGCCUUGAAAAGUUAGGUGUUUGGAUUUUAGUUGAUCCCGGUAAAAACUAUUGUGAAAAGUUUUGGCUGAGCUUGGUAAAAGUCAUUGUAAAGCUUGGUGAAAGCUUGUGAAUUUCACUGUCCAUAGUGGAUUAGUUUUGGAAAAUCCUUGGUUGAAUAAUCAAGGUAUUGGAUGUAGGUCUUGGAUCGAACCACUCUAAAUUCCUACACAUUAUUUACUUUGUUUUUAUUUUCAUUGCUUUUCAAAUUAGUUCCUCAUCUUGCCAAAAGCCAAAGAGUGCUAUUCAGCCCCCCUCUAGUACAUUUAUUUGGGACCAACACGCACGAUAGGCUGAACUUUUAUCUAACUUGCAGGCAUAUCCCACUAUCCAAGUACCAUGUGUGUCUCUCAACACUCCUCCAGUAGAAGAAGUCCUUACUGCACUCUUGUACGCCCUAUUCGAAUUCACUGCUAUCCAUUCUUCUGGUGGUGGUGUCCAUCCCACUAGGAUCUCUUCAUGUCGCCUCAUACCCCCACUUAUCAAAGGAAGAGUUGUCCAUGUGCUAUGAGUAUGUACAGCCAUGCUUUUGAUUAUACUUAGCUCGCCUUCAAUGGAGAGUUCGCAACCUUCAAAUAUUAACAAGUUUCGCCAUUUCCAAAUAUACAAGCAAGCUAUACCAAAAACAAUAUUUCAGGGGACAUCAAAGGUAUAAAGAGUAUAUAGUUGUUUUAUUUUACUCUCUUGAUAUAUUCGUUUAUCUGCAUAUUUUUGUUUUUACUCUUUAUUUUCUUGGAUUAAAGAAUGGCUGAACCAUUUUAAUAUUUUAAAAUAUUAACUUUUUCAUCACAAGGAAAAAUAUAAUUGGCUUAAUUUGGAGUCAUUAUACAUGUUCAGAGCAAUUUUUGUAAAUCCUUGUUUUAUGAAAGAGUCUGAUCUCAUAGUAAAGGCUUUUUUGUUAUCUUUUAUUCUUUUAUAUUCUCUUGAUGGUGCAAGAUGUUUAUAAAUAAUGAAAAGUAAUGGGGUUCUCAGCAAAUCAUAAGUUUUAGCUUAUAACAAGUGUUUGUACACCUCCUGCUAUAGGUUAAAAAAAUAAACAAGUACUAUAAACUUCAAAGCAAAAAAACAAUGAUAGAUUGAUGGUGAUUCUUUGUAAACUAGUGUGCUGCCCGUGUGAUGCGCUCGCACUUGGGAUGACAAUUUUUUUUUUUAAUUGGAUUGCCAAUAGUUUGUAAAAUAGAUAUGUAAUAGUAAUUAUUUUAUCAUAUUUAAUUAUUGAUAUACAUUGACAUGCACAAAAUAUUGUUUUACAAAAUAUAUAAGUAGUGUUAGUUGUGUACAAAAAUCAAAACAAAAGUUUGCACUUAGGUCAUCGAUAUUUAAUACUGUUUGUGCAAAGUUGGUGCCUUCAUACAAAAUAGAGAAGGCAUUUUAGUUUGCAAUUGCUGAUUCAACAAAAGGUAGACCAAAAACGUGUAGCGAGCUUGGGAUCAUUCAUACUCGUUUGUCUAGCAUGGACUUGCAUGUAGUGAACAAUAUUUUAUAUUAGAAUUUCAUGUUGUUUCAAAUGCUAAGUUGUGAAGGGAAUCUAUAAAUGUAUUUGUAUAGAAAAGUAAGCAUGAGAUGGAAACAUAAAAACUAUAUGAGAUUUUUUUAAAAAAUAAAAUAAAAUGAUAUGGAUAAAAUAAGAACAAAAAUGUGUUCCAGUCAAUUAAGUGUACUAAAUGUUCAACAAAACGAAAAUUGUGACCAACAGUGAGUUCAUUAUAUAUAGAUGGACAAUGUGAGUGUCAAAGUGGCAAAAAAAAAAAAAAUGCAAUGAAUAUGAUACAUAGUGACUUUGUACCAAUAGAUUACUUGAUUGCAUCAAAACUAAUACUUAAAUUUUAAAAUGCCAUAGUGAUCAACUGAAUUAAUUUUAUUUACAAUAAUUGUAUGUGCAUAUAAUUUGAACAUCACAAUUUGUACACCAUGGAAAGUUAUUACUGCAAAUGCUGAUAGACUACAGUAUUCAAAAUAUCACAUAAUAGACAGCAAAAAUAUUGUUCUUAAUUGUUUGUCACAGUGUGGCAUUAAUUAAUCAACAUUCAACAUCCAUUGAGUGAUUUCACAAUUAAAUCAAUCCAUUCAUCAAAUUAAACCCAUUUCAUCCAUUAUUGAAAAUGACAUUUCUAUUAAGUAUUCUAAAUCAAAUAAAGCAAACAUAUAUGCACUCCAUUGAUAUUUGUACUCUUUAGGUCAUAUUAUAUGCCAUAGCAACCAAUAUUAGAUCAUUUUCAAUCACUCUUACAAAUUAAUUAAUAACAGUACUUUCAAAUAAAUCACAUCGUAUAGCCUAAGAAAACAUAUACAUAUUCGCAUAAAAACGAUAAAAAAUGAGCAGAAAUGGUGAUGAGAAGAAAACAAUUUAUAAAAGAAUGCAAUAUGCGUGUCUUACAACUCAAUGCAAUUUAUGAAUAUUGUUGGAAGAUAAUCGGCAACACAAACUUAUACAGAACAGCACAUAAAUAUUUGCAUAAAAAAAGUAGAAAGUCCAAACAUUCAAUCACAAAGUACAUAGUAACGAAUUUACAUAUUAACUAAUUAGCACAACACCAAUAUCUUUGUUUUGUUUGCUAUAAUUAAUAAAAAACAAAAAGAAAUUCAUUUGGAUAAUGCAAAAAAGAAGUUCAUUUAACAAAAAAAAUAAAAAAAGCAAAACAGAAAUAGAGUAAAUUUAUAAUGUCCCACUUUAAAUGUUUUUUUGUCUAACAUCUCAAUACUAUAAUUGAUAGAAAGAAUGAAAAUGAUGUUAUAAACAAAGCAGGGCAAUAUAUAUUUUUUUUGACACAGCCUACUUUUGUAUUUCUAAAGUUUAAUAAAGAAAUAAUCUUUUGCAUAAAAAUAGUAGAUAAUUUAUAUAUUCUAUCAAUAGGUACAUAAGAAACAACUUACAUGUUUGCUAAUGACCAAACAGUGAUAUUCUUCUCUUUCGCAACUUGUAAAAACCAGCAGAAAAAAAAAAAAAUUAUUCAGUUAAUAAAAGAUUGUAUCACCAAAACAAAAAGAUAGUAAUGAUUUUGAGUUCGAUAAUGUAGAUAUACAUAAAAUAUUAUUUAUUUGGGUAAAAAUUAGACAUGAAAAGAGCUGAAAAACAAUAAACUUGAAAUGUCAUAUUUACUCGUAUCUAAAAUAGUCAGAGAAUCAGAGUUUAUCUCUUCUUUUCUACUUUCCCAGCUUUCUCUGUUGACAAAUCAUCACUUGUUCUUGUACUGUCCUAUAAAUCAUCCGUUUUUAGCAACCUAAUAAUGACCAUUUUAAUAUAGAAAGAAAGAUACCAUAAAAUAUAUAAGAUCCUAGAAUGAAAUUCCAAAUAAACAAACAACCAAACAUGUUGUCGGUAUCCAUAUUGAAAAAUAAAAAUAUAAAAUACACUUCUGCUUGCAACCGAGGCCAGACGUCAAAAACCGACCAGAAGCCACAAAAAAUCUUCAAUUGACCACAAACCCGAUCACUGAAAAGAAAAGCAACAAUAAAAAACCAAAGAGAAACGCAACCCUCUGUAGGGAAUUGAGAAAUGUUCAAACAGAACUAUCUAGAAGACUUGCACAAAUGACAGGAGAGAGCCAAUAAAAUUCAACAAUACCAAGAAACACCUGCCCACAUUUCCACCUCCUUUGAAAGCCGUCCAAAAAACAGUCUAUCACCUGACCUAAAGAUCAACCCAUAAAAAAAAAAAAAAAAAAAGGACAAACUCAAAUAACAACUCAUGAAAUAGCACGUGUAAAAUAGAAAGAAGAGAGCUGACGUGGCUCAAUGGGAGAAGCCCUUUCAAGCUUCCUUUAAAUAUAUUUAUAGAUUUUGUUUAACCAGAUUUUACAGUGAAAUUAUUGAAGUCGAACAAUGAUGAAGAAAAUAAACGAUCUUUCACAUUAAGUUGGUAUUAAGUAGAAAGCUAGGAGAAAAAGUUGAAACAUCCUGAUUAUGUUUUGAAUUUGAACUAAUAUAGUAUUGGUAUUUAUAACGUAGGGAUUCUUUAUUGUCCUGCUGCAAGGGAAUUCGAUACUUUUAGUGUUGCUUAUUAUUAACCAUGUUUAUUGAAAGAACUAAGUAAGUAAUAUACGUAAAAUCCUUUAGAAAAAAAAAAACACAAGAAAGCAAAUAGAUCAUUUUUUGACUCUUGAUUUGAAAUUUGUUUGACUCUUGAUUUGAAAUUUGUGUUUAACACAAAGACACUAGUUCAGUAUUAGAUUUUAGAAGCAUGUUGGUGUGAAACUUAAGUUGCUUUUUAGAUAAAGGCUUUCAUUAAGGCUCAGUUUCAAGAUAGAAUUUAAAGCAUAUUGUAGAUAUUUUUGAAGAUAACAUGCAUUGAUGUUAAUAAAACAUAAUAUUUUUUAACUUUUAAAUUUGAUAUGAAAGAUUUGAGAGAAGCUAAUAUUGUUUUGGGUGUUAAAAUCAUAAGAUGUGAUAGCGGCCUAAUACUAACACAAAAAUAUUAUGUUGAGAGGCUACUUAAAAAGUUCAGACAUUUAAUGUCACACCUAUGAGUACUUCUUAUGAUGCUAAUACCUAAUCAAAGAAAAAUAGAGGUGAUAGUAUGGCUCAACUUAAGUAUGCUCUAAUUAUUGGGAGUCUCAUAUAUUUGAUGAAUUAUGCUCGACUUGAUAUAACUUAUACUAUGUGUAGACUGAGCAGAUAUACACAAAGCCCUAAUCGAGAUCAUUGAACUACCUUGAGUAGAGUAAUGAAAUUGAGGGGUACCAUAAACUAUAGUAUUCUAUAGAAUGGAUUUCUCGUUGUAUUAGAAGGAUAUAGUGAUGUUAACUGGAUUUUAGAUUUAGAUAAGACAAAAUCUAUGAGUGGAUAUGUAUUCACCUUCGACGGGGGUAUUGUAACUUGGAAAUUAGCCAAACGAAUAAUAAUUGCUAAAUCUACAAUGGAAUUAAAAUUUGUAGCUUUGGAGUUGGUUGACAAUGAUGUUGAGUGGUUAAGAAACCUCUUGGCAGAUAUUUCGUUGGGAAUGAAACCAACACCUUCGUUUAAGACAUGAUGUGGUAAAACAGUUGAGAUGGAAUUACGUCCAUUAAUUAUGUGACGUCAGAAAUGAAUUUGGCCAAUCCUUUGACUAAACCAUUGGGAAGAAAAUUAAUUAAUGAUGCAUCGAGGGGAAUGAGACUUAAGCUAAUUGAGAAAAAUCAAUAGUAAUGGCAACCCAACCUAUGUGAGUGGCGAUCCCAUGAAUUAGGUUCAUAUGGGUAAUAACAAGUUAUUUGUUGAUAAAAUAAUGCACUAUUAAAAAUUAUUGUCUCUCAUAUGAUGUGUAAAUAGUACAAAACUGCAAUAAAAGAGAGGUUUAGUUAAACUCUUAAUGAAUUCCAUAUCUCUUAUGGGUAGUAUAUUAAAUUACAGUAUAUACUUGAUGGAAUCACCUAUAUAAGUUUGGUGAGGCUGUUCUUAUAAGAAUUGUGGCAAAUUCUCUAGAGCACUUAUGAAUAACUAGGCACAUACAUGGCUUAUUCGAGCAAAACCAUGUUGAACAGCAGAAAUUGUGAGGUUGUGAUGUGAUUGAUGAAAAUCAUAUUUCACAUAAAGAAUUUUUGGUUCAUAUAAGUUAUAAACUUCACCAAAAUUCUAUGAUUUAUAUUUCAUUCUUUUUAGGCUAGGUUCAUUGCUCAAAAAGCACCAAUCUCGAUGCAUUUCACUUAAAUGAGCUUAAACCAUCAAAAACUUCCUAUUAUGAAACCUGAUUAAUUAUAUGGGGGAUUAUUGGAUAUAUAGUGAUAUCUCAUAAGGUUGCUAUCCCAUAUUGCGUAGGAAUACAAAAUGUUAAUGUUUUAUAUAAGUAAACUCAUUAUGGGCUUGUUGAAAGUAAGAAAAGAAAGUGGUUUCGUGCGAACACAAGAUCGGGCAAGCCUUGAGAAAAUGCAAAUUCCCUUUUACGUGUGAGUAUACACAUGGGCUAAGCCCAAGUGAUAUUUUUGUACCUUGGUUAUAUGUUUUUUAUUUCCUUAACCAUUGAUCAAGUCUUUUUACCAAAAUACAAUUUGAUUUGGUCUUUGAUUAUGCCAAAAUUAUAAAAUAAACUUUUAUAGGACUUGAUUUGGUCUUUGAUUUAGCUAACGCUAUAAAAUAAACUAUUACAGGAUAUGAUUUGGUCUUAUAUUAUUUUUUAGAAUAUUUUUAUAAUGUUAUAGAAUAUUUUCCUUAUCACAAAAUUUUUAUUUCUUGAUUUUCUCUCAGUCGUUCCUCCCUAUAAAUAGGUCUACCUAAAUCUCCUUCAUCAAGGUUUAACCUAGGUUUCCAAUUCAAUCUAAUUGGUGAUUAGGCAUUUAGAAGCAUUAAGAAAUGAUUAGAAUAAACAACUUCAAUCCAUCAAACAUAAGCAAAAGAAAGAUAAAUAAAUCAAAUUAGAUAUUGUGUUCAAUCAUAAUCUUAGAUUAAUAAUUUAGUUCCCCAUCAAGUUACACAUCAUUAUCGAAUUAAUUUAAAACAUUCAAAUCAAACUAAGAAAAAUAAGAGAAUGACAAAAGGAUGAUAGAACCCAAGAAUUUAUAAUCUUGAUCUUCUAAAUCUUCUUGACUCAUUUAAAUUCUUCUCAGCUUCAAUAACUUUGCGGCUUGAUUUUCAGCUGUCAAUCUGGUGUUUCUCUCUCCCCUAUAAAAGACUCUUGAAAGGUUGUUUUUAUAGGGUUUUGACGUUAGGCCAAGUUGGGUGAAGAAAGAAGCCAAUUCCAAUAAGGAUUUCUUUAUCAAACUACAUGAGCCAUGGCCUUGACCCAUUAAUUAGUAGAAAUCGUAAUUGCUCUAAGACUACUGCAGUACUUCAAAUUUGACAUGAUUUUUGAUCAUCUUUCAAACCAAAGUGGUGAAAUGGUAUACUUAAAGUUGUAAAAUUUUCUUUUACCUUUCCAAUGGUUUAAGAAUUAUCUUAUUUGGAGUUCUGUAGAGAGAGUUAUGGUCAAAAUACCGAAACAUAUGCAGUGAAGGUUUGCACCCUGAAAUUGCUUUCCUUUUGCCAUUAAAAUUAUUCCUUCAUUAAACACCUACAAAUAGGGGUGAGCAAAUUGGACUCGAACUGAAUAACCGAACCGUACCGAAGUGAGUUCGAUUUUUUCAGUUCUGUUAGUUCAGUUUUUCGAUUAAUUCGGAUAAAGUAAUUCAGUUAGUGUAAUGACUUAGGUUCUGUUUCGGUUAGAAAAAUGUCUAACCGAACUAACCAAACUAACCGAGGGCAUUUUUGUAAUUUUACCUAAAAAAUUCCUAAACCUAAAUCCCCAAUUCUUCUUUCUAAUUUUGCUAUCCUGUUCGGCUAUUCCUGUCUCCCAUGACUCCUAAUCUCCCAUCUCCAGUUCUCCACUUUCCACUCUCCAUUCUCGUCUCUCGCCCUUUCUACCAUCUGCCGACUGUAGUCCGUCGACGUUCGGUCGUCACUCCAGCCGGAUCUGGUUUCUACCGACUACCUUUUUUGGUUUCGGCUUUCUGCCUUCAUCUUGAGCAAGUUCAAGUUUGUCUCUAGUUGACUGGUUUGUGGUUGGGUUCUUGUUGCUGCCGACUGCCCUUCCCUAAUCAAAGUGACUGGUAAGUUUUAUUUAUUCUGCUACCACCAUCAAUAAAGUUUGUUUAUGUAUCCUUCAUCUUGAGAAUUGCUAGCGUCUCUACCUCUCUGAAUAGGCAAGCGUGUUUCCUUUAUAGGGAAUUUCUUUGUCUACCAAAACAUGGCUUGGACUGAACGGAAGAACCCCCUCUUGUUUCAUUUUUGGAAAAUGAAAUUAGUCAAAUUUAUAUAAAAAAUUUUAUUUUGAUCACCUUUGUUCUAAAUUAAAAUUACAUUAUAGUGGACAAUAUAUGCUCAUCCCAAAGCUGUAAACAUCGCUUUUCUUGUUUAGGUUCCCUGAACAUUGAAAUCUAUAUGGAAAACAGAAAUGGUUUCUGUCAGUAGGAGUUUUGUAAAAAUUAGAUGAAUGAAACAAGCAUAAAAGUCAUUUAAUGUUACUUUUAUCAAUUCUUUCAAUAUCGUUUUUGCUUAUCCAAUGAUGCUGAGAAGUUAAAUUGUUAGGGAUUAUUUGGAUGAGCCUAGUCCCAGAGCCUUUAGAGAUGGAAGAUCAGAUGACACAUCCAAAGCCUAACACUCGGGAUUUGAAAGUUAACAUGAUACAAUCUAUGAGGCUAAGAUAACAUUUAGCCAACAGGAAAUGUUACUAGGUUUAGACAACAAUUAUGUGAGAAUUCUCAUCAUGAUUUAGGCAGUAGAUCAGUUACAAUUAAAGAUUUAAGAAAUUAAACAAAUUCAGAUAAAUUUCAUCAAGUUUUAGAUAAUUACUCAGGAUCAAGAUAUCUGGAUGUGCUAGCAGGGCAAGUUGAUAUGUGAGACUCAUUUGUUAAGAAAAUUUUAAACAACCCAAAAUCAGCUAUCUUCGCUUGCAUGCUUUCAGUCAAUAAGAUGAAAAAAAAGAAAAAAUGUAUCAAAUUUAAGAAUAGACUAAUUUUAUAUAUUGCCACUUUAAACUUAAGAACAUAUCAAAUUAUUCGUACAUUAAUUAACAAUGAAAAAAGAAACGCAAUUUCUUAAUAGGAGUUUCUUUUAUUGGAUAAAAUAAGAAUAAUUGUUGACUUAAAAGAAAAAAAAACCUAAUGAAGUAAUUGAUUUCAUUGUUUUGAAUCGAAACUUUAAUAUACUGGCUUGUUGCAAUUUCAUAUUCAGCACUUACGAGAACAAGAUGAUCACCAUCUCUAAUAAGCUCUCUAUAUAUACAAACUUGCUAAUUAAUUAUCAUGACAAAUUUGCUAAUUAAUUAAUUCUUUUUGAGUGACAGGUUGAAGAUUUCAAUGGCAAGUGAAAGUGAUAAUCCAGCUCCAACUCUUACUCCUAGUGAUGUUGUUACGCAGCCUACUCCUAUUGGCAUGUCGUCAUCGUUACCAACACCAACUACACAGCAAACUAUAAUCUCCACUAAUGAUAGUGAUGCUGUCAAUUCUAAGAAACGAAAAGCACUUCCACCGAGGUCUGAAGUUUGGAAACACUUCACCAGAUUCGUCAAUGAUCAAGGUGAACAAAAAGCUAGUUGUAAUUAUUGUGAUAGGGUACUUUUUGAUAAUACUAAAUAUAAUGGCACAACUUCAUUGAAGAAUCACAUGAAUUCUUGCAAAAAGUUUCCUAGUUCUGCUAAUGAUUCUACUCAAAUUGAGUUAGCUUUUCAAUUGGGGGAUGGGUCUAUAGGAAUUUGGAAAUUUAGUCAAGAAGCCAUUAGAAAGUCUCUAGCUAAGAUGAUCAUCAAAGGUGAAUUACCUUUCAGAUUUGUAGAAGGGGAAGGAUUUAAGGAAUUCGUGGCAACUUCAUGUCCUAGAUUUAUUGUCCCAUCACGAUGGACUGUUGCUAGAGAUUGCUUUAACCUUUUUGUUGAUGGAAAGAACCAUUUCAAGUAUAUAUUGAGAACAUCUUCUUUAGGAUUUCUUUGACCACAGACACAUGGACAUCAAUUCAAAGAGAGAAUUAUAUGUGUCUUACGGCUCACUUUAUAGACAAUGAUUGGAUAUUACACAAAAGAAUUUUAAACUUUUGUCCCAUUUAUAGUCACAAAGGUGAGGCCAUUGGGAAAAUGAUUGAUAAAUGUUUGCGUGAGUGGGGGAUUAGUAAGGUUUUCACUAUUACUGUUGAUAAUGCUAGUUCCAAUGAUGUUGCAAUAGCAUAUUUGAAGAAAAAAUUGAGCUUAGUAGGAAAUAGCUUUUUAUAAAGCAAAUUUCUAUAUAUGAGAUGCAUUGCACAUAUCAUUAAUCUCAUUGUCACUGGUGGAUUGAAGGAAAUGAAUGAUUCAAUUGCUUGUAUUAAAGGGGUAAUUAGAUAUGUGAGACAAUCACCUGCUAGGUUAGCAAAGUUCAAAGAAUGUGUUCAGUCUGCAAAAAUUCAAUCAAAAAAUUUGUUGUGUUUGGAUGUUAGUACUCGAUGGAACUCCACUUACUUGAUGUUAGAAACAACUCAAAAGUUUGAAGAAGCUUUUAAUUUAUUUGAGGAAGCUGAUUCUCAGUAUAGAAUUGAUUUAUUGAGGGGAGACGGGAUACCUAAACAUGAGGAUUGGGAAAAUGUUAGGAGGUUGAAUGUUUUCUUGAAACAUUUUUACACACUCACAGUAAAAGUUUCAGGUACUUCUUAUGCCACUAUUAAUACUUUUCUUGAUGAUAUUUGUGGUAUUUGUUGCAUUUUGAGAGAUAGACAAAGGCAUCCUAAUGUUGAGUUGCAAACAAUGGCAAAGAAAAUGAAAGAGAAAUUUGAUAAGUAUUGAGGAAAUAUAGAAAAAAUGAAUAAGCUGCUUUAUGUUGACUCUGUUCUUGAUCCAAGGAAGAAACUUGUAUUUGUGGAGUUUUGUUUGAGGAAAAUGUAUUCGAAUGAGCAGGCUUCAUCGAUUUGUGUGAGUUUGAAGAAAAUAAUGGAAGAGUUGCUUGUUGAAUAUCAAAAAAAUGUACAACCUCUUCUUGAGAAAGUUGGUGAUAGUAGCCAAUCCCAAGUGAGCCAAAUUUCUGAAUUUGAUGAUGAUGUUGACUCCAGUGCUAGUGUUGCUCUUUUGAAUGAAUUUAAGAGCUAUAAAACUGUAAUUGGUAGGGAAGAGGAUAAAUCAAAAUUGGAGAAGUAUUUGAGUUUAAAUGAGCCUGAUGCAAUCGAUAGUGAUGACUUUGAUGUUCUCAUUUGAUGGAAACUCAAUAGUCAUAGGUAUCCUACUCUUGCCCUACUAGCUCGUGAUGUAUUAGCGAUUCCUCCAUCCAUAAUCGCUUCGGAAUCAGCUUUUAGCACCAGUGGUCGUGUGCUUGAUGCAUAUAAGAGUUCUUUAAUGCCAAGAUGGUGCAAGCCCUUAUUUGUGCUCAAGAUUGGCUACAUGGACCUUUUUAUUAUCUUCAUGACACUGAGAAUGAUUUGGUAGAGCUUGAGAAAGUUGAUGAAGGUAAGUAUUUUAUUUAUAUUAUCAUUUCAUUUUUGUUGUUUCAAUUGUUAAUAUGUAAUUGCUUUAUUUCUUACUUUCUUGUUUAUGUAUUGUAGAGUUGUUAAAGAUUACAGUGGACAAUGUAUUUGAUAAUCUUUAAGGUAAUCAAGUAAUGUUUAUUGUUUAGUACUUGAUAAAUAUACUCUUAAAUAUUUAUCAAAUUAACAAUUUUAUAUUAUCUUAUUCUUGAAAAAGUUUAGUCCUUAUUGAUGAUAAUUUGUUUAGUUUUCAUUUUUCCUUUUGACAGAUUCCUUUUUAAAUACAAUUAAUGAUUAUGAAGACUAAAAAAAAUUACAGUGCAUUAAUAAUUAGUAUGUACUCUAGAUAAUAAUAAUUAAUCACUUCAACUCUAUCACUUAGAUUUCUUUUUUUUGUAUACUUUUGUUAAUUGGACAAGGUUGUAACAUUCAUUUAUUUAAAAUUUUUGUGACAUUUAGAAGAAAAGAUGGGGGUGCUGCUGGAGCAUAUAUUAGUUCUUACUUCUAAAAUGAGUGCUUCUGGUGGCUAGUGCUAAUGUUAGUAAUGCUUAUUUUUACUAGUAUGUAUUUUUGUUAGUAAUGUCUUGUGUCAUCUCAAUGGUUGAAGUUGAUAGACAAUUUCUUUUUGGAAUGUUAUUAUUAAUUUAAUCUAGGCUACUUCAUUUUAUGCAUAGUUUGGUGACCCCUUUACAUUACUUAUUCUGUUGCAGGCAUAUGUGGAAAAGUUUCAGAAUUACUAAAAGAAACAUGGGAACCUUUUCAUUUCUGUAUCCAGUUUCCUGUAGCUUUUAGGAAUGCUUACCUUUUCAUUUCUGUUGUGUUUUAUUCCUUGGAAGUUAAUAUAUAGGUAUUUUGUUAUUUUUGUAUUAGAAGUUAAUAUACGAUGCUAGCACUUGCUUGUCAUAUAUGGGUGUUUUGUGCCAGACUGCCAGUUGUGAAUUGUGAUGUUUCUAAAUCUAGUGUCUGACAGUGAUUGUUGCUCUCUAGGCAUCCUGUUUUUAGCUAUGGUUUUAUAUGCCUGAGUUAGAUGUUUAGAUUUUUAAAACUUAGCAUGUUAUUUUCUUGGCAUUUAGCAUUGAUAUGUUUGUCAGUGCAGAGCAUAGAAAUUUUGCAUUUAAAAUAUGUGCAUUGAAGAAUAUGAAGAACAUUGAGAAGAUCCAUAUCCAGAGGCUGAAAACAUGAAAGAGUAGUGGUGAAAUAUUGUUAUUAACUUUAUUCUAUUGGGUUUAAUAUGGAGGGAAACAUCAAGAUUUCUUAUCAAAAACCAACCUUAUUCCCACAACCACUCCAAAUUCCUUUUCCAAUGCUUUUUUUAUGUAUUUUUGGAAGUCAAAGUUGCUUCCUUUUGCAAAAUGGGUCUGAAAAUUCAGAAAGCAAAUAGGAAUUAGAAAAAAAAAUUAUUCAGUUCAAUUUUUGGUAACUGAACCGAACUAAUCGAGUUAGUUCAGUUUCGGUUAGUUCAGUUUCGGUUAGUUUUAUACAAGAGUUCGAUUAGUUUGGUUACUGGAUAUCUAGUAACUGAAUUAACCGAACUACCCGUUUGCACAGCCCUACCUACAAAAGCACAAAUAAAUCAAUAACAACCUAUCUUUAAUCACAUUAACACCAAAUUAAGAAUUAAAUUAACUAAGAUCAGAUUGACUCACCUAAAUUAAUUAACUUAAGUUAAUUUAGCUAAAACCUACUAAUUUCUAUACAUUAGAACAAGAACUAAGCUAAAUUAUUAUCAAAAUAAAGUCCAAAUAACUCUAUAUCAUAGAGUUAUCACACCCUCAAACUUAGUAUUUUGCUUGUCCUUGAGCAAAACAUAGAAAAUAAACUAACUUAUGAAAAUAAAUUUCAAAUAGUGAAAACAAAAUAAAUAUAGUUGCUACUAAUACUACUACUACUACUACUAGAGAUAAAGUGCACCAACUUAAUGAUUUCACCUAGUUUCCUCAAAAGUACGUCUAUCAAUCAUUAACCCAAGGAAAAAUAUAGGCAUAAUUCAAAUUCAUAUUUCAAUUCUAAUGCAAGCAUAUUCUUGAAUGAAUUUUUGUGUGUUUGUGAAAUCUUUUAGCAAGAAUAUCAUGACAUCCGGAUGGCCAACACAAAUUUCAAAUUAGUACUUGAAUUCCAUAGGUUUACUUUUCAUUUCUCUCUUCACUAAUAUAGACUAACACAGAGCUAGGGAUCAAUAGGACUUUAUAAAGCUUGUAAUGUAUGGCUAGGGUUUAAGUAGGAUAAAGGAUAAUAAUGUGACUCAAAUUACCCUAAGUACAUAAUUAUUCUAGGACCUAUAUAUAGAGCUCUAUUCUCCUUCUCCUAAUGCACUUUUUCUUCCACAUUUGAACUUUUUUUUUUCAACACAUUUUUUUUUCUUUUUACAAUUUCACACUCCCAAACUUUUUUUCUUUGUAUUAUAGGUAGUGGGGUGAUUUUUAAUAUUUUGAACUUUUUUUUCCAUCAAUAUCAUGUUUUCACCUUUUUCAACAUUUAGCUCAAUCUAUAUUUCCUAAGACAAUAUACAUACUUAGGAACGAGGGUUGUAAAAUUGGAAAUUUAAUUUAAGGCUAGGCUUAAUUAUUAUGUAGUUAAACAAAGAAAAGGGAAAUUAGGCUCAACGGGGUAUACUAAGGAGAAAAUUUAAUAAGGUUGGCUUUUUAGGCUUAAACAAUCCAAAGAUCGCUUAAAUCAUCUCCCUAACUAAGUAUUGCCUAGGAUUUUACCUUAAGAAAGAAUCAAGCAAAUUCUAGAAUUCUUUGACAUAAUCUAAAAUUCACAUAAUAUUAAUUUUCUCUAGUUCUCAUCUUCGUCUCCAUCAUCCUCUACCUCAUUGUCUUCUGCUUCAUUGGCACCCUUAAGAGGAUUAGUUGCUAGUGGAAGAGUAGACAUAUCCAUUCCCAUAAAGACACCAUAAGUUCGAAACAUGUGGUGCAUAUGUUGAUUACAUUGGGUCUAAUAAGUCAUGUGUUGCUCAAACUGGUUCCCAUGUUGCUCAACUAAGUGCUGAAGAUUCUCAAUUCUUUGAGUCAUUGAUGGUGUAUUGGUCGAAGGGGUAGAGGAUGGUGUGUAGAAGAAGAAUUACCCCCAGUAGAAGUUUGAGAUUGUUUAAGGAUGAGAUUGAGAUCAAUUAGAAGUUUAGGGUGCAACAACUCCUCACUUGCAUCCUAAUUUACACCAACUUGUUUGCACAAAGCUGUAAUUAGAGAAGGGAACCACAAGCUUUCAUGCUUUGAUUGUGUAGUGUGAGUCAUGGCUUUGUAAAUUAUGCGACCAAUAUCAAUUGUGCGUCCAGUCAUGAUGGAAUGAAUAAGGAUGGCUCAAUCUUUUGUGACAUCAUUGAGAUGUGUGGUAGGAAGUAAUUUGGAAGCCACAAAAUAUAACCAUAUUUUAGAAAUUGGUUUCAUUGCAUUCUUCUUGAAUGAAACUGGUGCAUUAUUGAAGAAUCGUCAUUGAGCACCUUCCUCACAGAGUAUAUGAAUGAUGUCAUCCCAAUCCUUAUGCUCAGCCAAAUAUUGACCAUAUCUAUCAUUUCCAAUAUUAAGAGUUUCAUAAAAUUCAUUGAUGGCAUGGCUUGAGAAUGGAACUAAUUUACCUCACACAAAAACAAAAUCAUUAGUAGUUUCAACAACGUUAGCCUAAAAUUCUCUUACCAGAUGGAUAUUCGCAACUACUGGUGAUGCAAAAAUUUUUUUCCAGUGGCGUCCAUCAAUAAUUGGUUGAAGGUCAAGGUAUGUAAUCAACCCUUGAUCCAGUCCUCGUUCGGGUAUUACAAUUUAUUGGUCCCAAAUAAAUGUGCUGAGGGGGGUGAAUAGCAUUUUUUGGCUCUUUGCAAGAUAAGGAACUAAUUUGAAAAGUAAUGAAAAUAAAAACAGAGUAGAAAAUACGCAGAAAUUUAAAGUGGUUCGGUCCAAGACCUACAUCCACUACCUUGAUUAUCCAACCAAGGAUUUUUCAAACUAAUCCACUAUGAACCGGUGAAAUUCACCAGCUUUCACCAAGCUUUACAAUGGCUUUUACCAAGCUUAGCCAAAACUUUUCACAAUGGUUUUUACCGAGAUCAACCAAAACCCAAAGUGGUUUUUCAAAUGCUCAACCACAACCUUUCACAAUGGUUUUUCACAAGCUCAACCAAAACCCAAAGUGAUUUUUCAAAGGCUCAACCAUAACCUACAACAAUGGUUUUUUACGGGAUCAACCAAAAUCCAACAACUAACUUUUCAAGGCUAAGUUAGAACUUAUACCCAAUCAAGCAAUCCUAGCUUGAAUCGAUCCCUUAGAGUGACUCGUUCACUCUAAGAAUACAAAAAGAGAAGUAAAAUGAGUGUACCUAUGAUCACAAGGUUGAUCUAAGUGGUACAAAUGAAGUGCAGAUCAUAAUUAUAAAGAUGGGAGUUGAGUGUAGUAAAUGAGCAGUGAGUAUUUGUAGGUUUUUUAGCUCUUUUUGUGUUCUUGGAAGGCUUCAAUAAACUUGUUUCUAGCUAUUGGAAGUCCCUUUUAUACUUGGAAAAUCAGCUCUGAUGUGAGUUAGAUAGUUUUUGACCGUUGGGAAUAGUUUAGUAGCUAAUCUGAUCGUUAAUCUGUCUUUUAGUGCAGACUUCAAAAUUACAGGCAGAAUGUUCUUAGUCGACUAACCGAUAUCUUAGUUGACUAAGUUGUCUCUGUCUUUUGAUCCCAGUUUUUGGCAGUUCUGGCAGUGUGCACUUAGUUGACUAACUCAUUCUUUGGUCGACUAAGUUGGUUCUGUUUCUCAAUACUCUUCAGCCUGUCAACUUUUGAUUUAAAUCUUAGCUGACUAACUCUUCAUUAAUCGACUAAGGGGCUUUUGUCUUGUUGAUCAAUUGUGACUUCCUUAUUUCUAUGCUCUUUGAUAUGUGCAUUUGAAUGAUUGAUUAAAUAUUUGUAUACAAUUUUUGUCUUGCACACUCAAUUAGAAAUAUUAGAUAUGUCAAGCCCAACUCUAUAAAAUAUUUUCCAUGUCAUUCAUAUGCUUGAUAAUAUGCUUGCAUACUUGGAAAGCCCCGAAAAAUCGUUAAAAGUCGGUAGUAAACCUGGUGGUAUAACUAAGCUGAAUUAAGCCUUGAACUAGUCCAAAUAGAGAUUUUAAGAUGAAAUUGAGAAUUUUAAAACCCCAGAAUGACUUAAUUUGGUGAUUCGGAGUUCGAGGAUUGAUUUAGAGUAAAAUUGAAAUUUUCAUGACAUAGGGGCAAAAUUAGAAUUUUACACCACCCAACACUUGUCAAGCCCUUGAAUUUUACCUAUUAUACUUUGGAUAAUUGAGAUAUUUUAUGUGGUGGUGGGAGAAUGCUUAAUUAUUAAGUUUAAAAAUGGACCAAUGGGAUGGUGACAAGUGGCAAGUUUUCAUUUCUUUAUAAUUUACAUUAAAAACCAGCACACACCUCUCUUAUUUCAUUCUUCAUGUUCGUCCUCACCAAGGAAAAGAGGAAAGAAAGAAAGAACAAACCCUAGUGAGCAAAAAUUCAAGGAAAAAUUGGUGGAUUUCAAGGAAUUAAGCAAGUAAAGGUAAAAUUUCUUGAUUUUAGCUUGUGAUAUACUUUUCCUAUGCAUUCUUUUCAUUUUUCAUGGUUGAGAAUCAAGUUUGCAUGAAGAUACCUUUGCUGGCCGGACAUGGGGGGAGGGGUUUUGAUCUUGGAUUUAGCUAGAUUAUAUGUUAUUCUAGUGUUUUUAGUUGUUUGGUGAUGUGUAGCAUAAAAAGCAAACAAGAAAAAUUCAUGUUCUUACAUCACCCUCAUUGGCCGAAUCUUCCUUUUGGUAUGUUGAUGGUGGAUUUGAUUUUAUUUCAAGUGAUUUGGUUAGGAAUUAAUGAUUUAUGGUGUAAAAAUCAAGUGUGAAAAACCAUAGUGUUUAUGCAGCCAUCAUGGUUGAAUUUUCCAAGAGAAAAUGUUGAGGAUGAUUUUGCUAUAAUUCAUGUUAUCUAGCUUAUAUUUGAUGAUUUGGAGUAUUGGAAGUGAAAUGAAUUUAUUUGGAGUCAAUUUGGAUGUUUUGGUUAAAUCAAAGGUGAAGAGUUCGAAUUAGGUCGAAAAUUGAUCCAUUCCAAUCACCCUUGAACCAACGUGAAUUCCAUUUUUAAGUGACUAUCCAAACAACCUCAUGCAUUCAUAUAGAGCUUGAAAUAGAUUUAUAAUGAUAUGACACAAUAUAUUGAAUUAUUUGUGGUGUAUUGUGUAUAGGUGGUGAGUCCUCUAACAAGGGUAAAUACAUUGUGCCAGAGGACCAAGAAUAGGAGUAUUUCGAACUCUCGAUAUUGUGAGUAACUUUAUUAUCGUUUUAAUUAUCUAAAGUAGUUUUUAUUCAUUUUUGUGAUUUUAUAGAAAAAUGAGUUUAAAUGGUAAAUCCUUAUGUUUUAUAAGUAAAACGUGAUUAAAUGAAAUAAGUUUUAUAAAUCAUUUUGAAAUUGAAUGAUGAUUUUAGAAAUUGAGUAAUUGGAGACUGUUUGUUUGUGUUGUAAAUUUAUGGUUUGAAUUGAAUGGCUUAUGGUGAUAUUGGCAUGAAUGGCUGGAUUGGAAAUUGUGUUGAAUAUAUGAACUGUUUUGCUUUGCCUUGACAGGCUGGUCAUAUUAUAUUAGCUAUGUUAUGCUGCCAAAAUUUUGUUGAUUUGGUGGGUUAUGUAUUUAGCUUACUGCAGUGGGCGAGUUUCUGUGGACCACCCUAUUAGAGGGGCACGGUAAACCAUGUUAUAUUUACCUUAGUACGAGAGGCGCGGAGGGUAUCUCCUAAGGUAAAGUUUAGAGUUCACUUCAUGUCGAACCACCACGUGAGAGUGAAUUCAGCCAACGCCAAGGAACGGCUGUGCUUUAAAACGUAAAAAUGUGUUUUGUGCGUAUAUGACUUUUUAAAUAGCCUUGGCGAUCUCGACUGGAUGCCUCUGAUCAAGGUAUCCCCGAGAAUGAGUUUUGGCACGAGUCAAGUUUUUAAGAGAUUCAUAAGCCUCGAUAUAUAUUUUGGAUGAAAUGUAACUGGUUUAGAUGAUUUGAAAUGUGUUUUGAGGUUAUGAACCAUUUUAUGAUGAUCUAUUUUAAAUUGUCUCCAUUUACUCGGCUUUAGAUAUUUUAGAUGAUGUUUAUUUACUCACUGAGUUUAUAUAAACUCACCACCCUCCUUUCCACCCAUUUUAGGCUCAGGAUAGUCAGUAGAUAGCUGAUUUCGUCGAGGGCUACAGUUGGAUUUUCAUCCUCAAAAACCAUAAGUUCACAGCCUUUGUUACUUUUGGUCAUUCGGGGGUCCAUACGUCAUUGUAAAUUAGAUUACAUACUCUGGUUAUCUGUGUUACUGUAUGUACGAAUUUAUUUUGCUUUUAUGCUACAAAAAUUAUUUACGGAUAUCUUUAUAAAAAUUGUUUUAUAAGAAAAUGAAAUAUUUUAUUCUAAUAGCUAUCAUUUCCCUUUAAAUGAAUGUUUUACACGUCUAAACUUAUUUUUGGUUAUGAAAUAUGUAUAUUUCACUCAUAUACUACAUUUUUAGAUGGUUUUGAAAUUUUCAGGGAAAAAUGACCAAAAUACUCCUGUGAGACGAAAAAUUANAAAUGAAUGUUUUACACGUCUAAACUUAUUUUUGGUUAUGAAAUAUGUAUAUUUCACUCAUAUACUACAUUUUUAGAUGGUUUUGAAAUUUUCAGGGAAAAAUGACCAAAAUACUCCUGUGAGACGAAAAUUAUUUUUUUUUAUUUUUUUGGUUUGGAAAUAGCUUAUAAUCUUUUAAAAUAUGAUAUUAGCAACUGUUGCUCGCAUGGGAGGUGAGAAAACUGAUAUUAAGCCUUGCGAGGUUUCGGUUGGCAUUCCGGGUAAUGAAUAUUUAUCGGGACAUCACGGCAGUUGUCACAGGCUCGAAGGGAGUACCGGGUCGUGACAAGAUACAAAUGAAAUGGGAAUAUUUUAUUAUCAUUAAAAACUAAUGGAGCCAACAUAAUUUUGUUGGCAAGAAAAUUGGUGUGUCGAGGCAUAGCAUCAACUGACACAAAUCUAGUAUGAUCAAACGAACCAUUGGAAUUUUGUCUUGCUUGUUUGGGUGCCAUUCUCAAAUUUCCUAUAAUUAAUUCUCAACCAAAAGAGAAGAAAAGUACUAAUAAAGCACAAUAGACCACCUACAAAAUUAGCUCAUAUGUCUUCACAUCAAAAUAAAAUAAUGCCCAUAGUAUCAAGUAAAAAUCCAACAAUUAAAUGAUAUCUAUAUUACUAAGCAUAAAAAUUAUAAUUUAAAAGCAAUAAACUUACCCAUAUUCCCAAUUUCAACUUAUCUGUGAAAUUUAAAGUACAAAUCCAAACAAUCUAUCAUACCCAUAAAAUAACUAAGCAAAUAUCUCAAGAAUCAUAAAUACUCAUCGCAAAUUUCCAACAAAAUAAAUAAUGGAAAGUAAGUCAAUAUUUCUUAAGAAAAAGAAAAGGGAAAAGAAGAAAACAAUAUAUAUAAAAUAAGUAAAUAAAUAAAACUUACUUGAAAUCUUGACCAAAAGUGUUGAUAAUAAGUAUAGAAGGGAAGAGAUCGAUGUGGGUAAUAGGUAUGGACAAAAAAGAUGAAAGGGGAAUAAUGGUAGGGGGAAAGUAGAAGAGAGACGGAGAAGAAUGGGUGGAAAGAAAGAAGUGAAAAGUGCAGAAAAUUGCAAUAAGAGAGGAGGGGUAAUGGUGUUGAAGUGAAAAUGGGGUUUAUAUAAGGGGCAUGUAUGGGUAGUGGGCUGCCCAUUGUUGGCAGCUGAUAACUCUAUGAGAUAGAGUUAUUUGAGCUUAAUUUUGAUAAUAAUUUAGCUUAGUUCUUGUAGUAAUGCAUAGAAAUUAGUAGAUUUUAAUUAAUUAUUUUAAAUUAGUUAUUUUAGGUGAGUCAAUUUAAUCAUGGUUAAUUUUAUGCUUAAUUUGGUAUUAAUGUGGUUAAGAUAGAUUGUUAUCGAUUUAUUUGUGCUUUUGUAGGUGUUUGAAAGAAGAAUUUUAGUAAAAGAAGGAGAGCAAUUUCGAGGUGCAGACUUUUAAUACAUAUAUUUCGGUAUUUUGGCCAUAACUUUCCCUAGAAAGCUCCAAAUGAAGCAAUUCUUAAACCAUUGGAAAGAUAAGAGAAAAAGAUAUAACUUUGAUGUUAACCACUUUACCCAGUUCGCCUUGGAAUGUAGUCAAAAAUAUUGUUGAAGUUGACAUACUGUAGCAGUCUUAGAGUAAUUACGAUUUCUAUUAAUUAAUUGGGUAAGGCUGCGACUUACAUAGUUUGAUGAGGAAAUCCCAGCUGAAAUUGACUUCUUUCUUCAUCCAACUUGGCUUAACUUCAAAGCCUAUAAAAACAACCUUUUGGAAGACUUGAAGGGGAGGAAAAAAAAACACCAGAUUAAUAGCUGAAAGUCAAGCUACAUAGUCAUUGAAGGAAUUUGAAGAAUUCAAGGAGAUUUGGAGAUCAAGAAUACAUUCCUUGGUUUUUUCUAUCUUUUUGUUAUUCUUUUAUUCCCUUGGUUUUAAUGUUUAAAUUUUAUUCAAUGAUGAUGUCUGACUUGAUGGGAAACUAAGUUUUUGAUCUAAGAUUAUGAUUGAACUUAAUAUAUAGUCUAAAUUAUUUAUCUCUCUUUUACUUAUGUAUGAUGGAUUUAAGUUGUUUAUUUUAUUCUGUUCUUAAUGCUUCUAGUUGACUGGCCACCAAUUAGAUUGAAUUGGAAAACUAGAUUAAACCUUGACGAAGGAGAUUUAGGUAGACCUUGAAUAGAAUAGCGUAUGAUCGAAUACACUUAGUUCAUUAGGUGGUUUGAUUUGCAUAUAAGGUAGACAUACACUUAUAAGCCAUACGUAGCUAAAAUUAGAGCACAAAUUUAUUGAAUCUUUCUUCAAUAUAAUUUGCAUAGACAUAUAGUAAAUUAAUUGGGAAAGGUAUUUUUAUGAGAAACUCGACAGAGACUUGUAAAUAAUUUAGGACUUUAGGUUAACAACUUAAUCCAUUAAACUGAGUUAAGAGAGAGAGAGAGAGAGAGAGAGAGAGACAAUAAUCAGAUAAAGUAUUGAGGGAUAACAUUGUAAAACCCGACUCUAUAAAUACAUGUCAUGACAUAUAUGCACUGACUAGCAUGUUAUUAUGCUAGGAAAGCACAUAAGAAAAGACGAAACCCGAUAUCGUACCUAACGGUACACUUGAGUUGAUUUAACCUCGAACUAGCUCAAAUAGGAAUUGUAGGAUGAAAUUUAAUAUUUUAUAGUCUAGGAAUGACUAAAAAUGAUUGUUCAGAGUUCGAGGGUUCAUUUGGGGUAAAAUUGGAAAUUUUGAUAUUCAAGGGCAAAAUCGUCAUUUUGCCACUUAAGAUAAUAAUUUGAUCAUGGAGUGAAAUUUUUGACCAAGAUUAACUAUUUGGAGUAUAAUUUAAUGAUAGGAAGUGAAAAAGUUUAAUUCUGGUGAUUUUUGGAGUGUAGGGGCAAAAUCGUAAUUUUGCCACCCACGGACAAAAUUUGAGAUUUUGAGAGAAUUUAGAUCAAAUUUGACAAAUUGGAGAAUGGUAUGAGUAUAAGGGAUGAAAAAUAUGUCUAUGGGCAAUUUUUCAAUUUUUGGGGCAAAAAUGUAAUUUUUGACUUUUACGGGGGCAAAAGUGUAAAUUUCAAAAAUUACUCCACCGAGACUUUGGAUGAGUCUGAGAAUUUUAUCUAAGCUAUGAAUAUAUGAGACAAGUGUAUGGUGAAAAUUUGGAAACAAAUGGAUGAAAUUUUAAAAAUGGGCCAAUGGGAAAGUGACAUGUGGCAUUUUUUAAUGAUAUAAUAUUAUUUUAAUGAAAAGUCAGCCCAUUUAAACCCAAAUUUUAAGUGCUGGCCGGCCAUAAGGAAGAACAAGAGAGGAAAUAGAGAGGAAAGGAAGAAAAAAAGAAAAACCAAAGAGAAACAAGAAAAUUCAAAGGGAAAUUCGCGGUUUUCGACCGUUUACGCGUCUAACGGUAAGAUUUUUCGAUUUUAGCUUGAUUUCUACCUUUCCUAUGCCUUUAUUUCCAUUUAGCAUGCUUGAGGAGAGAGAUCAAAAAGUGAUAUCAAGGGCUGGACGAAAUUCUAGGGGAGAGAAAUUGAAAUUUUUAGGUUUUGAUUUUUAGUUAAAUUGAUAGUUUUAGUUAGUUAAAUGUGUUUAGAAAUUAAAUUGGGCAAGAAAUCAUUAAAUUUUCACAAUACCCACUCUUGGCUGGAUGCUCAAUGCUGUACAAUGAUGAUGAAUUGAUUUUAUUCUAAGGGAAAUGAAGAGAAAAUGAUGAAAAACGAUUAAACGUGAUAGAAAAACAAAGUAGAAAAUUAACCGAGUUAAUGUCCCAUUUUUGGCCGAAUUUUCCAAGGAAGGGAGUGAGCUGAUUUUGUUGUUUUUAGAAGGUUAUUGGCUGAUAUUUAAUGGUUAGAAAUGUUGGAGAGAGAAUGGGAUGAUUUAGAGCUAAAAUGGAGCGCGUUAGCAAUUUAUCGGGCAAAGUGCCAAAAAUAGGUUAAUACCGCGUUUAAGCCGUUUUAGGCUAUUGCAUUUCAUACCAUGCAUUAGUAUAGGAUUUAAGUUAAUUAUAUAGUGAUUUAGCAUCAAUGUGAUGAAUUGUGUAAAUUUUUGUAAUGUGUCUAGGAGGAGAGCCUUCCGGAAAAGGCAAAGAAGUCGUACCCGACGAGUAGUGAUCGGGGCGCUUAGAAAGCUUUUAGUUUGUACAAACGGUGAGUAAACUUAUUAUUAUUGUAAAUUAUCUAGAGUUUAUUUUAAAUGCCCUUUAUGUAUUUUAUGAAAUGAGAACGAGAUUAAAACGGGAUUUUUGAUGUUUUAGGAAUAAAUGUGACAAAUAAAAAUAUAUUGUAUUGAUUAUGAAAUUGAGUAAUUGGAGGCUACAAAUUGACUUGAAAAAUAUAUAUUUUCCUAGGAAUGGCUUAUGAGAAAUGAGUAUAUGUGGCUAUAUUUUGUGAAUGCAUUGGGAAAUUUAUGUAAGUUGUUUUACUAUGCAGGCUGGAUAAAUAAAUAAAAGCCACGUUAUACUGUCGAAAUUUUAUUAAAAUUGGUGGGUUAGUCACUGCAGUGACGGGUUUCCGUGGACUGCCUAUUAGAGGGGCACGGUAAACCCAGUUAUAUAGUUACUCCGGUUGUAGAGGCGAGGAGGGUAACUCCCGGGGUAGUAUUAGAGCUCACUUCACGUCGAACCCCCACGUGAAUGUGUAACUCGGCCAACGCCAAGGAACGGCUGGUUUUAAAAAUAAAAAUGUGUUUCACGUGUGAAUAUUUUAACACCCUUGGCGGACUCGGUUAGAUGCCUCGGCCAAGGUAUCCCCGAGGAUUAGUUUUGGCUUGAGCCUUGUUUUAAUAAAAGACAUAAGCCUUAACAACUGUUUUGGUAAAUUACAAAUAUUUUAUGGUUUAAGAAAUAAAUUGAAAACAUUAUGAAAUGGGUUGAAAUUUGUUGUUUAAACUUGCCUCCAUUUUACUCGCCUUUAGAUAUUUAUGAUAAUGUCUGUUUACUCAUUGGGAUUGCAAAAUCUCACCCAACUCCUUUCCACCCAUUUCAGGUUCAGUAUAGACUGUAGAUAGCUGAUCUCAUCGAGGACUACCAUUGGAUCUGCAUUUUCCAAACCGUAGGUUCACAGUCCUCUUUACUUUUGUUUAUUCGGGGGCCCUCUUGUUAUUGUAAAUUAAAUUAAAUAUUUUGGCUUACUGUAUUUCAGUAUGUAUAAAUUUAUUUAGCUUUUACGCUAUAAAAAUUAUUCACGUAUAACUCUAUAAAUAUUGUUUUAUAAGAAAAUAGAAUAUUUUCCUUAAUAUUUCUUUUAUUUUCUUAUUAUAUUCAAAUAACCGUAAUUUCGUUUUAAAUGAAGAUUUUAGACUUUUAAACUCAUUUUGAAUAUGAAUUAUGUGUUUUGUACUUGUAUAUUACGUUUUAGCCAGUUUUGAAAUUUUUGAGAAAAAAAUGACCAAAAUACCCCUGUGUGGCGAAAAUUUUAUUUUGAUUGUUUUUGAUCUAAAAUAGUGUAUAUUCUCUAAAAACUAGAUAUUUAACAACGAUUGCUCACAGGAAAGGAAAGAAACUGAUAUGUAAGCCUUGCGGGGUUCCGGUUGGCAUUCCGGAUAAUGAGUGUCAAUCAGGGACAUUGCGGCGAUUGUCAUGGGCCUGAGGGAGGUUCCGGGUCGUGACAAUCAUAAUUUUAGGCCUGGUAGUCAUUCACAUUUAAUAAAGUAAAUUUUGCUGAUAUAUUAGUUUUAGUUUUUAGUUUAUUAAUUUAAAUUUUCCUUUGUAAAUUUUAAUUGUUUAGAUAAAAUUAAAGUGUGUUAAUUUUAUUAGUUAACAAUAAGGAUUUGUUCAAUUCUCUAUGGGAUCGACACUCUACUCAUCUCUAUAUUAUCUUUGCGAUACGUGCACUUGCGUGAGUAGAAAAUUGAACAACAAGUUUUUGGUGCCGUUGCUGGGGAAUUGAUUUUUAAUUCUUUCUUGUUAAUAUUAAUACCAAGCAUUCUUAAUUUUAAUCUAGACUUUUCUUUUCAUUAAUUUUUUAGGUAAUUUUGGUCGUUGUAUGCAAAGAGCUCAAAAUUUGAAAAUUGUUCCUUUUGAUCUAGAAAUCGAAAAAACUUUUCAUAGACUUUGGAGGAAAAAAAAAAAUUUCUACUCAAACUAAAACAAUGGCUGAUCAACAAGAAGAAGAGACCAAGCCUUUGAGGGAUUAUGUAGUGCCACAACUAUAAAAUCCCCACUCUAGUAUUCGAAGACCUCCUAUUCAAGCCAAUAAAUUUGAAAUUAAGCCAUCAAUUAUUCAGAUUAUUCAGACUGCUGUUCAGUUUGGGGGUUUGCCUAAUGAUGGUCUGAAUGCUCAUAUUGUAAAUUUCUUGGAAAUCUGCGAUACAUUCAAGGCAAAUGGUGUUACUGAUGAUGCCAUAAGAUUGAGGCUUUUUCCUUUUUCAUUGAGAGAUAAAGCAAAGAGUUGGUUAAAUUCGCUUCCUACUGGUUCCAUUAAUACUUGGGAUGAUUUGGCUAAAAAAUUCUUAGCAAAAUUCUUCCCACCUGCAAAGUCAACAAAGAUGAAGAAUGAUAUCACUUCUUUCAUAUAAUUGAUUAUGAAUCACUAUAUGAGGCUUGGGAGAGGUAUAAGGAUUUGAUGAGAAGAUGUCCUCACCAUGGAUUACCUAAGUGGCUGUAAGUUCAGACUUUUUAUAAUGGUUUGCUAUGACCUUUUAGAACUACCAUUGAUGCUGCCGCUAGAGGUGCACUUAUGAGUAAAUCCAUUGGUGAGGCUUAUGAUUUGCUCGAAGAGAUAGCUUUUAAUAAUUAUCAAUGGCCAUCUGAAAGAUUGGGUACAAGAAAACUUGCUGGAAUUCAUGAAUUAGAUGUGUUGAAUACUGUUUCUACACAAUUGGCCUCUCUUACAAAAAAAAUAGAUAAACUGAGUAUUAAUGCUAUUCAGAACUCCUUUAUGACAUGUGAAUUUUGUGGGGGAGAACAUUCCAAUGACAAUUAUCCCAUCUAUUCUGAGUCUUGUCAAUUUUUUGGAAAUAGGCAACAGAACAAUCCAUAUUUCAACACUUAUAAUCCUAGUUGGAGGAAUCAUGCUAAUUUUUCAUUGAAUAACAACCAAGGGUCUUCAUCAGCAGUUAAGUCAAACUUUCCUCUUGGAUUUCCAUCUAGAGCCCCUAUGCCAGAGAAAAAGCUUUCAAUGGAGGAUAUGUUCAUGCAAUUCAUGACAAAGACUGAUGCAUUCAUUCAAAAUCAAGCAGCUUCAAUUAGAAAUCUUGAGAUACAAAUGGGCCAACUUGCUAGUGCUUUAAAUUCUAGACCUCAUGGUACCUUACCAAGUGAUACUGAACCCAAUCCAAGAAGAGAAGGUAAGGAACAUUGUAAGGCAAUCCAUUUGCGCAAUGGAAAAUAUGUAAAUAGAGAGGUAAGUAGUAAGGAUUUAAAUUCAAAAAUUUCAAUUCAAUCUAAUAAAAAAGUUUUGAAAAAGAUGUUGAAAAAGAAAUUGUAGUUGAAAAAUCUAUUGAAGAUUCAAAAGAAAAAUCACAAUUACAAACUACUCCCACACCCCCACCACCUUUUCGUCAAAGAUUUCAGAAAGAAAAACUUGACAAACAAUUCCAAAAAUUUAUUGAUGUGUUUAAAAAAUUACAUAUUAAUAUUCCUAUUGCUAGAGCUCUGGAACAAAUGCCAAGAUAUGUUAAUUUUUGAAAGACAUCUUGUCUAAAAAAAGGAAAUUGGGUGAGUUUGAAACUGUUGCACUUACUGAAGAGUGCAGUGCCAUUAUUCAGAAUAAGCUUCCAUUAAAGCUUAAAGAUCCAGGUAGUUUUACUAUUCCAUGUACUAUUGGUGCUCUUUGUUUUGCUAAUGCUUUAUGUGAUUUGGGUGCAAGUUAUAAUACCCCGUACUUUGAUAUGGUGACUAAUAAAGAUUAUCGGAUGCCAAUUGAGGUUAAUUAUAAUGUUUAAAAGUGAUGAAAGAUGAAAGGAAUAGUUUGGGAUAAAAUAUUCCAAACGCGAGGAAAUAAUAAUAAAAUAAUGAUAUUUUUAUCGAAGAAGAAUUUGUGAGAUAAAAGUGAUUCGGAAGUCAAUUGAGGCAUAAUAAGGUAUUUUGGGUACCAAGGAGACAAGAGGAGACAGAAAGAAAUUUUUGGAAUAAAAUAAUAUUAAAAUAUUAAUAUUUUAUUCAAUGCCAAAAUUUUUCAUGAAGAAGGAGUAUAUGGGCAACCUAAGUGGGGGAGAAGAAGAAUGAGAAAGAUUUCGAAGAAAAAUGAUGUUAAUAGGGCCACGAGUCUUUAUUAAGUAAAGAUAGCGCAUGUAAAUAAAUAUUUUAAAUAUUACGGGGACACUGCGUUGGAGUACAAACUUCAUACUUUGUUUGCACAUGUGUAAAAGAAGAUAAUAGAAGGAAGUUGGACUUAAAUGAGUGUUGGGAGGACUAAAUUAAAAUGGGAAGAAACAAAAAGGGCAAAACAAUAAUUUUAUGUGAAGUUUGGUCAAAGCUUCCUUUGGAAGCUUUGAUUCUGAUUUUUUUCAGCCCAAAACCGUCCUUAUCCUCCCAGCAAGAUAUUUUCUUCUUCAUUCUUGAAGCUUCCAAUGCCAUUCUUUCAUUCUCCCAUGGAAAGCUAAUUUUCUUUCACUUUCUUUCCUUGUUUUCUUUUCAUUUCUUUUCUCUUCUUGCUUAUUUCUUCUCCCAACUUUUUGUGCACCAAAGUUACAACUUCUAACCCCAAUUUCCAGCACAUAUAAACUCUAGGAGAAGAAGAAAGAAAAAGAGAGGAAGGAAGAAAAAGCUUGGUUUUGCUGAUUCAAGCAAGGAACGGUAAGAAUUCUUGCUUUUGGCUUGAGUAGUCUUUGAAAAUGAGUUAGUGACUUAGAGAAAUGUCUUGUGGUAGCAAAGAUUGGCUUGAUUGGAGAAAAAAUUGAUAACAUGUAAGCCAAUGAACCCAUGGGUACAUGAAGGACUCAAAGUGGAAAAGGAAAACGGUAAGCUUAACACUAUAUUUUAAAGCCUACGGUUAGUUGAAUAUUGUGGAAAAUUAUGGUUGUUGAAAGGAUCUAAUUGCAUAAGCUAGUUGAAAAUUGUUAAGAUUGUAUGGCAUGUUGUUUGAAAGAAAUGAAAAAGGAAUAUUGUGGAUGAAGGGUUGAGAAAUAAAGUAUUGAAAGUUAGAUAGAUAACGAUGCGUGUAAACUAGGAAAUAAUCGAGUGAAAGUGAGAAUGAUUGUUGCUACCAUAUAUGUGGAUUAUGUGUGGAAAUAUAAGAUGGAUUUGGGUGGAAAUUAUUUAGAAAGGCUGAAGUAGACACGUGACAUCAUAAUUAAAUUGCUGGUGAUAUAAUUUAAGGAAUUGCGUAAGCAAUGGAUAUAAGUAAUUUUAGUAAAAAUGUAUUAAGAUGUGAGUUAAUUGAAGAUGGUUCAUGAUAAGAGGAAAAAUAUAAAUUUAAGUAAGGAUUAAUUGAUUGAAGUGCUACUCGUAUACAUAUGUAAUUAAAUAUAUUGAGUUCGUAUUAUUGCUAGGAAGUGCAAAGAUAAAAUUAGAGUAUUGCGGUGGCGUGUUGGAGUAAAUUACGAGCGAUCGACCAAUGAAAAUAGUUAGAGACACCUUCGAACAAAUAGCAACUUAAUAUCUCGUUGUUGCCAGGUGAGUGAACCUACACUAAAAUGUUUUGGGUAGAUGUACAUACGUUUGAGCGAGCCACUUGAAUUGUUUAAAUUAUCUUUUCUUCAAAAUGCAUGGGAACAAGCCUUUAGUGAAUUGUUUUUGUGAUGUGGAACAUGAUUGUGAUGAAUCUAUGUACUUUUAUAUGACGCUGAUAUGUAUAUAAAGAUAUAUGAUAUAUAUAUAUAUAUAUUGUUAAGCAAUUUUGUAUAAUUGAUGUAACCGUGCAUGUGCGGAGUGGGCAGUGCACAUGCUGGUUGAGUGACAAUGUUGUGACAAUUACAACCGUGCAUGUGCGGAGUGGGUAGUGCACAUGCCGAAAAUGAUGCUGUCGUGAUAUUUACAAUCAUGCAUGUGUGGAGUAGGCAGUGCACAUGCCGGUAAUGAUGCUGUCGUGAUAUUUACAACUGCACAUGUGCGAAGUGGGCAGUGCACAUAUUGGUAAUGAUGCUGUUGUGAUAUUUACAACUGUGCAUGUGCAGAGUGGGCAGUGCACAUGCCGGUAAUGAUGCACAUGAGCCGAGUGAGGUGAUGGUGGUGUAUGUGCUUAUAUAUAUAUAUAUAUAUAUACAUAUUUACUAUAUAGAGAUAUUUGGAUUUAAUAUGUGAUUGCAUUGACUGUUGAAAACUUGAGUAUUGUCAAUGUGUUCAAUUUAAUAUGCAAUGUGGCAUGAGUGGAUUUUUUUUCGGUGGCAUUGAAAGCCCCUUGGAUUUUAUCUGGUUAGAAUUUUGUUGCAGUGAGAAUGCCUUUUCGUUGUGGUGAGAGUCAAUCUAUUAUGCUUGACUUGCUUGAAAUCUACUAAAGUUGUCACUUCUCAAUUUCUUUGUUAUUCAUGAGUCUUUCGUCAUCAAGUAACUAAACGACCAAGGGUUUGAAUGAGGGGUUUUUAAAUAGAAAUAAAUUAAAUUGCAUUGUUUUGAACUUAAGUGCAUCAUGCUUUCUAAACCUUUCUUAACGUUGCUUGUUCCCUUCCUAUGUUCACUCACUGAGUUUGUACUCACGUUUUUAAAAUUCAUGUUUUAGGUUUCCUGAGUCAAAGGUGAUUGGAUCUGAGGACGAGGUGCUUCUAUUUAUACAUUGCUCGGUAAGUUUAACGUAACACUAAGUGUUAUCAAUCGUGCCCAAAGUCACUCCGCUGACAGUCAAGUUCUAAUUACGUGUAUAUGACUACUUGUUGUGAAAUGCUGAGAUUUACUUGUCAAAUUAUAUGUAUGUAUAUAAUGGUUGAUGAUGCAAUUAUGAAUACAUGACUGGGUUUUAUGAGUUCUUUUCAAAGGAAUUGUAAUUGAGCAUUAUGAAUUUCAGAUUCUAAAGAAAUAUGGAUCAGUGUACAAGAUCAUGUAAGUAGGCUUGCUUGGGCUUGGUGGGUUGAGCCCAUUGGUCCUUUGAGCUGGUCAUGGCCCGAAAAUUGGGCUAUGACAAUGUUGGUAUCAGAGCUCUAGGUUUAGUUCAAUUCUAGGGAUUCCUAUGUGGUCAGCGGAGUUGUUGGAGUCUGUGUAGAGUUUUGUCCUUAGAUUAUGGGUGCGCAACGCAAGUCAAGGACGGGAGGCUGCAUGGGCCCUUACUUCAUUAGAAACCUACAUGUUCUUAUGAUGUCUAGAUGGAUGAGUAAUUAAUACUUGGUUGCAUGUAGAUUGAGGUGUGUCGGUUGCACACGCCAUGUCUAGAAAAGAUGGUAGUUUCGAUACCCUUUAUAGUACUAACGAGGGAUUGCUAGAUUUCACUGCUCGCAGCCUAUAUGAGCUCGAGGGUGAAAGCGUAAUAAGCAACCCGACUCGAUUUUUGAGUGGAUCGGUUCCCCCAUGAGGUAAACUACUAUUUAAAAGCUUGAGGAGUCUCACAAGAUUGGUGCGUAAUGAAAUCAAUUUCAGGAAAAAGAACACGAGCAAGAUGGGAAAAAGGACUACCAAUAAUUAUAGUCCUAGGAAGGUAUUUGUAUCUGUGUCCGACACUUCCCUCCUAGUUGUGGGAGAGGUGUUGUACCUGUUAGUAAGGAGGAAUUUGAGAGGCAACAACAAGUUUGGAUUAAGGAUAAAAUGGAAAAUGCUCAGGAGGAAGAAAAAGACCUGGAAAAGGAUCCGUCGAUGUGCUCAGAUCAAGGCAACGGGGAUCCUAAAGACAUUUAAUGUUUUUGUCAAAGUUCAUAUCGCUUUAAGUCUAGGCAAAUGCAGUGUAAAGGAAAUAGUAGUAAUUACCUGUACAAAGGAGUUAAGAGUUGGUUUUUAUUUUGUAUGACUCAAAUGGAUUAUGGAAUAGUUGUUUUAAUGGCUUGAUGCGUAUUGGAAUCCUUCGAUAUGAUAGAGAUAGAUUAGCGAUAUACUGAUUGACGGAGGAUAUUCACCUUAGUGGCAUGGUUGGUCGCCUUAGAUGAUUAUUAAAGAUAGACAUAGAAAGUCAUUAAUGGUACAAGCAACUACGAUACCUGACAAAUGAUUACCAAUUAAUCAUGGAAAGAUGAAAUUUGGAAUUCUAGUUGCAGUUACAAUUCAAAAAGAUAUGAGAGAAAUCAAUGAGACUAUAGGUGACACUUAGAAGGGAUGCUGUGAUUAAGUCGAGGAUUGAAAAUUUAAGUAUGGAGGGAGCUACAAAAUGGUGCCAUGAUGUUAUAAGAUGAUAAUUGGGCACAAAAUGGACUAAGGGAGGCAAAUUAUGGAACUUGGGAAAAGAUGAAUCCUUGAUUUAAUAAAGAUUGUGAGUGUAGAGCGUGGAGAAAGAUGAACUAUUUUCAUUGUCAUUUGUACUGAGAGUUAACAAAACUAUUUGAGUUACAAGACAAGAAAGACAAUUAAUUGUGAAUGUUAAGGAAUCAUGGAAUGUCAUAAAUGGUGGAUAUUUUUGUGUGUGGUAUUAUAUAUUGAGAAUUUGAUGCACAAUAUGGCAAGAUUGUCUUAAGGUGGAACUUAUUGGUUGAAGAUAAAUGUUAAAAGAUAAAAAGAGCUUGAAAAUAUUGACUCAGCUUAGUGCAUAUAAUAAGCAAAAGAAAAGAUAUGCCUGGUCAUAAAGAUUAUGGGAUAGGCCUGGAGGAAAGCCAAAUGGUUGAGCAUGAUCCCUGUAGUAACUUUAAAGAUGGAAGAACUUAUUCGUGGAAGAAAUUUCCAGCAGCCACAGCGCUAUAGCACUAACUCUUUAGCGAUGCAAUGUUGAAACUAUCCCAUGUCCAACAGCCACGACGCUGCAGCACUAAUUGUCCAGCGCUACAAUGCUAUGAAUACCUCAUGUCUAUGAAGCAUGAGCAAGAUGGGAGUGUCAUGAUAAUGAGCUUACAAGUUGAAUUAUGGUCAUUGGUCAUUGAGUUUUUUUAUUUGAGAGUUUUAAAUGUUCUGGAGAAUGUUUACAUGAAUAAAUUGAAAAGUUUCUUUAUCGCCUUGUAUAUGGGCAUAUAAUUAAAAGAGAAAUUGAAAGAUUCUUGACAUGGCUACAUUGAGAUAAGAUACCAUGUGCAGUAUUAAGAUGGAUAAUAUGUUGACCAAAGUCAAAUCCAUAGAAAUAAAGGAGACGAGAGGUUAAGCCUUGUUAAAGGCUAAGGAAAAAGUGAGCAAAAAGUUAGAUGAAUAUAUGAUAGAUGGGUAAGGGAUGUCAAUACCAAGUAAUGAAAGUGUGAAUGAAGGAUUACAAGGGUGAUAUAACAAAUGGGAUUAUCUAGAAUAUCGUUAUGAGAAUUUACAAUUCUUGUCUUGACUCAGCUAAAUGAAAAGGGUUAGUAACAACACAAGGCCAAUCGUGUGGCACACUAGAAACCUAUGAAGACAAUUUGGGGAUUGAAUGGACGAGUAUGUAUUUAUAUAUCUUUAAGAAUAAGUGCAUGUCUAUAGAACGACAUGCUCGGGAUGUUAAGGAACACAUAAGAGACAAGUGUUUUGGGAAUUCACAAACCUUUUGAGAAAAGAUUACCAAUCAUACACAACAAGUAUAAAAUGUGGGAUUUUUGAAACUUGCUGAGGAGCCUAACGGCUAAGUCAUGGGUUAAGUAAUCACAUGCGGUUAGACAUGAGUUUAAGAUAGGUAUCUCCAAGGAAAUACUCAAGAGUAGUUCUGCUAUGGAUCUUGUGAAAGCAAGCAUUAAGUUAUGUAGUUACAAAGAAAAAGCUGUAAGCUGAAAGUGAGAUUCGUAUUGAUGUUGAAAAAAAUACUUAAGGAGAACCUUGUUUCAAGUCUUGCAGUUUCAAAUACAAAUUGAGGAUUGGUCCGGGGAGAAUGAUGUCAUAUUAGUACGAAAGAAUAGAACAAAGGAUGAUCGAAGAUAAUUUGGAUAAUGAAGUCUAAUAAUGAAAACUUCCUAAGGUAGUAUGAAAAUUGGAAUUCGAAAAUGCUUAAGGCAUGCACGAUUCGAAUGAGUGUAAAUCUUAAGUGUUUCAUUAAAGUCGAAAUGCAACAAGGAUGUAAUGUAUAUAUUAGAGGUAUGAAGAAUAAUUGAGCAAUAAGGAUGACUUUUAGAGAUUGUGGUAUUACAUAAGAUGCAAUGAUCAAAUAAGAGAUAAAUCUUUAAAGGAUCAACGAGGUUAUAAAGCAUAUACGAAUACCGAAUUGCAAUUUAAUGAAAAUGACAUUUACGAGUGAGAUGUGAUUAAUGGCAUUGUGAUGCAAGGAUAUAUAGUACAAUGAAACUUAAGUGUAUAAUUGGAAAUGAUAAGAAAAGAGUAUGGGCAUGAAAAGUGUAAAACCCGACCCUAUAAAUACAUGUCAAAACAUACAUGCACUGAGUAGCAUGUUAUUAUGCUAAGAAAGUCCCUAAGAAUAGACGAAACCCGGUAUUGUACCUAACGGUACACUUGAAUUGAUUUAACCUCGAACUAGUUCAAAUAGGAAUUGUAGGAUGAAAUUUAAUAUUUUAUAGUCAAGGAAUGACUAAAAAUGAUUGUUCGGAGUUCGAGGGUUCAUUUGGGGAAAAAUUGAAAAUUUUGAUAUUCAGGGGCAAAAUCGUAAUUUUUCCACCUGUGGACAAAAUUUGAGAUUUUGAGAGAAUUUAGAUCACAUUUGAAAAAUUGGAGAAUGGUAUGAGUAUAAGGGAUGAAAAAUAUGUCUAUGGGCAAUUUUUCAGUUUUUGGGGCAAAAAUGUAAUUUUUGACUUUUACGGGGGCAAUAGUGUAAAUUUUAAACCAAGACUUUGGAUAAGUCUGAGAAUUUUAUCUAAGCUAUGGAUAUGUGGGACAAGUGUAUGGUGAAAAUUUGAAAACAAAUGGAUGAAAUUUUAAAAACGGACCAAUGGGAAAGUGACAUAUGGCAUUUUUUAAUGAUUUAAUAUUAUUUUAAUGAAAAGUCAGCCCAUUUAAACCCCAUUUUAAGUGAUGGCCCGCCAUAAGGAAGAACAAGAGAGGAAAUAGAGAGGAAAGGAAGAAAAGAAAGAAAACAAAGGGAAACUAGAAAAAUUCAAAGGGGAAUUCGUGUUUUUCGCCCGUUUACGCGUCUAACGGUAAGAUUUUUCGACUUUAGCUUGAUUACUACCUUUCCUAUGCCUUUGUUUCCAUUUAGCAUGCUUGAGGAGAGAGAUCUAAAAGUGACAUCAAGGGCUGGCCGAAUUUCGAUGGGGGAGAAAUUGAAAUUUUUAGGUUUUGAUUUUUAGUUAAAUUGAUAAUUUUAGUUAGUUAAAUGUGUUUAGAAAUUAAAUUGGGCAAGAAAGCAUUAAAUUUUCACAAUACCCACCCUUGGCCGAAUCUGCAAUGAGGUACAAUGAUGAUAAUCUGAUUUUUAUUCUAAGAGAAAUGAAGAGAAAAUGAUGAAAAAUGGUUAAAUGUGAUAGAAAAACAAAGUNNNNNNNNNNNNNNNNNNNNNNNNNNNNNNNNNNNNNNNNNNNNNNNNNNNNNNNNNNNNNNNNNNNNNNNNNNNNNNNNNNNNNNNNNNNNNNNNNNNNNNNNNNNNNNNNNNNNNNNNNNNNNNNNNNNNNNNNNNNNNNNNNNNNNNNNNNNNNNNNNNNNNNNNNNNNNNNNNNNNNNNNNNNNNNNNNNNNNNNNNNNNNNNNNNNNNNNNNNNNNNNNNNNNNNNNNNNNNNNNNNNNNNNNNNNNNNNNNNNNNNNNNNNNNNNNNNNNNNNNNNNNNNNNNNNNNNNNNNNNNNNNNNNNNNNNNNNNNNNNNNNNNNNNNNNNNNNNNNNNNNNNNNNNNNNNNNNNNNNNNNNNNNNNNNNNNNNNNNNNNNNNNNNNNNNNNNNNNNNNNNNNNNNNNNNNNNNNNNNNNNNNNNNNNNNNNNNNNNNNNNNNNNNNNNNNNNNNNNNNNNNNNNNNNNNNNNNNNNNNNNNNNNNNNNNNNNNNNNNNNNNNNNNNNNNNNNNNNNNNNNNNNNNNNNNNNNNNNNNNNNNNNNNNNNNNNNNNNNNNNNNNNNNNNNNNNNNNNNNNNNNNNNNNNNNNNNNNNNNNNNNNNNNNNNNNNNNNNNNNNNNNNNNNNNNNNNNNNNNNNNNNNNNNNNNNNNNNNNNNNNNNNNNNNNNNNNNNNNNNNNNNNNNNNNNNNNNNNNNNNNNNNNNNNNNNNNNNNNNNNNNNNNNNNNNNNNNNNNNNNNNNNNNNNNNNNNNNNNNNNNNAAAAAUCUCACCCACCUCCUUUCCAAACAUUUCAGGUCUGUGGUAGCUUGUAGAUACCCUAUUUUGUCGAGGAUUCCAGUUGACAUCUCUACCACACAGACAAUAGGUUUCUAGCACCAACACUGGGUGUAUUUUGGGCCACUUGUCAUUGUAACCAUUAUUGUACAUUAUAACUUAGUAAAAUUUUGUAUGUAUGAAUUUAUUUUACUUACACAUUACAAAAGAUUUCUUACAUGUGUUUCUAUAAAUAUUGUUUUAUAUAAAAAUGCUAUAUUUUAAUCAAUAUUUUGAAUAGUGAUAUUUGUCUAUAAAUCCUUUUAAAAAAAAAUUAAAUUAUCUUUGGAUUUAUUUGAGUCAAAAACGACCGGUAAUUGUUUAAAAUGGAAUGUUUAACAACGAUUGCUCACAGGAAAGGAAAGAAACUGAUAUGUAAGCCUUGCGGGGUUCCGGUUGGCAUUUCGGGUAAUGAGUGUCAAUCGGGACAUCGUGGCUGUUGUCAUGGGCCCGAGGGAGGUUCCGGGUUGUGAUAAAAAGGAUGUGAAGCUAUGCAUAGGCAUAAUGAGAAUUCUUAUGGAUUACGUAAGAGAUAACUUAUGGUAAGAUGCGAGUGGAACGGUGAUUUAAACAUAUAAAAAGGGUAAUCUAAAAUUGAUUAUAUCCAAAUACUCAUAGAUUAAAUAUGAGAACGUUGACAUGAAAUAUGAGGAUUAUUAUGUUGAAUCUUGGAUAGGGAUGGGGAUGAGUAAAGGGAAAGGUAGUCCAAGGCACGCGAACACAUGGAUCCCUAUGUGUAAUGAAGAAAGUUGACAUUUUGAAUGCAUGUACAUACGUAUAUAUGAAAUUGAUGACUUGAUCAACUGAGGUGAAGAAUUGUUCUCAAUAAUUUGAGAUUUGAACUUUAUGUAUUUGAUGAGUUGUAUGGAUGGUACAACGGCAAGAAGUCCCAUUGGAAGUUGAACUAUGAUGAUAUAAGAAAUUUUAGAAAAGAUAGUCAGAGAAUAAGAUUAAAAAAUGUAAUCCAUAGCAUGGGAAUAAUUGAAGUAUGUGGCGUAAAUGCAAGAUAAACCUGAAGUAUGUGAGAAUAAUUAGAGGCAUUAACCUUUCUCGACGUUGAGACUAUGUAUAGAAAUGAAUACGACAUGUUUAUAAUGUUGCAGGUUACAUAAUAGUGUAUGGGGAUAAGAUGAAUGAAUGAAUGUCGGGAAGUUUGGUAAGGAGAGAAAUGAUAAGAUGGUGAUUAGGCAUACAUAAGUAAGUAUAAUAUGUGAUUGAAAUCAGUAUGAUUGAGAUAGAGUUAUGGUUCAAAUCUAAUGAUAGUGAUAAAGGUGUACUCAACAUCUUAAAAUAAGAGAUAAUGAUCGUGAAGGCUACCAUCGAUUUGAUUCUAAAGGAUGAUAACAGACAUAAGUGAGGCAUUCUAGUCGAAUUGGAGGUAAACGAGGUGAACGAAUAAUUGGAGGUUUGACAAGAAUCGAAAUAAAGAUAUGUUUGAGGUUAGUGACGAAAAGAAAGGCAUACUUGGGAUCUUAGUGAGAAGAAAGGAUAAUUGAGAAGGGUACCGUGGUUUUGACGCAAAGAUGAUAAUAGAUAUAAGAUACGUACCUUGAUCUUGUAAAGUGUUCUAGUCAAAUUAAAGGUAAUGAAGUUCAUAAAUCAAAAUUCCCUAUAAAAGGAGAAAUGGAAUAAGAUCAUGGAACGAGAUUGAUAACUCGACAUCGAUAUGAAUUCUAUUUAAGUGGGGGAGACUAUAAUACCCCGUAUUUUGAUAUGGUGACUAAUAAAGAUUAUCAGAUGCCAAUUGAGGUUAAUUAUAAUGUUUAAAAGUGAUGAAAGAUGAAAGGAAUAGUUUGGGAAAAAAUAUUCCGCACGCGAGGAAAUAAUAAUAAAAUAAUGAUAUUUUUAUCAGAGAAGAAUUUGUGAGAUAAAAAGUGAUUCGAAAGUCAAUUGAGGCAUAAUAAGGUAUUUUGGGUACCAAGGAGACAAGAGGAAAUUUUUGAAAUAAAAUAAUAUUUUAUUAACAAAAUAAUAUUAAACUAUUAAUAUUUUAUUUAGUGUCAAAAUUUUUCAUGAAGAAGGAGUAUAUGGGCAACCUAAGUGCAGGAGAAGAAGAAUGAGAAAGAUUUCGGAGAAAAAUGAUGUUAAUGGGGUCGUGUGUCUUUAUUAAGUAAAGAUAACACAGGUAAAUAAAUAUUUUAAAUAUUACGGGGAUACCGCAUUGGAGUACAAACUUCAUACUUUGUUUGUACAUGUGUAGAAGAAGAUAAUAGAAGGAAGUUAGAGUUAAAUGAGUGUUAGGAGGACUAAAUUAAAAUGGAAAGAAACAAAAAGGGUAAAACGAUAAUUUUACGUGAAGUUUGGUCAAAGCUUCCAAAGGAAACUUUGACUCUGAUUUUUUUCAACCCAAAACCGUCCUUAUCCUCCCAGCAAGAUAUUUUCUUCUUCAUUCUUGAAGCUUCCAAUGCCAUUCUCUCAUUCUCCCAUUGAAAGUUAAUUUUCUUUCACUUUCUUUCCUUGUUUUCUUUUCAUUUCUUUUCUCUUCUUACUUCUUUCUUCUCCCAACUUCUUGUACACCAAAGUUACAACUUCUAACCCUAAUUUCCAGCACAUAUGAACUCUAGGAGAAGAAGAAAGAAAAAGAGAGGAAGGAAGAAAAAGCUUGGUUUUGGUGAUUCAAGCAAGGAACGGUAAGAAUUCUUGCUUUUGGCUUGAGUAGUCUUUGAAAAUGAGUUAGUGACUUAGAAAAAUGUCUUGUGGCAGCAAAGAUUGCCUUGAUUGGAGAAAAAUUGAUAACAUGUAAGCCAAUAAACCCAUGGGUACAUGAAGGACUCAAAGUGGAAAAGGAAAACGGUAAGCUUAACACUAUGUUUUAAAGCCUACGGUUAGUUGAAUAUUGUGGAAAAUUAUGGUUGUUGAAAGUAUCUAGUUACAUAAGCUAGUUGAAAAUUGUUAAGACUGUAUGGCAUGUUGUUUGAAAGAAAUGAAAAAGGAAUAUUGUGGAUGGAGGAUUGAGAAACAAAGUAUUGAAAGUUAGAUAGAUAACGAUGUGUGUAAACUAGGAAAUAAUCGAGUGAAAGUGAAAAUGAUUGUUGCUGCCAUAUAUGUGGAUUAUGUGUGGAAAUAUAAGAUGGAUUUGGGUGAAAAUUAUUUAGAAAGGAUGAAGUAGACACGUGACAUCAUAAUUAAGUUGCUGGUGAUAUAAUUUAAGGAAUUGAGUAAGCAAUGGAUAUAAGUAAUUUUAGUAAAAAUGUAUUAAGAUGUGAGUUAAUUGAAGAUGGUUUCAUGAUAGGAGGAAAAAUAUAAAUUUAAGUAAGGAUUAUCUGAUUGAACUGCUGCUCGUAUACAUAUGUAAUUAAAUAUAUUGAGUUCGUAUUAUUCCUAGGAAGUGCAAAGAUAAAGUUAGAGUAUUGUGGUGGCAUGUUGGAGAUAGUAACGAGCGACCGGCCAGUGAAAAUAGUUAGAAACACCUUCGAACAAAUAGCAACUUAAUAUCUUGUUGUUGCCAGGUGAGUGAACCUGCACUAAAAUGUUUUGGGUAGAUGUACAUACGUUUGAGCGAACCACUUGAGCUGUUUAAAUUAUCUUUUCUUCAAAAUGCAUGGGAAUAAGCCUUUAGUGAAAUGUUUUUGUUAUGUGGAACAUGAUUGUGAUGAAUCUAUGUACUUUUAUAUGACACUGAUAUGUAUAUAAAGAUAUAUGAUAUAUAUUUAUAUAUAUUGUUAAGUAAUUUUGUAUAAUUGAUGUAACCGUGCAUGUGCGGAGUGGGCAGUGCACAUGCCGGUUGAAUGACAAUGUUGGGACAAUUACAGCCGUGCAUGUGCGGAGUGGGUAGUGCACAUGCCGAUAAUGAUGCUGUAGUGAUAUUUAUAACCGUGCAUGUGCGGAGUGGGCAGUGCACAUGCCGGUAAUGAUGCUGUCGUGAUAUUUACAACCGUGCAUGUGCGGAGUGGGUAGUGCACAUGCCGACAAUGAUGCUGUUGUGAUAUUUACAACCGUGCAUGUGCAGAGUGGGUAGUGCACAUGCCGGUAAUGAUGCACAUGAACCGAGUGAGGUGAUGGUGGUGUAUGUGCUUAUAUAUAUAUGUACAUAUUUACUAUAUAGAGAUGUUUGGAUUUAAUAUGUGAUUGCAUUGACUGUUGAAAACUUGAGUAUUGUCAAUGUGUUCAAUUUAAUGUGCAAUGUGGCAUGAGUGGAUUUUUUUUCGGUGGCAGUGAAAGCCCCUUGGAUUUUAUCUGGCGAGAAUUUUUUUGCAGCAAGAAUGCCUUUUCGCUACGGUGAGAGUCAAUCUAUUAUGCUUGACUUGCUUGAAAUCUACUAAAGUUUUCACUUCUCAACUUCUUUGUUGUUCAUGAGUCUUUCGUCAUCAAAUAACUAAACGACCAAGGGUUUGAAUGAGGGGUUUUCAAAUAGAAAUAAACUAAAUUGCAUUGUUUUGAACUUAAGUGCAUCAUGCUUUCUAAACCUUCCUUAACACUGCUUGUUCCCUUCCUAUGUUCACUCAUUGAGUUUGUACUCACAUUUUUAAAAUUCAUGUUUUAGGUUUCCUGAGUCAAAGGUGAUUGGAUCCUAGGACGAGGUGCUUUUAUUUAUACAUUGCUCGGUAGGUUUAACGUAAGACUAAGUGUUAUCAAUCAUGCCCAGCGUCACUCCGCUGAUGGUCAAGUUCUAAUUACGUGUAUAUGACUACUUGUUGUGAAAUGCUGAGAUUUACUUGUCAAAUUAUAUGUAUGUAUAUAAUGGUUGAUGAUGCCAUUAUGAAUACAUGAUUGGGUUUUAUGAGUUGUUUUCAAAGGAAUUGUAAUUGAGCAUUAUAAAUUUUGGAUUCUAAAGAAAUAUGGAUUAGCGUACAAGAUCAUGUAAGUAGGCUUGCUUGGGCUUGGUGGGUUGAGCCCAUUGGUCCCUUACGCCGGUCAUGGCCCAAAAAUUGGGCUAUGACACAAGUAUAAAUUUGAUGCCAUUAUCCAUUUAUAAAAAUUUGGGUUUGUAAGAGAUUAAACCAACUCUUGUGACUUUACAACUUCUGAUAGAUCCAUCACCUAUCCUUAUGGUAUUGUCGAAGAUGUUUUGGUAAAAGUUGAUAAGUUUAUUUUUCCAGUAGAUUUUUUUAUUCUUGAUAUGGAAGAAGAUCGUAAAUACCGAUCAUUCUUGGGUGGCCAUUCUUGAAAACUGCACGAGCUUUAAUUGAUGUGGAAAAAGGUGAGCUUACUUUAAAGGUUAAAAACCAAGAGGUAACAUUUAGUAUUUUUCAAGCUUUAAAAUUUUCCAAUGAACAUGAUGAAUGUUUCUCAAUUAAUGUGGUGGAUGACAUAACGAAUAAUGUGUUUGUUGAAAAUCAUCAAAAUUCACUAGAAACUUCUUUGAAUUCUUCAUGUGAUAUUAUUGACCAAAAAGUUCUUGAAUAUGCUAACCAUCUUGAUGCCUAUUCACGUCUUCCAAGAUCCUAAUUUGAAUAUUUGGAAUUAUCAAUUACAACUUUACCAAUCGAACCUUCCAUUGAAGAACCUCCUUCACUUGAGCUCAAACCACUACCUAAUCAUUUAAGGUAUGCUUUUCUGGGAAAUUCUUCUACACUACCAGUAAUUAUUUCUUAUUCUCUUUCUAAUGAAUAGGAAAAUCAACUCCUUCGAGUUUUAAGGGACUACAAAAAAGCAAUUGGGUGCACCAUUGCAGACAUCAAAGGAAUUAGUCCAUCAAUUUGCAUGCACAUAAUUCUUAUAGAAGAAAAUCACAAAGCAACAAUUAAGCAUCAACGAAGGCUGAAUCCGAUCAUGAAAGAGGUAGUAAAGAAAGAAAUUAUCAAGUGGCUUGAUGCAGGUAUUAUCUAUGCUAUUUCUGCUAGUUCAUGGGUAAGUCUAGUCUAAUGUGUCCUUAAAAAAGGAGGUAUGACGGUAGUUUAUAAUGAAAAUAAUGAGCUUAUUCCCACUAGAACUGUAACUAGAUGGAGAGUAUGUAUGGACUAUAGAAAAUUAAAGAAAGCCACUAGAAAAUAUCACUUUCCACUACCUUUUUUUGAUCAAGUGCUUGAUAGAUUAUCACGUAAAGAUUUGUAUUGCUUUUUGGAUGGUUAUUCUAAUUAUAAUCAAAUUGCCAUUGCUCUUGAAGACUAAGAAAAACCACAUUUACUUGUCCUUAUGGAACUUUUGCUUUUCAUAGAAUGCCUUUUGGACUUUGUAAUGCUUUAGCUACUUUUUAGAGAUGCAUGAUGGCAAUUUUUUCUGAUAUGGUUGAAACGAUUUUGGAAGUAUUUAUGGAUGAUUUUUCAAUUUUUGGGGAUAAUUUUGAUGAUUGUCUAUUUAAUCUUGCUAGAGUACUUAAGCGAUGUGAAGAAACUAAUUUAGUUUUAAAUUGGGAAAAAUGUCACUUUAUGGUGCAAGAAGGAAUAGUCUUAAGCCAUCGAGUUUCUAGCAAAGGUUUAGAAGUAGAUAAACAAAAAUUGAAAUCAUUAAAAAACUUUCACCUCCCACCUUUGUUAAGGGCAUUCGUAGUUUUUUAGGACAUACUGGAUUUUAUAGGAGAUUUAUUAGAGAUUUUUCUAAAAUUUCUAAACCACUGUGUAAUUUGUUAGAAAAGGAUACUUCUUGUAAUUUUGAUGAUGCUUGCCAUGAUGCUUUUGUUGAAUUAAAAAAGAGAUUAAUUUCUACUCCUAUUAUCACUGUUCCUGAUUGGAAUCUUCCUUUUGAACUAAUAUAUGAUGCUAGUGAUUAUGCAGUUAGUGCAAUCUUGGGCCAACAAAAAAUGAAAAUUUUGCAUCCUAUUUAUUAUGCUAGCAGAACAUUGAAUGAGGCUCAAGCAAAUUACACCACAACCGAAAAGGAGUUGCUUGCUAUUGUUUUUGCUUUCGAUAAAUUUCAUUCCUAUCUUGUUGGUACUAAAGUUAUUGUUUACACAGACCAUGCAGCUAUUAAAUAUUUGAUCGAGAAAAAAGAUGCAAAACCACGUUUGAUAAGAUGGGUACUUUUGCUUCAAGAAUUCGACUUGGAAAUCUGAGAUAAGAAAGGUAUAGAAAAUCAAGUGGCAGAUCAUUUAUCGAGAUUGGAGAAUAAUGAGCACAUUGGGAAUUCAACAGUGAUUAAUGAAACCUUUCUUGAUGAGAAAUUGUUUCAUAUAGAGAAGUAGAAAAAUUUACCAUGGUAUGCUGAUAUUGUGAAUUAUCUAGUAAGUAAACUCUUCCGUCUUGAAUUUAAUUCUCAACAAAAGAAAAAAUUCUUACGUGAUGUCAAAUACUACAUGUGAGAUGAGCCUUUUCUUUACAAGCAUUGUGGAGAUCAAAUCAUUAGAAAGUGUAUUCCUGAAGAAGAAUUUGAAAAUAUUCUUCAUCAUUGCCAUUCAUUUGAUUAUGGAGGACAUUAUGGAGGAAAAACGAACUACUACAAAGGUUCUACAAUCAGGUUUCUAAUGGCCUUCUCUUUUUAAGGAUGCUCAUAAUUUUGUUGAAAGAUGUGAUAGAUGUCAAAGAAUGGGCAAUAUAUCGAAGAGACAUGAGAUGCCUUUAAACAACAUCUUGGAAGUUGAAAUUUUUUAUGUUUGGGGAAUUGAUUUUAUGGGUCCAUUCAUUCCAUCCUUCAAUAAUGAAUACAUCUUGGUUGCUAUUGAUUAUGUCUGUAAAUGGGUUGAAGCUGUGGCAUUGCCAAGAAAUGAUUCUAAGGUAGUGAUAAACUUUCUGCAAGAAAACAUCUUCACACGUUUUAGUAUACCUAGAGCCAUAAUUACUGAUGAAGAGACUCACUACUGCAAUAAAAAUUUUGAAGCAAUCCUAGCCAAAUAUGAAGUCAAGCACAAAAUAGCCACCGCUUAUCAUCCUCAAACAAGUGCCCAGGCUAAAGUGUUAAAUUAAGAAAUUAAAAGAAUUUUUGAGAAAAUUGUUUGUCCUUCUAGAAAAGAUUGGUUGAAAAAGUUGGAUGAUGCUUUGUGGGCAUAUAGAACUACAUAUAAAACUCCAAUUGGGAUGUCUCCUUAUAGAUUGGUGUUUGGAAAAGCUUGUCAUCUUCCAGCCAAACUUGAACACAAGGCAUAUUAGGCAAUUAAAAAGCUUAAUUUUGAUCUUCAAGCGGUUGGAGAAAAGCGUCCUUUGCAACUCAAUGAGAUGGAUGAAUUUUGUCAAGAAGCUUAUGAGAGUGCAAGAAUCUACAAAGAAAAGACAAAAUGUUGGCAUGACAAAAAAAUCAUAAACAAAAGUUUUAAACCUAGCCAACAUGUUCUCCUAUAUAAUUCUCGUUUGAAAUUAUUUCCUGGAAAAUUCAAAUAUUGUUGGUCUGGACCUUUUAUUGUGAUGAAAGCAUAUCCUCAUGGAGCAGUGGAAGUAGUUGAUGAUAAAUCAACCUUCAAAGUAAAUGGACAACGACUAAAGCAUUAUUUGGGAGGCGAUUUCGAUCGUCAAAGGUCCUCAAUCACACUUAUCGACACAAUUUAAAUCAGAGAAAGUCAAGCCAACGACUAUAAAUCAAGCGUUUCUUUGGAGGCAACCCAAGCAUUAUAACUUACUUUCUUUUAUUUUUUUUACUUAUUUUAAUAUUAUUUAUUAAAGUUUUCUUUUUAUUUUGCAGGAACAUGUUAAAAAAUAAAAAAAAUAAAAAAAUUUAGGGGAGUGGGGUAAGCUGUGGCUUCCCCAAGAGGAAGCUGCGACCCAACGAAGUGAUGAAACGCGGGUCACAGUGCCCCUCAAGCUAGGUUGCGACCUCGAGGCUUAGAGCAACGAGGGCCACGGUGCCCACCAAUGGGAGGCCAUGGCCUCGUGUUUUGAGGCUACCAACCUUGGGCAACCCCCCCUAGAGAGAGAGAGAGAGAGAGAGAGAGAAGAGAGGANGGCAGUGGCUUCCCCAAAAGGAGGCCACAGCCUAGCGAUGGACCAUGACGCAGGUCGUGACACCCACAUUGCGAGGCCUCGGCUUUGCAGAUUGAUUAUUAGGAGUCGUGGUGCCACUAGGGGUAGGUCGCGGUGCCUUUUUUGAGGGCUGUCCGCUUUGGGCAGCCCACUAAAAAAAAAGAAAGAAAAAGAGAAAAGAGAGAGAGGCCCUCUUUUCAUCACUCAAGCUUACCUACCUCUUCCUUUUAGUACAAAUUUUUGCACUUCCACUCUUCUCUUCUCGACCAUUGCUCCCGUUUUUCCUUUCCUCUUCCCCGUUCCAUUCUUUCCAUUUUAUAUUUCUUUCUCUAGAUCAGGUACCCACACCCAUUAUAUUCUUCCACAUUGAUUUUCAACACCUAUGCACUAAAUAUCAAGUAAGUUUCAAUAUUUCUUUUAGUUUUUUUUCCUUUUUUCUUUUUCUAUUUUUAAUAUUAAUGACUUACCUCAUAUUAUUUAAAAUUUGUGUUGAAUAUUGAUGAUCUUGAGAUAUUGUGCUUCAUUAUUUUAUAGGUAUGGUAGAUUGUUUAGAUUUAUGCUUUAAAUUUCAAACAUAAGUUGAAAAUGGAGAAUAUGGGUAAGUUUCUUGAUUUUGAAUUUUUUUAUGCCUAGUAGUAUCGUAAUAUUUUAAUUGUAGGAUUUUUACUUUAUGCUAUGGGCAUUAUUUUAUGAUGAGAGAACAUCUAAGCUAUUAUUGUUGAUGGUCUAUUGUGUUUUGUUGGUACUUUUCUUUUCUUUUGGUUGAGAAUUAAUUGUAGGAUAUUCGAGAAUGGCACCCAAACGAUCAAGACAAAAUUCAUGUGGCUUGUUUGAUCAUACUAGAUUUGUGUCAAUUGAGGCUGUGGCCAGACACGCAAGUUCUCUUGCAAACAAAAUUGCAGUACUUGAACAAGGACUGGAUCAAGGGUUAAUUACACACCUUGACCUUUAACCAAUGAUUGAUGGCCGCCACUAGCAAAAAUUUUGUGCUUCACCUGCAGCUGCAAGUAUCCCUUUGGUAAGAGAAUUUUAUGCUAAUGCUAUAGAAGCUACUAAUAAUUUUGUUUUUGUUCAAGGUAAAUUAGUUCCAUUCUUGAGCCAUGCCAUCAAUAAAUUUUAUGAAACUCCUGAUAUUACAAACGAUGGAUAUGAUCAAUAUUUGGCUGAGAAUGAAAAUUGGGAUGAUAUCAUUACUAUACUCUGUGAGGAGGGUGCUCAAUGGUGAUUUUUCAAUAAUGCACCAGUUUCAUUCAAGAGGACUGUGAUGAAACCAACUUCUAAGAUAUGGUUAUAUUUUGUGGCUUCCAAAUUACUCCCUACCACACAUACUAGUGAUGACACAAAAGAUCGAGCCAUCCUCAUUUAUUCAAUCAUGAUUGGACGCACAAUUGAUAUUGGUCGCAUAAUUUACAAAGCCAUGACUCACACUGCACAAUCAAAGCGUGAAGGCUUGUGGUUCCCUUUUUUGAUUAUAGCUAUGUGCAAACAAGCUGGUGUACAUUGGGAUACUAGUGAGGAGUUGUUGCACCCUAAACUUCCAAUUGAUCUUAAUCUCAUCCACAGACAAUCUCAAACUUCUACUGGGGAUAGUUCUUCUUCUACACAUCAUCCUCCACCCAUUUGACCAAGACACCAACAAUUGUCAAUGACUCAAAGAAUUGAGAACCUUUAGCACCUAGUUGAUAAUCUUGGGCAACAAUUGGAGCAAUGCAUGACUUAUCAAACCCAAUGCAACCAACAUAUGGAUCACAUGUUUCGAGCUUAUGGUGCUUUUAUGGGAAUGGAUAUGUCUACUCUUUCACUAGCACCUAAUCCUCCUAAGGGUGCUAAUGAGGUAGAGGACAAUGAGGAUAAUGAUGCAGAGGAUAAUGGUGAUGAAGAGGCGGAUUAAAGCUUCUCCAGAUUUAUUCAACCAUUAGGGGAGUAUUCUUUACCUUUCCUUUCUUUUUUCUAACAUUGAGGACAAUGUUUAGUUUAAGUUUUGGGGGGGGGGGUGAAUUUAUUUUUUUGGUGAUGAAUAUUCUAUGAAAGUUUUAGAUCUAAUUUUAUUUGCAUGCGUAUUUAUAAAUAAUUUAGGAUUAGUUGGUAAAAGAAUUUAAUUUUUGUUGAACCUUAGGAAUCUAGAAGUAAAGUUGUGCCAAUUUUUUCAAUGAUUUUUUUAUCCAAUGAUGAUAACUAGUUGUCUUGAAUUUUUAGCCUUUGGUGAAUAAGGUUUUUGUUUGGAUUCAUGCUAAAUUUUUUGUUAAGUGUCAUUGUUAGGAUGUGAUUUCCACAAUUUUAAACACUAUAUCUUUUACUUUGAAUUAUUUUGAAUAUCUAGAGAAGGUUUAUAUUGAUAUGAAUUUUAGAUUAUUUCAUGAAUUCUAGAAUUUCCUUGAUUUUCUCUCGAUGCAAAAUUCUUGGCAAUACUUAGUUAGGGACAUGAUUUAAGCCAUCUUUGAACCGUUUGAACUUUAAAAACCAACCUUGUUAAAUUUUAUCCCUAGCAUACCCUUUUUGAGCUUAAUUUUCCUUUUCUUUAUUUAACUACAUAAUAAUUGAACUUAGCCUUAAAAUUAAUUUUCCAAUUUUGCAACCCUUACUCCUAAGCAUGUAUAUUGUUUUAGAAAAUAUAAAUUGAGCUAAAUGCUGAAAAAGGUGGAAAGAUGAUAUUGAUGUGAAAAAAAAAAAAGAGAAGUUCAAAAUAUGAAAAAUAACCCUACUACCUACAAUACAAAGAAAAUAAGUUUAAGGGUGUGAAAUUGUGAAAAAAAAAGUGUUGAAUGAAAGAAAAGUUCAAAUAUGGAAGAAAAUGUGUACUAAGAGAAGGAAAAUAGAGCUCUAUAUAUAUAGGUCCUAGAAUAAUUAUGUGCUUAGGGUGAUUUGAGCCACAUUAAUAUCCUUUAUCAUACCUUGACCUUAGCCAUACAUUACAAGCUUUAUAAAGUCCUAUUGAUCCUUAUCUUUGUAUUGGUCUACAUUAGUGGAGAGAGAGAUAAAAAAUGAACCUAUGGAAAUCUAGUACUAAUUUGAAAUUUGUGUUGGUAGAAACUCAUCCAGAUAUCAUGAUAUUAUUGGUAAAAGAUUUCACACACACACAGAAAGCCAUUCGAGAAUGUGCUUGCAUUAAAAUUGAAACAUGAAUUUGAAUGAGACUUUUAUUUUUCCUUAGAUUAAUGAUUUAUAGGCAUACUUUUGAUGAAAUUAUAAAGAAUCAUUGAGUUGGUGCACUUUAUCUCUAAUAGUAGUAAUAGUAAUAGUAGUAGUAUAGUAAUAACUAUAUUUAUUUAACUGAAUUUUUUUUUCGUAAGUUAGGGUCUUUUCUAUGUUUUGCUCAAGGACUAGCAAAAUCUUAAGUUUGGGGGUGUGAUAACUCCAUGAUAUAGAGUUAUUGGAGCUUAAUUUUGAUAAUAAUUUAGCUUCGUUCUUGUAGUAAUGCAUAGAAAUUAGUAAAUUUUAUUUAAUUAUUUUAAAUUAGUUAUUUUAGGUGAGUCAAUCUAAUCAUGGUUAAUUUUAUGCUUAAUUUGGUGUUAAUGUAGUUAAGAUAGGUUGUUAUUGAUUUAUUUGUGCUUUUGUAGGUGUUUGAAAGAAGAAUUUUAGUAAAAGAAUGAGAGCAAUUUCGAGGUGCAGACUUUCAAUGCAUAUAUUUUUGUAUUUUGGCUAUAACUUUUUGUACAGAGCUCCAAAUAUAGCGAUUCUUAGACCAUUGGAAAGAUAAGAGAAAAAGAUACAAUUUUGAUGUUUACUACUUUAUCCAGUUCAGAAUGAAAGAUAGUAAAAGAUAUUGGUGAAAUUGACAUAUUGCAGCAGUCUUAAAGCAAUUACGAUUUCUGUUAAUUAAUUGGGCAAAGCUGCAACUUACAUAGUUUGAUGAGGAAAUCCCAGCUGAAAUUGACUUCUUUCUUCAUCCAACUUGGUUUAACUUGAAAUCCUAUAAAAACAACCUUUCAGAAGACAUCAAGGGGAGGAAAAAAAAACACCAUAUUAACAGCUGAGAGUCAAGCUACAAAGUCAUUGAAGGAAUUUGAAGAAUUCAAGUAGAUUUGGAGAUCAAGAAUACAUUGCUUGGUUUUUUCUAUCUUUUUGUUAUUCUUUUAUUCCCUUGGUUUUAAUGUUUAAAUUUUAUUCAAUGAUGAUGUAUGACUUGAUGGGGAACUAAGUUUUUAAUCUAAGAUUAUGAUUAAACUCAAUAUAUAGUCUGAAC